Molecule: long non-coding RNA, 154861 nt
Filed under: Sorghum bicolor (sorghum)
Lineage: Eukaryota; Viridiplantae; Streptophyta; Magnoliopsida; Poales; Poaceae
Description: long non-coding RNA (SBIC_LNC018227)
Rfam family: Plant small nucleolar RNA R71 (bases 39881-39987)
Source: RNAcentral
GCUUUGCUGUCCGGGACAUGAGGCAAACGGUGGCUGUUGGAGUCAUCAAGAGCGUGGAGAAGAAGGACCCAACUGGAGCCAAGGUGACCAAGGCUGCCGCUAAGAAGAAAUGAGGUGUCUGCUAGCUGGUUCUGUGUUUUCUCGAGGGAUACCUAGUUGAAACUUAAUAUAUCGUCAUUGCUGUUAUCGCGUGAGCAACUAAACUGUGCUGGCAAUGUUUGUCUGGUCGAUUGAGUAUUGUUAUUUUCGUUAAAACCAGGGUACUAUUAAGACUCAAUUUCUGUUAUUUUUGUAUCGAACAUCGGGUGUUGGCCAUAUGUGGUUAUGAGUUUUGUUACUACCCUUGUUGAAGUGUUUGCCUGUUUACUUAUUUUGCUCGUCCUUGCCAGUCUGCUGGGUUCAAAUUUCUCCUGCUCUUCGUUGGCGCAUAUCGAGUAUUUUGAAAUACUUGCGUUCAAUUAAGUACUCAAUAUAUCUCAAAUUGUAAGUUGUUUGACUUUUUAAAUAUUAAGUUUGACCACUCGUCUUAUUCAAAGUUUUGUAUAAAAUAUCAUUUUUUUUUGUAUUGGUUUAUUAAUAAAAGUUCUUCAAGAAUAAUUUAAAUUUGACUAUAUUUGUAUAAAUUUUUUGAAUAAGACGAGUGGUUAAAUUUGGUUUAAAAAAAGUUAAACGAUUUAUAAUUUACAAUUUAGGAUGGAGGUAGUAUUUUGAAAUAUUCUUCCGAAACGUCUUCGAUGGCUUCAAAACCUAUACUGCUUUCCUUAGUUUUAACUUUUGCAUUCCAUUAUAGCUUCCCUUUAGUUUCACCAUCUUUAGCCUUGAUUAGCUGGGUGUGUGAAAAAAAAUUUGGUACCGUAGCAUUUAUGUUUAUAUUUGACAUUUAUUAUCAACCAUGACUAAUCUCAUGAUUUAUAGGUAAGAUUUACGUAUUUAGUGCUCUACGUAUAUGUUAUAUGCUGAGAUUCGAUGUGACGGUAAAUAUUGAAUAGUUUUUGGAUUUUGGAGAAAACUAAACAAGGUCUUUGUCGCUUGCACUUCUAAAAAAACAAUUGUCAGUAACUAUAUAUUAAAAAAUAUUAAUAGUUAUAAUAAUUAAUUAGUAUCAUUAGAAAGAUUUUUGAAUUUAGUGUAACAAAUUUAUUUGGAAAUAUAAAUGUGCACGUAUUUUUUAUAAAUCAAGUUAAAUUUGUGGCACGUACACCAAUGUCAACAAUUUAAAAAGGAUAGAGAAAGUAGAUGAUAGAGGGAGUAGAUGUUAUGAGAAAACAGACAAAUAGAAAAACAAGAAAUGACGAUAGAAUCAAAUAAAUUAUAGAGAAUAAUAAUAAAGCUUUAGUACUGAUAAAUAAAUCAUAGUAAUAAUAAUAGUUUUUGUUUCCUCUAUAAAAAUACUCCAUUCCUAAGUCGGUUGUUCCAAACAAGCACGAUCCUUUGCUGAACGGCCUGCAGCCUGCUCCUACACUCGUCUGCCGCCAGCAUGAUGCUGUGCGCGUCGCGGGCGUCCUCGUUUACCACGUCCGGCGCGGCGCUCGCGCCUCCUUGGCUCCUUGCUGUGCUUCACCGCCACUCGCCAUGCUCCCCGCGCUUUGCCGAUGCCACCAGUGGCGGAGGGAAGGGGGGCCUGAGGGGGGCCUGGCACCCCCAAACUUCCCAUAACUCCCUUAAUACAUCUUAUAGAUUAGAUGUUUAAUUAUCUAAUUACUUAGUUAAUGAUAUUAUCUGUACUAAGAUUUUUAUUCUUAUUUUAUAUUAAUCUCUAAUAGUUUCUUAUACAAAUAGAUAUUUCUAAUAUUUUCUUCAUAUCUUUUAUUUUUAUUAUUGUCUAUCAAACAUCAGUUUGUCCCCUACCACACACUCUAAUUAGCUAGUUAAUUGAAAAUCAGCGUUUUUCUUGUUUAAUCCUUCUGAAUUGAUCUCCAACAAUGGAAUCUAUAUUAUUUAGCAUUAGUCUUCCUAUUAUCUUUCUUAUCUCCUAUGUUUCUAUCAUUAUUCGUCUAAACUCUAAACAAUCAUUUAGCCCGUUGUACUCAACUUUUAAAUACUAACAGUGGUAUGGUGUUUCUGUUUAACCUUCUAUUUAAAUGACCAUUUUUACCUGUUUAAGUGAUCAUUUUGUCUAAGACUAAACGAUAUGUAACUAAUUGUUUGUCAUUUGAUGUUAGGAUCUAGUACUAAUUAAUUUUGCCCCCGUUUAACUACUUGUUUUUAUUGUGAUUUUUUUUCUGGGCAAAGAAAUAGAAUGAUCAAGUGAAGGUUAGAGGCUUGAGACUCGUUAAAUUUUUCUUUUAUUUUUUUUAUUUUUUCUGCUUUUUUGCAUCGCAACACAAAUGUUUAUUUUGGUGCUAUGUAUACAUUUGUCAUAUAAUAUUUUGAUACACAUGAUUAUUUUUGGUUUGCACGGCCCCCUAUAUUUAAAUCCUAGCUCCGCCCCUGGAUGCCACGCGCUACGGACUACGGUGUACGCAUGAUGUGGAUGGCGUGCCGCCUGCGUGAUGGCGCACGUCGUGACCUGCUCACUAGCGUCCGUGUCUUUUCGCAAAACGUGAGAAAAAAAAGUAACGCUUGACUCGCAUUAGCGCCCAAACUAUCCAGACGCGAACGCCCGGUAUGGGGUGAGAACCAAGGUGCAGCGCCUGGUAGACUGACUGGACGGAGAAGCCCCGUUUUUAAAUUUUAUAAAUAAUCUAUAUCUAUUACUUUAUAUAUGUGUCUAAAUAUUUUAUGUGAUAAGUGUUAAAAAAACAAUUCGAACCCUAAGUUCUUCGGUGGGAGAGAAAGUGAAUUUAAAUCUUCACGUACGGUGGACCAAUGGGAGGAAGGAAAGUAGAGGAUCGUCUUGCAUGCUAGGAAAAAUCAGGCUUUUUUUUUUCACAAAAAUUUUCAAGAUUCUCUAUUAAAUCGAAUCUUGCGGCAUAUGCAUCAUACAUUAAUAUACAUGAAAAAAAUUAAUUAUACAGUUUAUCUGUAAAUCGUGAAACGAAUCUUUUAAGCCUAGUUACUUCAUUAUUGGAUAAUAAUUGUCAAAUAAAAACGAAAAUGUUACUAUGUCAAAAUCCAUUUUUUUUUUUGCAAACUGAACAAGGCCUCAAUAAAGAAUUUACUCAGCGUGGGAAGAAUUAACCAUUUUUUAGUGGCGGUGCCAAAAAUUAUACAGAGGAGUAUAGGCUGAGCGUAGCUCAUCUGUUAAGUUUUUUCAAGGUGCAUUGGUUGCACUUACACCUUUGACUAUACUAGUUAAGUAUACGUUUAAUAAAAUAUAAUGAAAUGUACGUACACAUUUAGUAGAACCUAAGUGUUUUUAUGUGAUUUUAUUGUCUAGUGACAUAAAAAAUGUACUCCCACCAUACUAGAAAUAAAGUUAUUUUGGACAGUGGCACAGUCUCUAAAGCAUAACUUUGACUUUUUGUUCUUAUAAAUUUUUUUAUCAAAAAAUAAUAUAUGUAUAUUUUUACGAAAGUAUUUUUGAAGACAAAUCUAUUCAUAUGGUUUUCACAUUUCCAAACUCAACAACUUAAAAGUUAUUCAUGAUUUAUAUUCCCAAUGUUUAACCAAACCUUGUCCAAAAUAACUUUAUUUUUAGUAUGGAGGGAGUAUAUAACAAGAAUUUUUUAUUAUAUCUUGCAAAUAUAAACAUAUCAUAUACGCUUAUAAAGCAAAACCCUACUAGCAAUUUUUUUGACAUCUAAGGUACUACAAGAAAUGUGUUAUCUUAUGACGAUUAUGGCAUGACAUGUGAUUAAAAUGUCACUAAAUCAAUCAGUUUAUGACGUUCUUUUGAAAGCCAUCUCAACUUAGUGACAUAUAUGAUUUCAUGUCACAAAAAAUAUCUUCAAUGUAGUUAAACUCCAUAUCGUGACAAUGUUUGCCAUGUUAGGGUUGUUUAAUUCCCAAAAAAUUUGCAAAAUUUUUCAAGAUUCUUCGUCACAACAAAUCUUGCGGCACAUGCAUGGAGCAUUAAAUAUAGAUAAAAAAUAACUAAUUGCAUAGUUUAUCUGUAAUUUGCAAGACAAAUCUUUUGAGCCUAGCUAGUUAAUCCAUGAUUGGACUAUAAUUUUCAAAUACAAAUGAAAGUAUUGUAGUAGCUAUUUUGCAAAAUUUUCGGUAACUAAACAGGACCUUAAUUAACCCCUACAGUCUUGGGUUAUUUUCCGUUUCUCCCAUAUAAGACCUUGUUUAGUUCAAAAAGUGAAAAGUUUUCGGUACUGUAGCACUUUCGUUUGUUUAUGACAAAUAUUAUCCAAUCAUGAACUGACUAAGAUCAAAAGAUUUGUCUCGUGAUUUCCAGCUAAACUGUGUAAUUAGUUUUUGUUUUCGUCUAUAUUUAAUAUUUCAUGCGUGUGCCAUAAGAUUCGAUGUGACGGAGAAUCUUAAAAACUUUUUGGUUUUCAGGGUGAACUAAACAAGGCCUAAGAAGCUAAACAAGUCAGCAAAAUUGUUUUUGACAAUCUAAUUUUCAUCUUCUGACUCCGUGCAUCAUCAUGCCAAAGGCUGGUAGCCAAAAAUAUCUGGGCUUUUAUCCCAUGCCUCCCUCCCAGUAAAGAACAUCGAUCCCUCCUCUUCUCAUCGACAUCCUAUCCACCGCCUCCCCUCCCCGCCUGACCUUGACACGGACGGAGCCCCUGCGGCUGGCACGUCGGCAGCCCCCUCCGCCUCUGCUUCCGCUUCCAUCUCCGCCUCCUUCCUCCCUCUCUCUGCCUCUCCCCACGCGACGGCGCAACCAACUGGAUAGGACGAGGCACCAACCGGCGAACGGCUUCGGUGAGACGGUGGCGGUGCGCGGGCGCUGGCGAGCCCCGUAGGUGGCCGCCGCUGUGGAUGCCACCCAACGCGGCUUCCUCCUUAUAGUCCAUGUGUGCUCAUGGGCUCGACGAAACAACAAAACCCUAGGUGCCUGUGUUCGGCGGCGGCCAGAUCUGGAGGUAUCUCAUCCUCUUAUUCUCUUUCUACUCCAUCCCAUUGCUCGUCACCCAAAUCCUCUCCUCCUCAAUCCUCCCCUUUGUGCAAUGCAGAGCACCUGAGUGUGAGGCACUGACCAACAGGGAGGCAGUAGUAAAUGAGCAAGCUACAAUAGCAAGCACGAAGUACUUGAAAUUUUAAAUGUAGUUCUCCAUUCUCUGGAAUCACUAAUUAGCCUUUGUUUACUUGCAUAUUGCAGAUUUUACAAUUUGAUUAAUUAUUCAAGCCCCUGUUAACAUUGCUUUGUUUUUUUAGAGGACCUAAGAUAUUUUAGGUCUGCCCUAAUUUUUACUGGGUCCUAAGUAAAUUAGAAAUUUAUGUACACUGAAAAAUAUAGCUACUUUAAUGGUAGAAUGAAUAUUAAUAAGAAAACUAGGCAGGAUAUAGUCAGAUCGGAUCAUAAAUGUCCUAUUUUUGUGACUGGGUGUUAAAACAAGAGACAUGGUUAGUUCUGUCCACUAGAUAGAUAUUCUGAGCGGAGAUUUGUCUUUUCAAAGCAUCACUAUUGAUUUGAGAUUUAUUUUGAAGCAAAUGACUGAUUUAAGAUUGUUGUACUGUUAUUACUUGCUAACCUGAAUUUCUAUGCUCAACUCACGAUAUUUGUUAGGUGGGCAAUAUGUCAAGUUUUGAAAUACUUGAUAGAAAUAUCAGAACCUAAAAAACCUAUGUCUUCAGUUUGACAACAUCACUAUUCUCGGCUCAAUUGGCUACACUAGUUUCAUCUGUGAUCAAUUGGCUACACUAGUUUUAGUUGGCAGAUGCAGCAACCUGAAACCGAGAUAUACGUUAAAUAGGUGUUUGCUAUUGUCACAUUUUUUUGCCGCUGUCUUACCAUGUUAUCUGAUUUGUAAACAUGAAACUGCUAUUGGCAGAUGCAGCAACUUUUUGUUGAUCUAGUUGCUGAUUUGGUGCUUCGUGUUAACCAGCAAGGAGUCGGGCAGAUAGAAUCUUCUUUUCUUCUGUUGCUUGUCUUGGUUUUCUAACACCUUUGACAGGUAGACAGGUAUAGUACCUCUUGAUCCAAGUAUUUACUACUUGUAUUAGUUUUUUAUUGUUUUAUGUUUCGUUUUCAAUUGUCCAGUUCAGUUUUAGACUUAGAAAGUAGACAUGUAGUGUAGCUCUUGAUCCAAUUAUUUCCUGCUUGUCUUUUAAAUGACUAAUAGCUAGUUAAUUCAUCUUCCCUUACAACAGUUUAAGAAUCCUACUUGCUUCUUGUCGAUCGUAAGUGUCAUCUACCACUUCUCCCUUCCGAAGGCGUCGGCUGCUAGAUCCUAUAGCCAAGCGAGAUUCAAGGAUGAACCAUCGUAUCCAUGGUGGGCAUAUAGAACCAUGACCUGUCAGCUGCUCCUGCUGUUUGGAGGUGCAUGAGUCAUUCGUGCGUUGCUCCAUUGUGGGCUCUUCUUCUAGGAUUGGACCAUGGAGAAGAUAUGUUGAAAGACACAUAUAUAGGUAUAAGAUUUAUCUUAUGACUAUUCAUGCAUUUAUUAGAUUACAGACAGGAUAGAAGCCGUUAUAUUACAAACAUGAUAGGAGCCGUUAUUAGAUUACAAACAAGAUUUAUCUUAUGACUAUUCAUGCUUCUAUUAUGUAGUCCUAAGCUGAUCUAUCUAAUUAAACUAGAACCAUUAUAUCUUGUUCCAUAUUCAAUAUUAUUUUAACAGCUUAUUGCUUCCUUAUUUUAGGCAUAUAGUGCACAUAGUUAAUUACAAGUGACUGUAACACAGGUAUCUAUUGGCUAAGUCAAUAUUUCUAACGUGGGUGCACAUGGAGAUUUGAGGCUUAAUGGAGAAUUGGUCCACUCAAAGUUGAUAGGUUGGAUUUCAGUGAUCUUGUUUCUUCCAUGUCCACGUAACGUUGAAUCAGGAUGGUGAUUUUUGAAACAUCUGCGUAUAUAUAAAUGUGAAAUGAAGGUUACUUUGUAAACUUAAAGUUUCCUUUGUUGACAUGUUGUAUAGUAUAAAGAAUUAUCCACCAUACUUGAGAAUAUACAUGCUCAUGACUUUGCUAGAGAUUAUAAGUAUUAUCAUAUUUUCUUUGUAUGCUAGCUUUAUUGAAUUGAUAAACAAAGAACUAUAAUAAAUUUGCAACAGUAGUGUUUUAGGUGGCAGCUUACUUACACAUGACUAGUUGUGAACUUAAUUGAUAUAGUCUAGAGUGUUGUUCAAACAAUGCAUGAUGUUGGUGUUGUGAGAUCAUAUAUGCAUAUAUUAUUGUAAUUGUUGUUUGAUUUCUUCUGACUUAUAAAUGUAAAGUUCCCUUUGACUUCUCCAAUUGUUUCAACAAGUGAUAUUUGUUUCUGAUCGAUCUGUUUUCUACAGAGCAUGGAGAAAUUCAGAAACCUAAGGUACUCACUCAUGCUCCUGACACCAAGAAUACCUAGCUGUCAGCACCUGUUGAACUAUUAGUUUGGUGAUUUGUUUCAACAAGUGAUAUUUGUUUCUGAUCGAUCUGUUUUGUUUUCUACAGAGCAUGGAGAAAUUCAGAAACCUAAGGUACUCACUCAUGCUCAUGACUCCAAGAAUACCUAGCUGUCAGCACUGAGGUAACUUUGUGACUAAGGUCACUCGUUGAACUAUAGUUUGGUGUUUGUGAUGAAUGUAGUAAAUAAGUUGUUGAAUGACUUGUGAACCUGUUGAUUUGGUUAUGAAUGGAAUAUAUUGUUGGACCUACCUAUGUUAAUGUGGAUUAUAUGAUGUGAGUGGGGUACGUGAUGGUAUGGAUCAAGCCAAAUCAAGAAUUAUCCUACGUGACAAGGCCUACCAAUCUAUGACAUAAAAGUAGAAGUCAUAAACGCUUGUGACAUCUACAACUAAUGUCAUAAUAUUAUGACAUGAACACUUAAACGUCACAAGUUGUCAUUAAAGACACACAUCUUUUGACAUUUCAGUUUUCGUCAACUUAGUGUCAUAAAUGGUGAUCUGUGACUUAUUUUACAUGAAUUAUGACAUAUAACAAAUGUCAAAAGAUGACACAUUAUAAUAUCCACGUCGGUAGGACACAUCAUCCACUAACAUACAUUUAGUUAUCCGCAUCAGCAUGUCAUGUUAUCCACUAACAUUAGUUUAUAAUAGUUAGUCUCUUACUUAAAAAAAUAUAUGAAUAGUUAAAUUGCAGUCCAAAUCAUUAGUUUCGCAGCAACGCGUCGGAUGUUCUUCUAGUAUUAUUAAAUCUCUAAUUCAGAUUCAGGAUCAAGAUCCUCUUCUAUUUCGAGCGGAGUAAUAAUUAAACAAAUAGAGAAAAUCCUAGGGAAAGGAUAAUGGUCUCAAUUCUCAUAUGUCUUAAACUUAUUCCUUCCUCCAUCACGAGAUGUUAGUCUUUUGAUUAAAAAUAUAAAAUAGAUCUUAAAAUUACAAAAUAGAUUUCAACCAUUAUCUUUUAAAAUAUGUUGUUGUUUGUAAAAAAAAUUAAUAUUAAAUUUAGAAAUAUUUUUAAUAUAAAUUUAUGAUACAAGUUUUAUCUCUAUAUAAAUUUGUAUGUAACUGGGAUAAUUAUUAGUUAGAAAUUAUUUAUAAUAUUUGAUUUUUAUCAAAAUAAGAUAUGUUAAUUAUUUCGAGACGAAGGAAUACGGUGACUAGGGCCGGUAAUUUUCAGUGGACAAACAUAGCGGUAAUUUUCAGUGGACAAGCACAUGAGCCUCGAGCCAUCGAUCCCAGCUCCAACGCUGCACUAGGAAGCACCGGCCAGAAAAGUGAACCGCCCUGCUUAACGCUCACAGUGUUGUUUGUGCCUGACCUAUCCUGCCACUCAUGACGACCUUGGGCCUAGCCCAUCCUACCAUCCAUGAUGAUACCGGUGAUAAGAAAAGUUCACAUUACUUCUCUCAACUUUCAUAAAAGUAUAUUUUUUUUCUUAAAACUUCAAAAUCAGGCAAAAUAUCUUCCUUAAAUUUUAAAACUGUUGAUCUUACCUCCCUGUCCUUGUUAUAAGCAGUUUCGAAGGCAGUUUGGUCUUUUUUUUUUCUUUUUUGCUAAAUCUUUAAAAAAUCAUAGUAAAACAUAGGAAAAUCAUGAAACAGAAAAAUCCAAUGUUAUUGAACUUAACAUGAGCAGAUAUACAUAGUAAACAUAUAUGAUAGGCUUUAGAAUAAAGUUUUUGCUCUAGUUUUAGAUCUAUGCUUUUUUAUAAUUGAAUGAAAUAAUUCAUAGUUGCAACUUCUAUGGUCCAAUGGCGAUGAAAAUUUUAUGGUGAACUAAUUAUUUUAUGCUUAAAUUGUAGUAAAGAAUUUAUAUUCAUUGGAUCAUGUAUAACUUAGUUAUAGAUUUUAUUUAGGUUAUUGCUUGUUAGAUAUAAAUAAAUCUAUAACUAAGUUAUACAUAAUUCAAUGAGUAAAAUUUUGUACUACUGUCCAAUCAUACAAUAAUUAACCCACCAUAAAAGUUUCAUCAUAAUUGGACUAUAGAAACUGCAGUUGUGAAUUAUUCCAAUUAAUUAUUAAAAACACAGAUCUAAAGACACAAAAACUUUGUAGUAAAACAUACCAUAUUAUAUAUUCACUGUGUAGAUACUCAUAUAGAGUCUAACAAAAUUGGAUUUUCUAUUUUAUGAUUUACCAUGAUUUUCAAAUAUUAAGAUGAAAUAAAUAAAAAGGGAAAGAUACAAAACUAUUUUUAAAACUACUUGCAACAGGACCAGAGAGGUAAGAUAAACGGUUUUAAAGUCGAGGAAGGUAUUUUGUCUGGUUUUAAAGUUCUAAGAGGAAAAACAGAUUUUCACGAAAGUUGAAGGAGGUAAUGUGGAUUUUUUUGCUAUUUUGACCCAACCGCACAUAGCUGUGCUUUUCAUGGUGUUGACAAGUGUAUCGGGCUGAUACUGCACAUGCAUAUAUCCUGUUAUUUGGACUCAUCAUUGGAUCAUUCAGUUAUACGUUAUGUCCAUCUUUUAAUCAGUCAAGACCCCAACUAGGUGAAAAUUUAAGACGUAGCUACUAGCAAUUUUCAAGGAUAAUCACAUCGUAAAAGAACAUAUAUAGUUGUCUAACAAUAAAUAGGUAAUUUGUUCAUCCAAGGCAGUUACUGUAGGUUAAACUUCAUACUCAGCCACUAUUUGGAAAGUAUUCUCAUCUUAUGCAUCCUUAUUGUUCUUGUGAGAUGUUGUAGACCCGACAUAUUCAUUUAGCGCUACUGCUGAUAUUUUCCUUUGAUAAAUUAAUACAAUAUGAACAAUAGUUAUUAACAGCAGGAACAAUGUUGCAGCGCUUAUAAACCUUGCCUACGAAAAGCGUCCACGACAAGAAGUACUAAAAUAUUUCUGUAUUGAUAAGGUGAAGACAUAUCUAACUAUCUGUUAUGAUUUGCCAAUCAAAUUAAGUCUAGUACUAUAGUAGAGUAGUUGCUCCUUCCCUCCAAGCUAGAAAAGCUAUUUUGGAAGUAAUUUGGUAAAGCAGAAAAUGCAAAAAUCAUAACAGGAAUCACAACCUUAGGGGAAUGAAAGAGGUACUAAAACACCAUCCAAUGAUAUCUCUAUUGUAGUAGUGCCAAAUCUUGCAUUUGCACAAAUAGGAAUGAUAAUUUAAUUACCAUAGUACAAGGAAUCAAAUAAUGUUGCAUUCCAUAUAUCUGAACCUUGAAACCCAUUUCUUCAUUUUCUUCGGGUUAUGUGUGGGCUAAUACAAAGUUGAAGUUUUCUAAAAGCAACCGUUCAACAUGGGAGUAGCUAGUUUCAAAAUAGUUGAAUCAGAUUUCAUGAGGAGGUGACCUCCUACGUUUUCAAGGAUCUGCCUACCUGAAACCAAACCCAAAAGCAUACCUGACAACUGUUGGUUCAAUAUAAGAAAUAGAAGAUUUUAGUCACAUUUAGACACACUUAAAUUAUUUUUUAUCUAUCAACAUUGAAUAAUUUCUAUGUAAAGGAAGAGUUGAUGGUCUUAAAGGUGGCUUGAUGGACUCUGACACCAUUUACAGACCACUAAGUUUUGAUACAAAAUGAAAGUCGCACACAUCAAGUAUAAAUUCAAACUUCUUAAAUCUCGGAUCUCCCGUGUCUCCAAAAUCUCUAUGCAAUUGAAUUUUCUCACGGUGCCUCGUCCCUUGAUGUUUUUCUCCAUCUUCCUCUAUGCUCUAUCGCAUAGUCCUACUCGCUCGCGGUACCCGUGCUAGUAUACUAUAAAUUUAAAUUUUUCUGAGCGACUAAAAUACUUUUUUGAAUUUAAUUUUCAUGUUUCGUUUGAGUACGUACGUGGUUGGCCACGAGGCAGGGGUCGGGGCUUGUGGCGUGGUUGGCCACACGGAGUUUUAUUUUUCCUUUUUUUUAUUUUAAGAAAAUGUAUAGCUCACGUAGUACUACGGUAGUAGUAUGUGUAGGUCGGACGCACUUUUUAAUUCAUUUGUGGCCCAUGAAGUGAUUUUUGGGCCCAAUAGCCCAUUCAUCCGUGUCCUAACCCUAGUCUGCCAUAUAAAAACCUAACUCCAUCCGGUUCUCAAACCCUAAGACGCAGUCGGCCGCCGCACACCAGGAGAAGCCGACGCGCCGCCACCGUAUCCGCGGAUCAGCGGCGAGCCGUCACCACGCCACACUGCUUGCCGCCCGACGAGGUAUUCUCCCGCACGCGCGCGCUUCUCUUCCUUCUCUUUUCGUUGUGCUUUGAGCUUGUUCGUUUGAUGCGCUUCGAGCUUGUUCGUUUGAUGCCCAGAUCUACUAGGUUUGUCGUCUAUGUGUGAUGAGCUGAGCCGAUUCAUGCACUGGAUUUCUUAUCAAGUGUUGUUUCCGUCUCCGCUACCUUUAUUUAGUGUCUAUGUAUGAACUUGGGUGCAGUUUGCAAUUGAUUUGUCGAGCCAUAAAUUAUAAACGUUUCGUUGUUCUAGACUGAUCCAGAUUCCGAUCUAUGAUAUUACAUGGCUGAGGCACUUCUACGCUGUUUUAUGUGUCUGAACUGAGCCGAUUCAUGUGCUGAGUAAUAAUCAAAGUUUUGAUUCCGCCUCCUCGUCUACCUUUAGUAUGUACUCCGUAUAUAAACUUGAUUGCAGUUUGCAACUGAUUCUCGGCCAUAGAUUAUCACUGUUGCGUUGUUCAUUAGAUCCAGUUUCUGUGGUAUUAUGUGGGUGAGGUAGUUCCUCUUUGGAUUUUUCCUAUCCUUGAGAUUGUUUGAUUACUGGUUUAUUCCCAUGUUUGUUUAUUUCUAACUAUUUUUAGAUGAUGAUUUCUAAAUUCUAACUGUUUUUAUCUGCUAUUUUUUAUGUAAGCAGCAGCGUAACAGUUUCCUGCAGCCAUGGGUAAGGAGAAGACUCACAUAAACAUUGUGGUCAUUGGCCAUGUCGACUCUGGCAAGUCGACCACCACUGGCCACCUGAUCUACAAGCUUGGUGGUAUUGACAAGCGUGUGAUCGAGAGGUUCGAGAAAGAGGCUGCGGAGAUGAACAAGAGGUCGUUCAAGUAUGCGUGGGUGCUUGACAAGCUCAAGGCUGAGCGUGAGAGAGGUAUCACAAUUGAUAUUGCCCUGUGGAAGUUCGAGACCACCAAGUACUACUGCACGGUCAUUGAUGCCCCUGGCCACCGUGACUUCAUCAAGAAUAUGAUCACUGGCACUUCUCAGGCUGACUGUGCUGUUCUUAUCAUUGACUCCACCACUGGUGGUUUUGAGGCUGGUAUCUCCAAGGAUGGCCAGACCCGUGAGCAUGCUCUCCUUGCUUUCACACUUGGAGUGAAGCAGAUGAUUUGCUGCUGCAAUAAGGUAUGAUUCCAGGAAUUCCUAUCUAGUCUGGUUCAUGAUCUGAGAUGCCUGUAAAUAUGCGCUUCAAUAGUCUAGGCUGCACUCAAUUAUACUGCCUUCAAGUUGAAUACUGAUUGAAUAACUAAUGUUGGUUGUACUAUAAAUUUGGCAAAAUGAUACUCUGUUUACUUUGAAUAAUCCAUCUGCUUCCUACAUAUAUAUGAUAGCAUUUUUUCUGCAUAACUUUGCAUAAUCCAAUAUAAUAUUUUCAGGAAGUUUUUCCCGAUAGGUGAUGUGACUUUGUAACUCCACCUGAUUUUUGAAAUUCUCUCAAGUUGUUGGAAUGCUUGCAAUGCAUAUGUAAUUAAAGGAUAUGGGUUUGCUUAAAUGUCUUUAUAUGAUUGCAGUAGUUAGUUUACUACUUUACCUUGUAAAUUAGUAAUGGAACACUGAUUGUUUUCAUUGAAUACGCCAUCUACUUUAUACAUGUUUAUGUAUGAUAGCAAUUUAUUUGCAUUACUUUGCAUAGUAUAAUUUGAUUAUCCAGGAUAAUUGUCCCCAUAGGUGAUGUAAAUUUUUAAUCCCACCUUAUUUUAGAAAUUUUCUUAAGUUGUUGGAAUGUUUGCAAUGCACAUGUAACUAAAAGUUAUGUGUUUCUUAAAUGUCUUUAUAUGAUUGCAGUAGUUAGUUUACUUUGUCAAUUAGUAGGAUUUGUUGGCAUGCAUCUGUUAAGGUCAGUAUUUUUGGGCCUUGUUUAGUUCCCAAAAAAUUUUGCAAAAUUUUUCAGAUUCCCCGUCACAUCAUAUCUUUAGACGUAUGCAUGGAGUAUUAAAUAUAGACGAAAAUAAAAACUAAUUGCACAGUUUAGUCGGAAUUGACGAGACGAAUCUUUUAAGCCUAGUUAGUUCAUGAUUGGACAAUAUUUACCACAAACAAACGAAAGUGCUACAGUGUCGAUUUCCCAAAAAUUUUUGGAACUAAACAAGGCCCAUGUAUAUGCCUGGCGGUUAUUUGUGUUUUCCCCCCAACAAAUCUCAUUCCUUGUGCAAGUGCAGUUGACCAGUUAGUUCUGAUUAUUAUGUUCUUUCAGUUUUACUGUUUGCUUGCUGUUUAGGUAACUUAUCUGAAUCAACUAAUGAUAUUGUUUGGGUUUUGCUGCUUUACAGAUGGAUGCCACCACACCCAAGUACUCGAAGGCCCGUUAUGAUGAAAUUGUGAAGGAAGUCUCUUCCUACCUGAAGAAGGUUGGAUACAACCCAGACAAGAUCCACUUUGUUCCCAUCUCUGGUUUUGAAGGUGACAACAUGAUUGAGAGGUCCACCAACCUUGACUGGUACAAGGGCCCAACCCUGCUUGAGGCUCUGGACUUAAUCAAUGAGCCAAAGAGGCCUUCAGACAAGCCCCUGCGUCUCCCCCUUCAGGAUGUGUACAAGAUUGGUGGUAUUGGAACUGUUCCUGUGGGACGUGUUGAGACUGGUAUCAUCAAGCCGGGUAUGGUUGUCACCUUCGGUCCUAGUGGCCUUACAACUGAGGUUAAGUCUGUUGAGAUGCACCACGAGGCUCUCCAGGAGGCCCUUCCUGGUGACAAUGUUGGCUUCAACGUUAAGAAUGUUGCUGUGAAGGAUCUGAAGCGUGGGUAUGUGGCCUCCAACUCCAAGGAUGACCCUGCCAAGGAGGCUGCUAGCUUCACCUCACAGGUCAUCAUCAUGAACCACCCUGGGCAGAUUGGCAAUGGCUAUGCCCCAGUGCUGGACUGCCACACCUCACACAUUGCUGUCAAGUUUGCUGAGCUUGUUACCAAGAUUGAUAGGCGAUCUGGCAAGGAGCUUGAGAAGGAGCCCAAAUUCCUCAAGAACGGUGAUGCUGGUAUGGUGAAGAUGGUUCCCACUAAGCCCAUGGUGGUGGAGACCUUCUCUGAGUAUCCUCCUCUUGGUCGCUUUGCUGUCCGGGACAUGAGGCAAACGGUGGCUGUUGGAGUCAUCAAGAGCGUGGAGAAGAAGGACCCAACUGGAGCCAAGGUGACCAAGGCUGCCGCCAAGAAGAAAUGAGGUGUCUGUCUGGCUGGUUCUGUGUUUUCUCGAUGGAUACCUAGUUGAAACUUAAAAUAUUUCGUCAUUGCUGUUAUCGACGUGAGCAACUAAACUGUGCUAGCAAUGUUUGUCUGGUCGAUUUAGUAUUGUUAUUUUCGUUAAAACCAGGGUACUAUUAAGACUCAAUUUCUGUUAUUUUUGUAUCGAACAUCGGGUGUUGGCCAUAUGUGGUUAUGAGUUUUGUUACUACCCUUGUUGCAGUGUUUGCCUGUUUACUUGUUUUGCUCGUCCUUGCCUGUAUGCUGCGUUCAAAUUUCUCUUGCUCUUCGUUCCUUUUGAUCUUUAAGUUGCCAAAAUUGCAUAUCGAGUAUUUUGAAAUACUGUCGUAAAAGAAAGUAUUUUGAAAUAUUCUUCCGAAACGUCUUUGAUGGCAUCAAAUCCUAUACUGCUUUCCUUUAGUUUAACAUCUACAAUCCAGUAUAGGUUCCCUUUAGUUUUACCAUCUUAGGCGUUGUUUAGUUGGCUGGAUGAAAAUUUUAGCUUCCCUUUAGGCUUUGUUUAGUUUGCAAAAUUUUUCGUUUUUUGCUACUGUAGCACUUUUAUUUUUAUUUAACAAACAUUAUCUAAACAAGGAGUGACUAGACUUAAAAGAUUCAUCUCACAAAUUACAUGUAAACUGUGUAAUUAAUUUUUAUUUUUAUCUAUAUUUAAUGUUUCAUACAUGCGACUAAAGAUUCGAUAUGAUGGAGAAUCUUGAAUUUUUUUCGAACUAAACAAGGUCUUAGUUUUACCAUCUUAGGCGUUGUUUAGCUGGGUGGGUGAAAUUUUUUUGGAUUCUGUAGUAUUUUCAUGUGUAUUUGACAAUUAUUUUUAAUUAUGGAUUAACUAGUUUAAAAGAUUUGUUUUACGAUAAAAUUGUAUAAUUAAUUUUUAUUUUUGUCUAUAUUUAGUGCUAUAUGUAGAUGUAACAAAAAAUCUUAAAAAGUUUUUAGAUUUUUUGGAGGAAACUAAACAAGGCCUUAAUAUGCCUUAAAACAUAGGAAUGGGGUAUAGAUGUCAUGAGAAAAUAGAGGAAUAAGAAAAACAAGAAAUAACGGUAGAAUCAAAUAAAUUAUAGUAAUAAUAAUAAAGCUUUAGUACUGAUAAGUAAAUUAUAGUAAUAAUAAUACAAGCUUGAAUCAGUUGUACUGAAUAAGUAAAUUAUAGUACUUUGCUAAGAUUAUAGAUUAUAGUUUUCCUUUAAAAUAAGAAGCCUGCAACAAUGUUCCAUUGGAAAGGAACAUGACAAUUCAUUGCUCCUGGCCUUGUUUAGUUCCGAAAAGAUUUCGGAUUUCGGUACUUAGUACUUUCGUUUGUUUAUGACAAAUAUUAUCAAAUUAUGGACUAACUAGGAUCAAAAGAUUCGUCUCGUGAUUUCCAGCUCAACUGUGUAAUUAGUUUUUGAUUUCGUCUAUAUUUAAUGCUUAAUGCAUGUGCCACAAGAUUCGAUGAACUAAACAAGCACAUCACCUCUGCUGAACGGCCUGCUCCUGCACUCGUCUGCCGCCAGCAUGAUGCUGUGCGCGUCGGGCGUCCUCGUCAUGCUCCCGCACUCCGCGCUUUGCCGAUGCCACGCGCUACGGUGUACGCAUGACGUGGGUGGCGUGCUGCCUGUGGGAUGGCGCACGUCGUGACCUGCUCGCUAGUGUGUCCGUGUCUUUUUGCAAAACGUGAGAAAAAAAAAGAGUAACGUUUGUGUCUACGGGAGUAUUUGGUUGAGGUAGCACAUUUAAAUUAUAGUAAUUAGUAUCUAAUUAUAAAUUAAUUAGAUUUAAAAAUCAUCUUAUAAAUUAUUCUUUAAUUGUGUUUUUAAUUUUAUAGAUAAUCUAUAUUUAGUAUUUCAUAUAUAUGUCUAAAUAUUUUAUAUGAUAGGUGUUAAAAAAAGGUCGGAACGCUAAGCUCUUCGGUGGGACUGUGGGAGAGAAAGUGAAUUUAAAUCUUCACGUACUGUGGACCAAUCGGAGGAAGGAAAGUAGAGAUAUCGUCUUGCAUGCGAGGGAAAAUCAAUAAAGAAUUUACUCAGCGUGGGAAGAAUUAACCAUUUUUUAGUGGCGGUGCCAAAAAUUGCACAGAGGAGUAUAUGGGCUAAGCGUAGCUCAUCUGUUUAGUUUUUUUCAAGGUGCAUUGGUUGCACUUACACCUUUGACUAUACUAGUUAAGUAUACGUUCAAUAAAAUAUAAUGAAAUGUAAGUACACAUUUAGUAGAACCUAAUUUUUUUAAUGUGAUUUUAUUGUCUAGUGACAUAAAAAAUGCACUCCCUCCGUACUAGAAAAUAAAGUCUUUUUGGAUAGGGACACGGUCUCUAAAGCAUAACUUUGACUCCUUGUUUUUAUAAAAAAUUUUAUCAGAAAGUGAUAUAUAUAUAUUUUAAUGAAAGUAUUUUUCAAGACAAAUCUAUUCAUAUAGUUUUCACAAAUGAAAGUAUUUUUCAAGACAAAUCUAUUCAUAUAGUUUUCACAUUUCUAAACUCAACAACUUAAAAUUUAUUCAUUAUUUAUAUUCCCAAUGUUUGACCCGAACUUUGUCUAAAAUAACUUUAUUUUUUAGUGUGGAGGGAGUAUAUAACAAGAAUUUUUUUAUUAUAUCUUCCAAAUAUAAACAUAUUCUAUACUUCGACAGUCCACUAUCAUUUGUAAUUAAAGUUCACUAACAAAAGCAAUUAUAAUAUCCACGUCACUGGGACACAUCAUCCACUAACAUACAUUUAGUUAUCCACAUCAGCAUGUCACGCUCUACUAACAUUAUUUUAUAAUAGUUAGUCUCUUACUAAAAAUGUAUGAAUAGUUAAAUUGCAUUCCAAAUCAUUAGUUUCGCAACAACGCGCGGGAUGUUCUUUUAGUGUUAUUAAAUCUCUAAUUCAGGGAUCAAGAUUCUCUUCUAUUUCGAGCGGAGUAAUAAUUGAACAAACAGGGGAAAUCCUAGGAAAGGAUAAUGGUCUCAAUUCUUAUAUGUCUUAAAAUUACUACUUCCUCCAUCACGAGACGUUAGUCUUUUGAUUAAAAAAUAUAAAAUAUAACUUAAAAUCACAAAAUAGAUUUCAACCAUUAUUUUUAAAUAUGUUAUUAUUUGUUAAAAAUAAUAUUAAAUUUAGAAACAUUUUGAAUAUAAAUUUAUUGAUACAAUUUUUAUCUCUAUAUAAAUUUGUAUGUAAUUGGGAUAAUUAUUAGUUAGAAAUUAUUUAUAAUAUUUGAUUUUAUCAAAAUAAGAUACGUUAAUUAUUUCGGGACGGAGGGAUACGGUGACUAGGGCCGGUAAUUUUCAGUGGACAAACAUAGCGGCAAUUUUCAUUGGACAAGCACAUAAGCCUCCAGCCAUCGAUCCCAACUCCAAGCCUCCAACGCUGCACCAAGAAGCACCGAACCGCCCUGCUUGAUGCUCAUUGUGCCAUUUGUGCCUGACCCAUCCUGCCACUCAUGACGACCUUGACGACCUUGGGCCUAACCCAUCCUGCCAUCCAGGACGAUACUGGUGAAAAGUCCACGUUACUUUUCUCAACUUUCACAAAAGUAUAUUUUUUCUUAUGAAACUUCAAAAUCGGGCAAAAUAUCUCCCUUAAAUUUUAAAACCUUGAUCUUACCUUACUGUCCUUGUUAUAAGCAGCUUUGAAGGCGGUUUGGUCUUUUUAUUUUUUAGCUAAUUCUUUAAAAAUCAUAGUAAAACAUAGGAAAAUCAUGAAACGAAAAAGGCUAAUUUUGUUGAACUCCACGUGAAUAGAUAUAUAUACUAAACAUAUAAUAUGAUAUGCUUUAGUAUAAAGUUUUUCAAUAGUUUUAGAUCUAUGUUUUUUUAUAAUUGAAUGAAAUGCAACUUAUAUGGUCCAAUGGUGAACUAAUUAUUAUAUGCCUAAAUUGUACUAAAAAUUUCAUAUUCAUUGGAUCAUGUAUAACUUAGUUAUAGAUUUUUUAAGGUUAUUGCUUGUUUAAUAUAAAUAAAUCUAUAACUAAGUUAUACAUAAUUCAUUGAGUAAAAUUUUUACUACAAUCAAAUCAUACCAUAAUUAACCCACCAUAAAAAUUUCAUCAUAAUUGGACCAUAGAACUCGCAGCUGUGAAUUAUUCCAAUUAAUUAUUAAAAAGCACAGAUCUAAAGACACAAAAAACUUUAUAGUAAAAUAUACCAUAUUAUAUAAUCAUUGUGUAGAUACUCAUGUGGAGUCUAACAAAAUUAGAUUUUAUAUUUUAUGAUUUUUUGCGAUUUACCAUGAUUUUCAAAUAUUAAGAUGAAAUAAAUAAAAAAGAAAGAGACAAAAUUGCCUUUAAAACUACUUACAACAGGACCAAAGAGGUAAGAUAAACAGUUUUAAAGUUGAGGUAGGUAUUUGUUUGGUUUUAAAGUUUUGAGAGGAAAAGUAGACUUUCGCAAAAGUUGAAGGAGGUAAUGUGGAUUUUUUUUUCCUAUUUUGACCCAACCUCACAUAGCUGUGCUUUUCAUGGUGUUGACCAGUGUAGCAGGUUGAUACUGCUGAAAGGAUCAAGAUGCUCAAGACGAGGGGUGAAUUGGGCUUCUCUAAAAAUUUAAGCAACCUAUAAGCCUCAAUUCAAUCCUUGUGCCUAAUUGUGUUCUAGAGAGCUACCGGACAAAAGUUUUGCAAUCUACUUCCAAUCCUAUUCUAGUAUGGCAAUUAUAGAAAAUAUAAAGUUCUGAAUUUAAGUACUAGAAUGUGAAGGGUAAGAGGAAGAGAAACGCCACGAUGUUUUGUCGAGGUAUCAGAGAGUCGCCAUUCCCCACCAGACCUCAUUGGAGCACACAUGUAAGGGCCUUGCUCCCCCUUGAUCCGCGCAAGGACCAAGUGCUCUCUACGGGUUGAUUCUUUGACACUUCGUCGCAGUGAAUCGCCCACAACCGCUCACAAGCUUGGCACGAGCUACCCACAAGAACAUCGGAUGAUCUUCGUGGCUCCAAUCACCACCGAACCGUCUAGGUGAUGACGAUCACCAAGAGUAACAAACAAUAAACUCUCACUUGACCCACACAAGGCUAAAGAGAGUGGUGGAUGCACACUUAAACUCUUGAUCUCAUUAGAGAAGGAUCACUCAAGAAAUCACUCAAAUCUCAAUUAUGUCUAGGCUCUUACUUCACCCUUGCACCAUAAGGUGUUUUUGAGCCGAAUAAAUGGGCAAGAGAGGUUUCUUGGGCAUGGUGGAGAAGUAUAUAUACCUCCCACCAAGUCCAAGAGUCGGCCAUGUGCACCCGACACUCUUGAUGUUGCAACGGACGCUUGCGCAGAGAGUCGAGUGCCUCAACAACAGCUAGUUGCGGUAUGAAAACCCUUAUCACACCGGACGCGUAGGGGCGUCCGAUGCCCUCACUCUGGAUGCAUCUAGUGCGGAAACUCUUUUGACAUGCUCCUUGGGUAAGGGAAUAGACACACCCGGAAGCGUCCGGUGCUGUGUCCGGUGCCAUACCCUAGACACGUGGCACGCUGGCUCAUCACCUGCAUACACCGAACGCACAAACAGUCCUAUUGUUGUGUUUGAUGCCAGCGUCCGAUGCCUAAAGUCAAUCAACACUUCAUCGAAACGCGAACUUUCCAAAACAAAGUUUGAUCCUCUCGAUCUAAGGACUCUCUCUAAGUUGCCUAGUGCUAGAAUUAACAAGUGUGCACCACACCUAGACCUAAAGUCUUGCCUCGGUUAAGCUACCCGUUUGUUGCCCCCUUAAUAGUACAGUCAAAAGGAAAAAUAAAGUCCUAAACUACUCUAAACACCCUUCAACUCCAAAUGGCACUUAGACCUAGUCUAAUCCUGACGAUGUCCAUGAUCCUUUAAAAACUAAAACGAUUUCUGCCAUCAAAGUGGGCACGAACUCAAUAGUCCAUUAAUCACCAUUACCAUGACCUAACUCAUAUGAUUGCCGCUGCAAAACAUACGUUAGUCAUAGUAAUCAACAUUGUCAUUAAUCACCAAAACUCACUAGGGGCCUAGAUGCUUUCAAUCUCCCCCUUUUUGGUGAUUGAUGACAAUAACCUCGAGUAUGUGAAAGAGAGUGAGGUUUUCAGACAACUUGGUUCAUAUAAGCAUGAGACAAAAAGAGCGAAAAGAGAAUUAGUCAAGCUUAUAUCAACCAAGCCAACAUCCUACAUCCAAAGAUGUGAGUCGAGUUCACCAGGAGAAACAAGUGGCUCAUAUGAAAUCAGAGUAAAACGCGGAAGCAAAAUAAUAUGAGCCAAAACACAUGACAUAGAGAGAUAAACAUGUAGCACACAUGACAUGUCUAGCAUCCAACAAGCAUAACUGAGGAGUGUAUCAUACAAUGCAUAAAGGUAAAUAUGAUGCAUGAAGUAUCACACAAAGAACAAAAAUACAGCUCAUAAGCUCCCCUAAGUCUAACAUACUCGCUCUCUCUCUCUCUCUCUCUCUCUCUCUCUCUCUCUCUCUCUCUCUCUCCCUUUGGCAUAAAGUACCAAAAACCUAAGAGUCUAUCGGUGGAGACAGAGCGGAUGAGUCGCGAGGAAUGGCCUCAAACUAGGUCAAGUCAACAUCUAAGUCCUCAUCGAUCGUUCUCUAGGAAGCUGUGCUAGGCUGAACAUCUACUUGACCCUCAGUAUCGUCACGUGUAGGUAAAGCGGUUUGGGUCGGCUCUACAAACUCUAGAACUGUCUGAUGUGUUGUCUCAGUCUCAACCUAUGACUCAACUCUGGUGGAGGUGGCUGGCAUAGACUCUAUAGCUAUCGCUGAGGCCUCUAGGAGAGUAGAAGACUGGACAAGCUGCUCAGAUGAAGCAAGUGAGGAGGACAGAAGCUCUGUAGUCGUAAUAGGAAUUAUGGAGGUUCCUUGAGCCUACUGUGGAUGAGGUGUCGGCAUGCUGGUAAGCUCACUAUAAGAGAAAGAUAACCCCUGUCCAGUCGAAGUCUCACGCGCUAAGUAUGACUCAGUGUGUGUCUGAGGAGUAAAGCCUGUACAAAGCAAAGUGAACUAUGGUGUCUACCCAAAGCUAGUAGAGAUCACACCCUGAGAGACCUGCUAAGGUGGAGUCAUGAAGGGCUGACUCUGAGCUGGAAGCUGUAGCGGCUGCUGAGACUGACUCUAAAGCCCACCAGGCUAUAACGCUAGAGUCGUGGUGGUAGAUGGACCGAUAGGAGGAACACCUAGAAGCUGAGACUGUGGAACUGUGACCCCUUUCGCUGCCACUAGAGCUACUAGAAGUGCGGCCUACUGAGCCUGAUAGGCAAGCUGCUGCUUUUAAAAGGAAAGAAGUUGUCGCUGGAGCUUGUCCUGGCGAGCCUGAAGUGCAGCAGCUAUGGUAGCCUGCUCUCUGUCACAUCUGGCCUAUUCCUCAGCCAUCCUCUACUGAUCAGCCCUCAUCCUAUCACGUAUAGCAAGUAGUGCUAGAUUUAUAGAGGAACUGCCAGCCAUGCGUUCAUGUGACCGAGGUGGAAGGUUAGGAAUAGGCUGGUGAUAGUCAUCAUCUGAACUGUCAAAGGUGAACUCAAACUCACUCUCUGCCUCUGCCUCUACCAUGGCUUCAAUAGCCAUGUGCUGCUCCUCUAUCUCAAGUAGAGCCCCUGAACUGCGUGUAGCUCUAGGUGUAGGUGCUGGAGAUGGUGCUCGUGGUGCAGGUGCUGCCACUGGUGAUCUCAAAUCAACAUAGGUCCUCAUCAUCUGGCGAAGGUCAUAGUGAGGAAACAUAGUCAUUGGUCAGUCAGCUCUCUCUAGAUCUAGGGAGGAAGUGGUGAAAGCCCUAGUUUGGUUUUGGAUAAUUGAUGAAACCCUAGUACUAACCUCUAUACUAAGUGUGUGUAGACUUAAUGAGGUUGGUACAUGCCAAGUGAUGGAGCAAGUGAUGAUCAUGGUGAUGAUGGUGAUGACCACAAGAUGAUCAAGUGCUCAACUUGGAAAAGAAGAAAGAGAAAAACAAAACCCUAUGGAGAUCAAGGCAAAGGUAUUGCUUAGGGUUUUGGUUUUGGUGAUCAAGACACCAUAGAGGGUGUGAUCACAUUUAGGAUAGAUAGCCGUACUAUAAAGAGGGGAAUUCUUUGGCUAAGCGGUUAUCAAGUGCCACUAGGUGUCAUUGUUCAUGUGCAUGCAUUUAGAACCUAGUGAGCUAACUUAACUCCUUCGAAGAAAAAUGUUUGUGAAAAUGCUAACACACGUGCACUUGUUGGUACACACUUUGUGGUGUUAGCACACUUUGAGAAUGAGGUGGAGUUUAAAGGGUAGAGAGAGGAUGGGUAGUCGCAUAUUUUGUGAAAAUGCUAACACACGUGCACUUUGUGGUGUUAGCACACUUCGGCGCUUUUCGAGAAAACGAAGUGCAUAUUUUCUAUUGCGCCGGUGGGAAAUUUGGAGUAGUCGCGGGAGUGUUUCUCGCUGAGAAAACACUCACCGGACGCUGGCUUCUGGAGCACCGGACGCUCAGACGUCCGGUGCAGACAGUGCCUGGCCCAGUUAGGGUAAGGCACCGGAUGAUAGGCACCGGACGCUGGCUUGAGCGUCCGGUGGUGCGCGUCCGGUGUGCGGGCGUUUUGCGACCCUCUCUGCGCAUGAGUCCGGUGUGCACCGGACGCGUCCGGUGCCAACCUGCUCAGCGUCCGGUGCUCUGCAGGUUACCGUUAGACUCUGACACGCGGCUGACGUUGGAGCACCGGACGCAGGUGUUGAGCGUCCGGUGCCCCUUUAAGAGCGUCCGGUGACCCCGAGUUAGACCCAGUGAGAGAGCCAAUAGCUCUAUUUGUUUGAGGGGUCUAUAAAUAGUUGUUAGCCGGCUUAGGGCUUACACUCUUGGCAUUCUAACAUACUUGACAUCCUUAUGAGCCUAAGCAAACACCUCCCACUCAUCUCCUUCGUAGAUUAAACAUCUUUGUGAGAUUGGGAGUGAUUCUAAGUGCAUUUGCUUGAGUGAUUGCAUCUAGUGGCACUUGGGGAUCGUUCUAGCUGCGGUUUUCUUGUUACUCUUGGUGGUUGCCGCCACCUAGACGGCUUGGAGCAGCGGAGGAGGAUUGGCACGAGUUGGUGAUUGUUCGUGGCCAUCUCCCGGUGAUUGUGAGGGGUCUUGUACCUUCCCCGGCGGAGAGCCGAAAGGUAACUCUAGUGGAUUGCUCGUGUCAUUGAGUUACCUCACUUGUGGGUAGGUUCUUGUGGUGUCCUAGUGAGGACGAGGUUCGUGCUACACCUCUUAGCCACCGAACCACCAAGUGUUGGUCGACACAACGGGGACGUAGCGUGCCGGCAAGCACGUGAACCUCGGGAGAAAAAUUAGUGUCUCAUUUGUGUUUGAUUGGCAUUCUCCCAGUGCUUGAUUGUUUAUAUUGGUCAUUGGUGCAUCCCCUACACGGCGGUAUAAAUAUCUCAUCCUAUCUUUACUUACCGCAAACUAGUGUAAUUAGUUUAGUUCCUUACUUUGACUUGUGUAGCUUAGUUCUCUAGUGUCACUUGUAGAGACUUAGUUCUUGUGUGCAUAGAGAUCAUAGCAACUAGAAUUAUUGGGUAGGUGGCUUGCAAACAUCCCUUUAGAGCUAGAGCAAAAAGCUUCGCUUUGUUAUUUACUAACCUUUUGCUCUAGUGAGUUUGUAGAUUUUUUAGAACAGGCUAUUCACCCCCCCUCUAGCCAUAUUAGGACCUUUCACCAGCCCAAUACACGAGAGGGGGACUAUAUAAGAAUCAAUGGAGCUGUCACUACCACGAACUACCCCGCGAUCUGGCAUAUAGGGUACAAUCGCAGAUAAAUACGGUAUAAGCACCACGCCUACACAAUAUCUAUCAUUUACCCAUGGAUCAGAUGGAUAAACGCUAUACGGUCCUAAACAUGUAUAUAAUUCCAAUCUAACUAAGCCAAGUAUAUAACUAUGAUAAACUAAGAACAAUAUAAUUGCGAAUAUAAACAAGUAGAGCAAAGUCAUAAUCAAUAUAUUGAAGUAGAACAAAGUCAUAUUCAUAAUAUCGAAGAACAAAGAUGAACAACUGAAGAACAAUAGAGAAUUACCAAGAAUCCUCUUGACAGAUCCAGAAACCAAUCGAAGAUUGACUCCUUCUAGUUCUAAUCCUAUGUAGCUAUGCUAAUCUAGAUAUCUAAUUGAUGUGGUGGCUCUAGGAUUGAUCAGAGGCUUCUUCUCCCUUGAUGAAUAAUGAAUUAGGGUUGAGAGGUCCUCUCCUCCAGGGGCCAGGGGGUCUAGUUUUAUAGUCCUUCCAAGUGAAUAUGGACCGUCGGAUCAAACCGACAUUGAUUGAACGGUUAUCUUUGAUCCUUUAGGUCGGUGGAGCGUAAUCCCAAAAGAGAGUCCUGAUUGGACUCCAGAGGGGGCGGGCGUCCUGGUCCCUAGGGCGGGCGCCCUGGGCCAGGCCCUGUUCUGCCUCCGCUUCGUUCCCGUGACUUCUGGAGUCUUCUAGAUGUAAGAUAAUUGCGCGGCACGUUAAUAUCUCUAUGACCCGACGUGUGGGCCUUUCUUCCGUAUUUCCCGAUAACCCCCUGCAGAAAUAGACAAACACCAAAACUCAUGGAAUUCUGUCAGAUAAAACCCUAAGUCUGGAUGUUGAUUGCAUUUGGAUCCUUUUCUUUGUUUAUUUGAUAGUUAAAUUUGAUACUUAAGGACCGUCAACAAACUCCCCCAAGCUUACCUCUUGCUCGUCCCUGAGCAAGGAUAGACUUAGCGAUAGACAAGAAGUUGUUGCAAUGCCUUUAAAAGUUGACGGUACACAUGCUUUUAAAUGAGGUCUCAUCCCUAAGUUAGAGUAAACUGUCAAGACUUAAAACUUACUUACUUUACCUUUCACCAUGGGACUGGUAACCGUCACUUCUGUCUUGAGUAGUUAAAAGAUAGAACAGUAUAGCCAAGUGCCAUGUCUCUUAUUCUUGAUCAGCUAUAGCUCUGGAGUUUUUGUAGAUUUUCAAAUAAAACUCAGAGAUUCCUUGUAUGACUCUCUCAGAUCUCUCUUUUGUGGUAUUUCUGGAUCCUUACCAAGGCAGUGAUGGUAUAUGCCUUCUCUCAAGUAUGUAGUAUUUGUGGUAUAAGGCAUAGUGACAUUGCCUUCUCUCUCACCCUACUCUAAUAAGGCUUUAAUAUCUAGAGCUCAUAGGUGGGAUAUAAAGUAUACAUACUCACAAGACAUUUAUUGUAUAGUCAAACCAUAGAUCUAGAGAAACAAGUCAAUAAGUCAAAUCAAGAUGUGCAUAUGAAGCAAAUGAAUGGUGUAUGACGAUGAUGGUGAUAACAAUGGUGAAAGUCUAAUUCUACUUUUGCUCUUUUGAGGGGAUAUAUACCUUCCUUGCUCUUUUGAAACUUUUUGAGGAGAAUGAGAUGCUCUAUAUUUUCUUUAUCUUUCCUCUCAGGUGGGUAUUUUGUACCCCUAAUUCUACUGUCGGACACUUGUCCAUUUUUACCUCUAGUCUCACUUUUUCUUUUCUUUCGAGGUUCCGGGCACUUGCCCCUUUUUAUUUCCUCGUAUCGCUCUUUUCUUAGAGCACUCAUGUAAGUGCAUUCGCUCCUGAUGUGGGUUUUGAUAAUUAAUGACAACCAAAUUAGGGACUAACAUGUUUAUCGAGCAUAAUCUACAGGUGUUAGUCCAUUGAUGGAAUUGAACAAAAACAUUCGGUGAAUUAUAGCACCCCUAAAUUUCCAAUGGAUGAACGGUGUUUUGACUCAAGUGGCUACAAAGUUUUUAUUCUUUGCUUGAGUUAUAGGAAACGCCGCACUAUCAAGAGGGAUGCAAAUUGAGUUGGUAAGAUGAGGAUAAAAGUGCUCAGGUCAACUUAGCUCUUGCGCUUGAGAGACACACUUGCACGCACGAACCACUAGGAAAUUUCUUCUCUGCCAGGGUGUGCCGGUAGUACCGACCCUCAGGGCCGGUGGUACCGGUAGUGCCAGUCCUUCUCCUGAGUUUUGCGAGAAAAUGAACUACCGGUAGUACCGGGCUCGGGCCGGUGGUACCGGCCAGCACCAGUAGUACCGGUGUGAAACGCCGGUAGUACCGGCAGGCCAAAUCUGCGCUGACUUUGGUUACGGAGAUUUGAAUUGCUGGUGGUACCGGCCUUCCACCGGUGGUACCGGGAAUGGUCGGUAGUACCGACAAAAGCCCGGUGGUACCGGUAGGCUUAUUUCUCGCAAAUCCUAGAGACUUCUUACCGUUAGAUCUGAGGUAGCCGGUGGUACCGGUGGUUGCCCUGGUAGUACCGGCAGUUGUUCAGGAUCUGUGUAUAAAUAGCUCUUCCCUCAUUUCUGACCGUUAGCUCUCCCAUUCCUUCAACUCUACAUUUGAGAAAAUAGUCUCCAAGCUUUGACUCACCCACUCUCUCUCCCUCUUUGCUCCUAGACUUCACUCCUUGAGAGAUUCGAGCUAGAGAAGUGAGAUUAGAGAGUUGGGAGCUUCGAUUUGUGACUUGAGCACUUGGUUUCUUCGUCUUGCCGGUUUGGUUUGCAUUUGUUACUCUUGGGUUCUUGGAACCCUAGCCAGCUAGGCGUUCUUCGUGGUUGCCCGUGUUGAUUCAUUUGUGAGGGCACCCCGAAGUGUUUGUAUAACCCUUUGAUUCUUAGUGGAAAUCUUGAGCUAACCUGUGUGGUUGCUUGAGGGAGGAGACCUAAGUGGUCGGACCUUCGUGGUCACCUCAACAGUGGGGAUUGCCGAACCUCGGGAAAAAUAUCUUGUCUUGCUGUGGAGGUAGCAUCGACUACCCUUGUUCUUGUGUUCUUCGUGUUCUUCCUCUGUACUCCCUUUCAUAGGUGAACAAGGGCCGAUCUACGUUUUGGAGAAGAACCGAGCCAAGGGAACUUCAACAUCAUCCUCUACUACAUCUUGGAGAGUGGGGUAACUCUCAGAUCUGAAAUCAAAACUCAAUCUACUCUGAUUUCAUAGCUCUCAUAGGGCGUCGGUAGUAUCAACAGUUGCGUCGGUAGUACUGGCUAUCUUACACCGGUAGUACCGGCCCAAACUGUCGGUAGUACCGGCAGGCAUUUAACUUCCGCAACUUGAGCUUUUGAGUUUCAGGUUUUUAAGAUACGCCUAUUCACCCCCCUCUAGGCCAAUUAGAUCCUUUCAACUCAUCUCAUAAUAUAGCAAGUGGUAGUAACCAAGAUAACUUGAGCAUUUAUUUCACAGGGGAAAAAUAGAAAUAUUUUUGGCUAUUCUCUCCCGAAUUAGGAGUAGAAUAUUUUUGGGUGGUUCUGGAGAUGGAAAUGAGUGGAUAUAUGUGGAUGCGUAUUUCCGGAGUAGAAGCAGCAUAUGUGAGUGAACGUGCAAGUGAAUCUUGAUUUAACCACAAGACAAUCUCCUAAGGGUCUACACAGCUUGACCACACUCAAUGAUCAUAAGUAGUAAAAAAUAAAUGUGUGGCUCAAAGUCUAGCAAGCAUGUAUAUAUGGCUGUGGUAGGAAUUUAAACUCUCAUCAUACAGGAACUCAUCAUGUGAUAUUUUAAAGAUUUUUUAAAGAUAAAAUUCUCCAGAAUUCUAGCAUCUCUAGGAACAGAUAAACAGCAUCUCAACCUUCCCAUAUCAUAUCCGUUAACAACUUAGACUUUAGAUCAAGUUUUCUUCCCACAAGUUCAGGUUUAGAAGCAAGCUUUAAAUUAUAACAGUUAUGUCUAAACUUGAGAAAGAACUCAAAUUUGAAAAUUAGGCAGAGCAACUAUUCAUCAUAUCCAUGCUAGAGUUUUAUUAUUAAGAUUCAGUUUAGCAUAGCCACUUUAUUUAUUUAUUAAGCACACUAAGCAAAAGAUAUAUAUAUAUAUAUAUAUAUAUAUAUAUAUAUAAGCACAAAAUCUUUAUUUGGUUUUCCAUAGUUAUGUAUAUUUAUAUUUUAAUAUAGUAUAAGUAUAAAGAUAGAUAUAAAUACUUAGCGGGAUAAAUGGGGGUGCUCUCCCCCAAGCUGAAUUUUGAUAUAAUUUCUUCUGAUGUAGCUAGCAGGUGGCAGAGGUGUAUUUGAAAGUCGGCAGUAUCCUGACAGCGAUUAGAAUGUCCUCCGUCUGCUAGUCUUCUUGAUUCUUAAAUUCUCUUGGCAAGGCGUUCGGUGUUUUUAAGUCCUCCGAACAAGACUCUCCGUUUUCUCAGUUGUCCUGGGGUUCAUUGGGUGGCGUAGUCGGUGCUUCCGGUAGCGCCUCUUCUUUAUAAUACCCGAUUUUAAAGACAAAACUAGAUAUGCACCAUAUGUGAGUUUUAGAAGCCAAAUCCCACAUAUAGCUACAAAUAAAGGGUAAUAUCAAAAGAGAAUGCAUAAAUAUAUAACGUACUUAGUAUAAAAGAGAUAACCUUUGAUAGCAAACAGCGCAUAGACUACUCCAACUUCGGGUAUUAACUUCUCUCUACAGGAUCCAACUGACUGGUUGAUAACAAGCCUAAACUUCUCCUGAAGGGUGGGGGAAAUAGCAAGAGUGAGUCCAUGUCGAACUCCACAAGUAUAGCAACUAGAUUGUAUAGCUCUCACAAUCUCAUGAUCAAUGUGACAUAAAUAAUGUAAAGCAUUAAAUAAUAAAUAAUGAGCAUAUUUAACACACAAGAAUCAUCAUCGUCGAUGCAAGAAUCCCUAAGGCCGCUUUUGACCGUGAGCAUGACUAGUAUACCAGUUUUAACACUCUGCAGAGGUUGUACAUCUUUACCCAUGAGUCAUGAUUUACCCUUUCGCCCGAGGUGAUCAGCCACUUAACCCACUUCCAAUGAAGGUUGGUAGGGAUCACUAUGAAGCCUUUCAAAAGUUCGUCUAACAUGUUUGAAAGCCCUAGUUUGGUUUUGGAUAAUUGAUGAAACCCUAGUACUAACCUCUAUGCUAAGUGUGUGUAGACUUAAUGAGGUUGGUACAUGCCAAGUGAUGGAGCAAGAGAUGAUCAUGGUGAUGAUGGUGAUAACCUCAAGAUGAUCAAGUGCUCAACUUGGAAAAGAAGAAAGAGAAAAACAAAACCCUAUGGAGAUCAAGGCAAAGGUAUUGCUUAGGGUUUUGGUUUUGGUGAUCAAGACACCAUAGAGGGUGUGAUCACAAUUAGGAUAGAUAGCCGUACUAUUUAGAGGGGUAAUCUCGUUGUGAAAACGGUUGUCUAAGUGCCACUAGGUGAUUGGAUUCCUUGCAUGUGCAUUAGGACCUAGUGAGCUAACUAAGUAACCCUUGAAAAAUGUUUUUGAAAUAUGCUAACACACGUGCACAAGUGUGGAGAAACUUUGGUGUUGGCACAUGGAAGCAAGGAAAGAAGCUGAGUUCUUUGUGUGCAGCGCGUUCAGGCCGGACGCGUCCGGUAUGAGGUCGGACGCGUCCGAGUUGAGGCACCGGACGCGGAAAGAGUUUUCGCGUAGAGUCCGGUGUGCCUCGUCCGGUGAGUUCGUUUCUCGGUGAAACUCUCUGAGUUUGCGUCCGGUGUGAACUAGGACGCGUCCGAGUUGGCGUCCGGUGCAAGCUCCUCUUGCAGAGCUCUCUGGGUGUGAGUCUGGUGCACACCGGACCGUCUGGUGUGUGCGUCCGGUGUGGCGACCGGUGUUGGCUCAAGUUUGCGACGCUCUCUGAGUUUGGGUCCGGUGCACACCGGACGCGUCCGGUGUGAACUAGGACGCGUUCGGUAUUUCAAAAGUGAGCGUCUGGUGCCUUGUCAGUGUCAGAGACAACGGCUACUUUUCUAACGGUCAGGAGCACCGGACGCUGGUCUGGCUCAUACCGGACGCGUCCGGUGUGAACUAGGACGCGUCCUGUGUGAACGCAGACAGUGGGAUUUCCUGCCAACGGCUAGUUGAAGCUUGGGACUUCUAUUUAUAUGCCUUGGCUGGUUCUUGCUCACCCUCUUGACUCUCUAACUUGUUGAUACACCUUGUGAGCAUACUCCCACACUUCCCACUCACCUUGUUCAAGAUUUGUUCAUCCAAAGUGAGAUUAGGAGAGAUCCUAGUUGCAUUUGCUUAGAGUUUGAGCAUCUAGUGGCACUAGUGAUCGUUGAGCAGCGGGUUUGCUUGUUACUCUUGGUGGUUGCCGCCACCUAGACGGCUUGGAGCUGCGGAGGAGCUUUGGCAUGAGUUGGUGAUUGUUCGUGGCCAUCUCCCGGUGAUUGUGAGAGGUUUGUGCCUACCUCGGCGGAGAGCCAAAGGCAACAUUAGUGGAUUGCUCGUGUCAUUGAGCUACCUCACUUGUGGGUAGGUUCUUGUGGUGUCCUAGUGAGGACGAGGUUCGUGCUACACCUCUUAGCCUCCAAACCACCAAGUGUUGGUCGACACAACGGGGACGUAGCGUGCCGGCAAGCACGUGAACCUCGGGAGAAAAAUCGGUGUCUCAAUUGUGAUUGAUUGGCAUUCUUCCGGUGCUUGAUUGUUGAUAUAUUUGGUGAUUGGUUCAUCCCCUACACGGCGGUAUAAAUAUCUUUUCCUCUCCUUUCACUUACCGCAAAGUAGUGUAACUAGUUUUAGUUGCUAGUUUUGUCUUGUGUAGUUAAGCUCACUAGUGUAACUUGUAGAAGACCUAGAGCUUGUGUGCUUAGUGAUCAUAGCAACUAGAAUUGUUGGAUAGGUGGCUUGCAAACACCCUCUUUUAGAGCUAGAGCAAAAAGCUACGCUUUGUUUUUUACUAACCUCUUGCUCUAGUGAGUUUGUAGAUUUUUUUAAUAGGCUAUUCACCCCCCCCUCUAGCCAUAUUAGGACCUUUCAAGUGGUAUCGGAGCCGUGGUCACCGUUUGUGAAGGCUUAACAACCUCGGUGCUCAAAUUAUGGCUCAAAUAGUGUUCAACCAUGUUGGGGGCAAACCACUGUUUUUUGAUGGCACAAGUUCUUUUGACUAUUGGAAGAGAAAGAUGAAAAUGUAUCUUGUAUCAAUCAAUGAUAGAGUGUGAGAAGUCACGGAGAAUGAUUUUGUGAUCCUUGACCCCGCUAACCCAACCGACAAUGAGAGAGCAAACAAGCAAUGCAAUACUAUGGCUCUCAACACAAUCUACAAUGGCAUUGAUUCAAAAGUGUUUGAACAAGUCAAAGAUCUUGAGAAGGCAAGUAAAGUGUGGACAAGGCUAGAAGAAACAUAUGAGGGCACUACAACGGUAAAAAGUGCCAAGUUGUAUAUGCUCAAGGACAAGCUAUCCAACUUCAAGAUGAAGGAUGAUGAGUCAAUCCCGGAGAUGUUCUAUAGGCUCCAAGUCAUCAUCAAUGAUCUCAAGGGACUUGGUGAGAAAGUGAAGGAUGAGGACUUCAUUCACAAGUUCUUGAUGUGCUUGCCCAAGAGGUUCAAGACAUUGAGAACCAUCAUAUUUAGAGGAGGAUUGACGGGUGUAUCUCCCAAUGAGGUACUUGGAGAUGUCAUGACCGAAGAUCAAUAUAAUGACAAUGAUGAUGAUGAGGUCAUGAAGAAGGAUGAUGAUGACAAGAAGAAGAAGAGUGUAGCAUUCAAAGCUAGCUCUUCAUCCAAGAGCAAGAACAAGGACAAGGCCAAGAAGGAAGAAUCAAGUGAUGAGGAGUGCUCCAAUGAUGAUAGUGAUGAUGAAGCACUAGCACUCUUUGUCCGCAAGUUUGGCAAGAUGAAGAAGAAGAAGGGCUAUCACACAAGAAAGAGAAGAGAUCACUUCAAGAACAAGGAGCAUGUGAGGCUAUGCUACAAGUGCAAGAGCCCCGAUCAUAUUGUGGCGGAUUGUCCUUACAAUAGUGACAAUGAUGAGCAUGACAAGAAGAACAAGAAGGAGAAGAAAGAAAAGAAAGAGAAGAAGAUGGUCUUCAAGAAGAAGAAGGGUGGAUCCUAUGUUGUGACAUGGGAUAGUGAUGCUUCCUCGAAUGAUGAUUCUAGUGAUGAUGAUAAGGCAUCCAAGAAGAAGGCACUUGCAAGCAUUGCUAUCAACAACAAGCCAUCACUCUUCGAUACUCCUUCAUGCUUCAUGGCCAAGGGCCACAAGGUACAAUAUGAUGAGAGCGAAAGUGAAAGUGAAAAUGAACAUGAUAGUGAUAGUGAUGAUGAAAAUGAAUUCACUAAUGAACAACUCAUGGACAUGCUAGAACAAGCCGAUUCACUUAUUCAAUCUAAAAACAAGAAGUGCAAAGAAUUGGCCAAGAAGUUAAAAGCUCUUGAGCAAUCCUUUGAUGAGCUCAAUGCUAAUCAUAAGAGGCUAGUGGAAGCCCAUGAGAAGCUUGGCAUGGCUCGCACCAAGCUUGAAAAAGCUCACUCCUUGUUAUUAGAAGAGAACAGGGAAAAGGUUGUUGUAUCAUGUGAUGUGGGCACAACAUGUGACUUAACUAAAGAAUCACCCAACCCACCUAUUGUUGUUGCCACUAACUCUUCAUGUAGGUCUUCAUCCACCACCACCAACUCUACCUCUACUUCUAGUGUUAGUGUCACUUGUGAUGCUUCACUAAAGAUUGAGAAUGAGACUCUCAAGAAAGAGGUGGAUGAGCUCACUCACGCCCUAGGCAAGGCCUAUGGUGGUGAGGCCCGCUUGCUAAAGUGCUUGGGUAGCCAAAGGUUUUCUCUCAACAAAGAGGGAUUGGGCUAUAUCCCCAAGAAAGGCAAGGCGGCCUUUGCAACUCACAAACCUAGCUUUGUGAAGAGCAAUGGUCGGUAUUGCAACAAAUGCAAGCAAGUUGGGCACCUAGAGCUUAAUUGCAAUAAAAUGAACAAGAACAAGAAAAAUGCUAAUGCACCUUACAUUCCUUUUGAUUCUUGUUAUGUGCUUACCAAGGGUGAGAAGGGUGUGCAUGCUAAGUUUGUUGGUACACCAAUUGUGGGUCCAAAGAAGAAGGCCAUUUGGGUACCAAAAAGCUUAGUCACUAACCUCCAAGGACCCAAACAAGUAUGGGUACCUAAGAAACAUUGAUUUGUUUUGUAGGUAAACUAUAAAGCCGGAGGAAGGCAUUGAGUGCUUGAUAGUGGGUGCACACAACACAUGACCGGUGAUUCAAGAAUGUUUAAUUCAAUCAAUCCAAAUGAUGACAAUGGUGUUGAUAGUAUCACAUUUGGUGAUAAUGGCAAAGGCAAGGUCAAAGGGCUUGGUAAAAUUGCUAUAUCCAAUGACUUGAGCAUUUCCAAUGUGCUACUAGUAGAGAGCUUGAACUUCAACUUGUUAUCCGUAGCUCAACUUUGUGAUCUUGGUUUCAAAUGCAUAUUUGGAAUUGAUGAUGUAGAGAUCAUAAGUGUAGAUGGCUCAAACUUGAUAUUCAAAGGUUGCUAGUUUUGUCUUGUGUCGUUAAGCUCACUAGUGUAACUUGUAGAAGACCUAGAGCUUGUGUGCUUAGUGAUCAUAGCAACUAGAAUUGUUGGAUAGGUGGCUUGCAAACACCCUCUUUUAGAGCUAGAGCAAAAAGCUAUGCUUUGUUUUUUACUAACCUCUUGCUCUAGUGAGUUUGUAGAUUUUUUAAAUAGGCUAUUCACCCCCCCCCUCUAGCCAUAUUAGGACCUUUCAAUGUUUGGGCCGCAAGGUUUCCUUUGGCACAAUGACUCGCAGCCUAUACACAUACAGACAGAGGCCACACUAUACCCAAAACGGUUCAGCCCCUCCGACCUUUCGGGUAACCUCUAACAAGCUAGAAAAGGUCUUCAUACUGAGCUAAAGCCAGAUCCAUUAUAGCCCUUAUGGUUGCACUGUUGUCCCGGUUAUCAUUUACAGAUAAAUCAAGUUCCUAAAAAGUUAUUUUUAUCAUUUAUUACUUAACAUUAAUCUAGUCACAGGAUCAUGGUCACAGAAUAAAAUUCAAAUGUUAUACUUGCCUUAAUCCAUUUGCUCUUGCUGAUCCUUUUAGUUCUGCUGGUCUUACUUGUUGCCAAAGCUCUGAUCUUGAUCAGCAAAAACUGCUUUCCGUCUAAACUCGAUCGUCGAUCGCACAAACAAGCGGAAACAAACAUACACGAAGCAAACAAAGCUACAAUUAGAACAGUACACCAAACAUAUAAAAAUAGUAUGAAAAGUUUAUAAAAUGAUUCUACGCAUCGCUACGAUUUCAAAGGCGUAAAGUUCACGAAAAUCGGAGUUAAAACGGUGAAGUUAUGAAUUUUCUAAGAUUUCCUAUAGAUAAAUAAUUAAUUAAAUGCUACUGCGAAAAUAAAAAGUUUCAAAAUAGAGAAAUAAUACUUCUAACAUGUAGAGCUCGUAAAUACAAAUCUAACAAAAUUUGAAUGGACAAAAACGGAGUUCAAAUGAUUAAACUGCGCAUGAUUAAAGGUAGACCGAUUAAAUAAUGGUGGAAGAUUUUGGAAAACUACCAUAACAUGCCUAGUUGCCGCUCGAUGUCCAGGAGACUCAUUGGCCAUAGCUUGCAAUGGCCAGAGGACAGCUGCAGGCAGCACGUGCGGCGCACAGGCAACAACGAUGAAUUAGACGACAUCAAAAGGAGAUGGGCUUCGCUUCUUACGUGCAGCAAGUGCAGAUAAAAAGGAGGCAUCCUGUUCCUUCGUGACUUGAUGUUUAGCUUGCUGAACGAGAGAUCAGGUACUGAAUAGAAAGAAAAUAAGAAGCAAAACAAAUGAUGAGUACUGAACAAAGAGAGAGUCACGCACCAGAAGAGACGAUGAUGAUGAGCACAGGCGAUGGACUAGAGAGAUGACAAAAAAAUAUAUAAUUUACUACCGUGGAAUUUCCAGACUAGGGGCUCUAUUUACGGUAUUUUUUGUGUUUCUCCUAAAGGGUUGGCACAUAUAUAUAUGGAGGAAAACUCUCCACAUCUACAUCAAUUAACAAUAUGGUACUAAUUGAUGUUGCCCCUUCCACCUUUACUAAUAAGCCUAAUUAAUUAUUAAAGCCCACUAGUAAAUAAAUACAUUGGCCUUUGAGAUCAUGGGUUCAGCGUUUGGGUAGAAUGAAAGAUUUAUUAUUUUCGAAAUUAAUUAUUUUUGUGAAUAGGAUAUUUUUAGAAAAGUCCAGAAUUAUUAUUUAAUUCAUGAAAAAUAUUUCAAAAGCUCUAAAAAUUCGGGAAAAAUUCUCGGAGUUAUUAUGAAACAUGAGGAACCCAAAUAAAGUAUUUGAAGCUCAUGAUAAGAUAAUUCGGAGCAUCUAAAAAUUAAAUUAUGCUCACAGUCAAGUGGGAAAAGUUUCACAAAAAGUGUUGGAAUAAAUCUUGGUCAGUUUUUAGAGAUUGAUUGAUGGUUGAGGAACUGAAAGGAAUGAUUUGGGUUACAAAGAAAAGAUUUUGGGAUACUCGAAACAAAAGCAUAGGCUAGAAAACAAGGAAUUUGAUUGUAGAAAAAAAAGAUAAAUCCGUGCCGAAGAAGGGAGAUCGACCUAGUAACGUAUUUUAAACACUCCACUCACUGUCAACACACAAAGGAGCAAUAAGCAAACAUUACAUCAAAUCUUAUGCACCAGCAUGUAUGCACAACAAUAUUGCUAUGCCUUAUGAUAAAUUUUAAUUUACUAAAAAAUGUUAUUUUUCCUAUAUUUUCAUGAGCUCAAAAAUACCAAAUUAAAUUAUUUUAGCUCUAUUUUGAAAGGACCAAAAUUUGGGGUGUUACAUUCUUCAUGUAUAGUUAUCUUCUCUCUCCACAUUUUACUCGGUGGUAUGGUUUCCUCAGGAUAAUCUUGUUCAAGCUGUAUGUCUUCAGAUCUUAUCACUUCUCCUUCAUAGUCUGCCCAUCCAUCCUUGAUGAUUUGCCUCUUCUGGUUGCGGUUGCAUCGUCUUCUUCUUGUCCUGACUUGCUUAGAGUCUUCAAUGAUAUAGUUAGGGUCAGUAAAAUAGCGGCGUACCUUCUCUAAGGGUAAGUGCAUAUGGACUUCUCCAGUUCCAAUGUAGAUGAUUGCUUUAACGGUGUUGAGGAACGGUCUUUCAAGGAUGAUGGGUGGAUCGUACUCGUCUUCUCCCAUGUCAAUAACCUGAAAGUCUGUGUAGACAAAAUGAUCGUCUAUCUUGACAGGGACAUCAGUUACUAUACCUUUAACCUCUCGAAAUGUCUGAUCUGCCAUCUGGAGCUGAAUGUAUGUUGUUUUUAGGGGCAUGGUUCCGAACAAGAGCCGAUAGGUGACUGAAAGGUCCUAAUAUGGCUAGAGGGGGGGGUGAAUAGCCUAUUAAAAAUUCUACAAAACGCUAGAGCAAGAGGUUAGUAAAUAACAAAGUGAAGCUUUUUGCUCUAGCUCUAAGGGGUGUUUGCAAGCCACCUAUCCAACAAUUCUAGUUGAUAUUAUCACUAGGCACACAAGAGCUAUGUCUCUACUUACACUAGAGAGCUACCUAAAGUUUCUACACAAGUAAGUAAGCUACUCUAGUUUGCAAGAAAGUAAGAGAGAAGGUUUGAUCUUUAUACCACCGCGUAGAAGGGAUGAACCAAUCAAUAAUAUAAAGUCCAAUCACCGGGAGAAAUCCAAAGUACAAUCACAAUGGAGACACACGAUUUUCUCCCGAGGUUCACGUGCUUGCCGGCACGCUACGUCCCCGUUGUGUCGACCAACACUUGGUGGUUCGGUGGCUAAGAGGUGUAGCACGAACCUCGUCCUCACUAGGACACCACAAGAACCUACCCACAAGUGAGGUAACUCAAUGACACAAGCACUUUACUAGAGUUACCUUUCGGCUCUCCGCCGGGGAAGGUACAAGACCCCUCACAAUCACCGGGAGAUGGCCACGAACAAUCACCAACUCGUGCCAAUCCUCCUCCGCUGCUCCAAGCCGUCUAGGUGGCGGCAACCACCAAGAGUAACAAGAAAACCGCAGCUAGAACGAUCCCCAAGUGCCACUAGAUGCAAUCACUCAAGCAAAUGCACUUGGAAUCACUCCCAAUCUCACAAAGAUGUUUAAUCUAUGAAGGAGAUGAGUGGGAGGUGUUUGCUUAGGCUCACAAGGAUGUUAUGUAUGUUAGAAUGCCAAGAGUAUGAGCCCCAAGCCGGCCAAACACGUAUUUAUAGCCCCUCAACCAAAUAGAGUCAUUGGCUCUUUUCACUGAGCAAACUGCGGGGUCACCGGACGCUCUUAAAGGGGCACCGGACGCUCAACACCAGCGUCCGGUGCUUCAACGUCAGCCGCGUGUCAGAUUCUAACGGUAACCUGUAGAGCACCGGACGCUGAGCAGGUUGGCACCGGUCGCGUCCGGUGCACACCGGACUCAUGCGCAGAGAGCUUCGCAAACUCGCAAGGUCACCGGACGCGAGCCACCGGACGCACCCUGAGCGUCCGAUGCUCACCGGACUCAUGCGCAGAGAGGUUUGCAAAACCUCCUCACACCGGACGCUCCAAGCUGCGUCCGGUGCCUAUCGUCCGGUGCCUAACCCUAACCGAGUCAGGCUGCCUGCUCACCGGACGCACAGGAACAGCGUCCGGUGCUUCUGAGUCAGCGUCCGGUGAGUGUUCCUCAGCGAGAAACACUCCCGCGACUUCUCCAAUUUUCCCACCGGCGCAAUAGAAAAUAUGCACUUCAUUUUCUCGAAAAGCGCCGAAUAUGCGACUACCCAUCCUCUCUCUACCUUUCAAACUCCACCUCCUUCUCAAAGUGUGCCAACACCACAACGUGUGUACCAACAAGUGCACGUGUGUUAGCAUUUUCACAAAUAUUUUCUUUGAAGGAGUAAAGUUAGCUCACUAGGUUCUAAAUGCAUGCACAUGAACAAUGACACCUAGUGGCACUUGAUAACCGCUUAGCCAAAGAAUUCCCCUCUUUAUAGUACGGCUAUCUAUCCUAAAUGUGAUCACACCCUCUAUGGUGUCUUGAUCACCAAAACCAAAACCCUAAGCAAUACCUUUGCCUUGAUCUCCAUAGGGUUUUGUUUUUCUCUUUCUUCUUUUCCAAGUUGAGCACUUGAUCACCUUGUGGUCAUCACCAACAUCACCAUGAUCAUCACUUGCUCCAUCACUUGGCAUGUACCAGCCUCAUUAAGUCUACACACACUUAGCAUAGAGGUUAGUAAGGGUUUCAUCAAUUAUCCAAAACCAAACUAGGGCUUUCAGUGACUGCGGCCAUUAUGUUGAUGCCCGAUCCGGUAUCGCAAAACGUCUUGUAGAAGUUGCACCCAUUGAUGGAGCAAUAGAUGCUUAGCAUUCGUGGGUCGUCCUUCUUGGUCAGAAACGGUGACUUAAGUCGAUGAUCUUGUCCCUCAUGAACUGCAGUGACCAUCUUAGCUGAUUCGGUCCACACUUGCUUGUUCAUGUUCCUCCUGUUGGUCCUCUUCCUUGAUUCAUGUCGAGAUUGCUCUGGGAUUUGUGUAGUCUUGUUCUUGAAGAAAAACGUCUCCUUUCUCCCUUUGAUGUAGAAACUGAUCUUAGCAGCACUAGCGUAGAUGACAGCUCCUGAGGUGUUUAAGAAUGGCCUCCCUAAGAUGAUGGGUGCCCUCUCAUCAUUACUGGUCUCUAUCACUACGAAGUCUGCUGGGGCAUACAAGGUACCAACUCGGACACAGAGGUUCUUCAAUAUUCCCUUUGGAAAACUUAACGCCUGAUCUGCAAACUGCAAACACAUGGUUGUUUCUAAUAAAGGAUAUGUAAAGAAUUUUUCAUAGAGUACCCUGGGCAUAAUGUUGACGCUAGAGCCAAAGUCGCAGAGUGCUUCUGGGAAGUCCAGCAUGCUGAUGGAGAUCGGGAUGACUGGGCGUCCUGGAUCGCCACUCUUGACCGGCAGAAGGUCAGUAGUAACUUCAGUGACGGGGUUACUCCAAUAGUUACCUGCAUCAAACAUCUCUACAAGAUUUGCAUAUUUUAAUCCUUCCAGUUGUGAUGGUAUACCGGGGUUAGUAGCAGGAACAGCAGCAGCUAUUUGAUUUAAUUGAGAUUCAAUCAUUUUAUUAAAGCUAAUUUGAUUCUUGAUGGCAGUAGAGAAAUUAUCCAUUCUAUUAUUUAUAUUUUCUAGCAUUUUAUUAUUAGAUGCCAAUUUCUUAGAUAGGUUAUCCAUUAGCUUUCCUUGAUUAGACACUAACUCUCUCAGAGGUGGAAAAUUAUUUUUAUUAUUAUUGUAAGAAUUGUUACCUUGAUAAUUACCUGAGUAGUUAGGCCUUUGUUGAUUCCAACCUUGAUUUUGUUGAGGACGGUUGUAGUAGUAGUAGUUGUUGUUGAUGAUGUAGUUCACAUCCUCAAGCAUCUCAGGGCAGUGAUUGCCUGAGUGUCCAGUAUCUCCACACUCCUCACAAGUCAUGUGAGAGUCGUAGAUGUGCAUAACUUUUUUCUUAUCUCCAGCUCUAUCAUCGAGCUUCUUCAUGAGCAGGUCUAGCUUUGCAGACAGCAUGUCUACCUCCUUGAGCUGAUGCAUACCUCCUCCUUUCUUGCGUGUCUGGGUUCUUUCUUCAUUCCAGCCUUGGUUGGACGCCAUCUUCUCCACAAGAGCUGUGGCUUGUGGUAUGGUGAGUGAUAGGAAUGCUCCUCCAGCUGCAGCAUCCAUGGUUUCUCGGGCACUGUUGCCGAGCCCAUGAUAAAACGUCUGCGUUAGUAGCCAGCUCUCCAUUCCAUGACGGGGACAUUCUAGGAUAUAGUCUUAGAAGCGCUUCCAUGGUUGUGGAACGGAUUCAUCAUGUUAUUGCUGAAAACUCGUAAUCUUUCCUUAGAGAGGAUUGGUCUUGCCCAUGGGAAAGAACUUAGCCAGAAAGUUCGUGGAGCAGAGUGCCCACGUAGUAUUCUUCUCCUUUGUAGCGUAGAACCACUGCUUCGCUCUCCCUAACAGUGAGAAUGGGAAGAGGCGAAGUAGUAUAGCAUCUCUGGGGACUCCUGAUAUGGUGAAUGUGCUGUUGGUCUUGCCCAUGGGGACUCCAGAAAGUGUUGGAGAUGAGCACUAGCAUCUUCGUGUGCUUCCCACAGAACUGGUUGGAUUGCACCAUGUUGAUAAGUCCAGGCUUGAGCUCAAAGUUACCAUCGAUCUCUGCAGUAGGUCCAGUGCGGAUGUUGUCCGUAGUGGGAGCUGAGAACUCACGGAUCGUUUUGUUCGCCAUGGGUUCGAACUCUAAAAAUAAGUUCCGGUGAUCUUCUUGAUUGGAUGAACCUUCUUGCUGAAGUGUUGAUGAUCUCUUCUUGAGCUUGGCUCUUGUUUUUCUGAAUAACACUUCGGGAUUGUCAACAAAAUUUUCUGGAAGAUGUCUUCUAUUCAUACAUUACCCUGCAUAAGAUAAAAUAGAAAAAUAUCAGGGUAAAACUGUAUGAGAGAAUUGAUAAGCUCAAUCAUAUUAGUGAUGCGAAUGAUGACUCUAAAUCCUAUAUUCAUUCCUGAUUAGUAAUCAACCUUCCCCGGCAACGGCGCCAAAAAUGCUUGUUGGACAUUCUUAACGUCACUACCAAAAGUAGACUUAGUUUUUUAAUUCUGAUAAUGGCGCCAAAAAUGCCAAACAUAUCCCUCAUGCCACUUAAGCCAAGUUGUCAUCCCCAGCAUGACAUGAGAGACGCGGUAUUGAAAUAUGCAAUUGCUCAUCUAAAUAAAUAAUAAAUGGGAUCUGCAAGCGCACAUAUUAACACCGAUGUAGCAUUUUAACCGGGAAGUAUUCCACGUAUCGUUAUUUAUAUUUUUACCACUGGGAAGGGAUUAGUAACCAUCAAUGUUGAUUAUAGAAUGUAAUAUAGAAUUGAGUAUCUAUCAUUGCAUGUAUAAUUGAGAACAUGUUGAUGCAAAACCUAGUCUGCAAACACAAAGGGCUAAUACCCGAUCCAAACGUUAAGGCGUGCCAGCCGAUUUGACCUUACUAUCGGCAAAGGUGGUAACUCGAAUACUUUAGUCCUGACAACAGCGAUGCGCCCGGAUGUCACGGCUAAGAGGUACUCACGCGGAACUGGAGGAUACGCCGAGCUUGAGUCGAUGAAUUCCUAAGAACUCGUAAUCAAAAAGAAAACGUAUGACGAAGUCGUCGAAAAGUAAAUGCUGGAAUAUGAGUAAAAACGUGUGUUUGAUUGAUUGAUAGAUGAUGUUGAUUACAAGGUCCUAGGGCUUAUAUUUAUACCCUGCUCAAAGAGCUACGACCAGACACGAUUAGAAUUCGAAUUCCAAAUUACACGGAACCCGUAUACAAAACGAUGCGAAUAACUAAGGAAAUAAUAAAACCAUCCUCCGUGACAAACCGAAAACUCCUCCACAUGACAACUGGCAGCUUCCGGACUCCUCCUUCGCAUCAUCGGCAAUCCCCUCGCCAUAGUCAUCGGCAGACCUUUUUACUUGGUCAUCGGCACCAUAUUACUGCCUGAGGACUUAGUCACAUUCAACCUUUCCCUCAUCGGCAACCAUCCUUAUCAGCAACCCGCAUCGUACUGCCACCCUAUUCUGCCAUCCUGGACACGUGCCCAAAAAUGGUGUCAACACAUGCCCCCCAGUUUCGGAGUAUAAAACUAUUAAUGCUCCGAAAUUCUCUGCAGUAAUGAUGUCUUCUCCGCAAUUAAUGCUCCUAAUCUGGUAACCGACAACCUCAAUCUGGACAACUCUGAUCCUAAUCCUCCGCAGAUCUCUCGAAAUCCCCAACUUCCUAAACGGGCAUCUCUUUUAGUCGUACAUCGGCAACAAUACCGUUACAAAGAUCUGCCGAUGCUCUGCCCAGGAGAUUCGCAAAAACGGUUACCUCCCCUCUAUCCGCCCAUCGGCAGGACGACCGUUAUAGAAUAUCACCGAUGGACCGACCAGGAGAUCGCGCACAGUAAAAUAUCUUUAGAUAAUGACCGCUUCCUGUCAAAUCACCUGCACAAUCCCUGGAUUAUCGUGCGAACAGUUACCAUAUCCACUUGAGUACCCUCGGGCCUCUCGGAUGCGGCAAAGAAAUAAGUCAGAUUUGCCCUUGUCCAUCUUGUCCUAUAAAUAGUUCCUUCUUGGGUACUCCUCCCCCAUUGCAUCAUUCCGCCAUCCAACUUCACUUUUCCAGCGGCGGCGCCAUUCUCAAUCCUCAAGAUCUCCGACAAGCAUUCUUCUUCAUCAACUCCGGCGCCCUCCAGCGUCCUCUUCACGACAAGAUGGCCGUUGGCUUCGUCGUCCCUGAGGUCAGACUUCCAUCUCAUCUGCUGUACCUUUUUCUUGCAUUCUUGUUCAUCUACGAUUCAUUCUCACCGAAUAUUUUCCUUUUCCUUUUUCUUCGCAUUUUUAUUCCCCAAAACACCAGGAGUUAUCCAACAAAAUUGUCAUCCCUACCGAUCAACCACAUCUUCAAUGCCUCGGCCCUCUAGGGGAUCCAGAUCCAACCGAUCUUAUCAAUGCAGAAACCAACAGGAUUCCCUUUAGAGCUGAAAACUUUGCUUUAGAUCUAUGGAAAGACACUUUUCGCUCUUGGCCCAGCCCUACUGUAGGGUGGAAAGACUGGUUCUUGAGGGUCAGCAACUCUUAUGAAGUUCAAUGGGGUGAGAGGAAAUUAGCUCAAUGCAUUAGGCUGUCCAUUGCCGAUAUGCACAGGAACGAGUCAUUGCUGAUAGCUGCAUCUUACUUUUGGUCAGACACCCUCAACGCUUUUGUUUUUGGCCACGGCCCUGCUUCUCCUACCCUUGCCGAUGUAGCCAUGCUUACUGGGUUAGAUAUAUCUUCUGCCGAUAGCACCCAUUUUUUUUGAUACCGCCCCCAGUGCCAAAGUGGAGACUCGCGCUAUCGGCGGUUGGUCAGGGUACAUCCAGAAGUACCGCGGGAGAGGACCUGUCACCAUAAAGGAGCAAACCACCUUUCUGAACAUGUGGCUAGACAAGUUUGUAUUCUGUGGUCGAUCGGCAGGACCGACUUCUGUCUAUCUAUCGGCAGCAGAAAGACUGGCUAGCGGCGGCCAAUUUCCUCUCGGCCGUUAUUUGCUCGGCGCUCUUUAUCACCUUCUUCAUCAGGUAGUCCAGAAACUCCUGCUUGGCCAACCUAUCGGCAACUUGGGAGGUCCUUGGUGGUUUAUUAAUAUGUGGCUCAAUCUGCACCUGCACAAGCGCCUUGAUCUCAACUUGUUCUCACAGCACUUCCCAAGAGAUAUAGCCGAGAAUCAUGUGCUGGGUGAAGAGGAAUCGGCAACACGUGCCCCCCUGAACUUUGGCGAAGCUGUUAUAGUCUUACCCGGUUCAGGGAACACUCCGGAUCAGAUCGGCCGAUUCUUCGAGACGCUGUAUGAAGGUCUGGCUAGAGAUGAACGACCAUGGCUGGCUUAUGACGACCCAGACAGCAUGCUCCCUCUGACCUUCAAUCCAUUUGAUGAAGCUAUUGACAGGGACAAUGAGGUGAUGAUGGCAAUCGUGACCCCCAGAGCCAUACCAGUGAAUUUCUUCGGCAGCACGAAAACCUCUCCCCAAACCUAUGAAUUUUAUAAUCCAUCGGCAUUAGCUCGCCAGCUAGCUUUCGGCCAAUUGCCGAUUGCACUUCCUUAUGCCGAUGUAAUAAAGCCCAGAGAGCCCAUCGCCAACCUCCUCGAGUGGACUCGAGUAGCCCAACUACUACCAAAUGCCGAUACGGAUGUAGACCUGUCAGAAUGGGUUCCAGCCGCCUUUAUCACUCAGGCAUACAAGCUAUGGUGGGCAGAAUGGAAAGAGAAUCUGUUCUGCAGAUCAGCCCUCUCAUACCGCGGCAUGAUCGACCCCGAAUAUGAAGUCCCUGAUGAUACUGUAAGUAUUUUAAACCGAUGUCUCAUUUUCCAAUAUCACUCCCAUCGGUAACUCACCCCUGUAUUCCUUUUGCAGAUUGACAACACCCCCCCAUCAGUUAGUAGGAGUGGCAAGCCGAUCGACUUAUUCCCAUCGGGCCCGAUCUCCUCAAUCGGCCAUAAUGCCCCCACUCUGGCUUCCAUCGUGCACAGGGGUGCGCGCCUCAAGAAAGUUACCACCAGGAAAACUCAGACAUCACCACCGGUAACUGCUUCCACUCUGGCACAAGCUUUCAAGGCAAUCUGUUAAAACCCUUUUUUCAUUUACGCUGACUUAUCUUUGUAUCGGCUAUCUGUACUUAUAAACUCCUUUUUGUUGUUGCAGCAAACUGGUGCAUCGGCAAAAGUCAAACGCCAAGGCGCCGAUGCUCCCCAGUCUAGCCAGCCAAAGAGGAAGGGCAUCCACGGUGCUAAGGCUGGAACAAAGCGCCAGAAAGUGGCAACUCCUCCUCCUCCUCCGGUGUUUCCAAUCCCUGUGGAAUCUUCCCCUUCUCCUCCAGACGUCCAGGCACAGCAAGUACUAUCUCCACAACCAACACAGGAAGCACCACAGAUGGAAGAACCCCAGCAGGAAGGACCUCAAACGGCAGUUAUAUCAGCUGAUGUAGGUGAACAAACAGCUGGCCCGGCAGGUGCAGUUACAUCAUCGGUGGUUUCCUCGAUUCAGGCAACUGUUGUUUCUCCUCCGGGUAACAUAUCUCAACAAUACUCCUACCUAUAAACUUAUUCUCAUUUAUUCUUAUAAUCUUUCCUGUCUUCUUUCAGGCGAUAUCGCUCUAUCGGCAACAUUUGCCGAUCAACCUGCAGCUCCAUCGGCCUCUCUGAGUCAAAGGCAAGAAAUCGCCUUGAAGCAAGUAAGUCAUCCACUUUUCCAUCAGUAUCGUCUGCCGAAGUCCUGACCAUAAAAUUGACCUACUUCAUUUUUAUUUUCAGGAACAAGAUUCUCCCAACAGCUUGUUCUCCUUCGCUAUUGAUAUCUUCGAAGAAGAAGGCGAGGAAGCAAGCUCCUCUCGGGCAGUUGGAAUUGUAUCGGCAGAAGCCAGAGCUAAGCUGGAGGAGCUAUCGGCCAUACUUCAUCAAGACACAACUCAACUGGUCAACGAUUCUGACCCAGCCAAAGCCCUGUUCAAGACCCUUAGAGGCCAAAUUCCUGCCGAUGCUGAAGAAACACUCUUCCAUGCUGCACAUCUAGAAAGCCGUCAGCUUCAGUACCAGAGAGCUACUCGACGCCUUGCCGAUAGAGCUGCUCAAAUCCAGCUUUCUGAGGAGAUGAUGAAAGAAAAACUCUUAGCCAAUGAGAAACAUAAGAACAUCGGCACCUUAAAAUCCUCAGGUGAUGCACUGAAGCAGAAAGUGUCUGAUCUAUCGGCAAAAAGAGAAGCUCUACUGGCUGAACUCAAGCAGGUAGAAGACGCUCUGUCCCAAGCUCAGCAAGAAGAGAGUCAGCUGCCGGAGACCAUCAAGCAUCUUGAACAAGAACGAAAUGUCCAUGGUCGCAAAGCGCUGCAACUGAAGAGGAAACUGAAGCCGAUCGAAGGUUCUGCCGAUGAUGAUAUCAAAGAGAUAGAGACAGCCAACCAAAUUCGGUUAACACAAUGCCGAUUCCUGCUCCCCGAUCACAGGUAGAUCCAUCAAAGAAGAGCGUCCAGGGUGCAAUUUCCAAGGUUUCCACUAGGCCGCAAUGUUGAGUCACCAAAUCGGCCAUAACCUGCCCUUUGACCGCCUUAGCCGAUUCGUAACGCAAAUCGAAUUCCGACAGCGCUAAAAUCCAUUUACCGAUCCUUCCACUCAUAAUCGGCAUAGAUAGCAUGUAUCGGACUACGUCAUCUUUGCAAAUAACAGCACAUUCGGCCGACAAUAGGUAAUGUCUUAGCUUGAUACAUGAAAAAUAUAAGCAUAAGCACAGCUUCUCGAUGGCCGAAUACCUGGCUUCAGCAUCAAUCAACCUCCUACUCAAAUAAUAAAUUACUCUCUCUUUCCCUUCAAACUCCUGAACCAAAGCUGAGCCGAUAACCGAUCCAUCGGUAGAUAAGUAUAAUUUGAAGGGUUUCCCUUGUUGAGGUGGAACUAAAACUGGAGGAUUUACUAGAUACUUUUUGAUUUCAUCUAGAGCCAACUGCUGUUCUUCUCCCCAAACAAACUCCUGAUCGGCUCUCAAUUUUAGAAGAGGACUGAAAGCACGAAUUCUCCCAGAUAAAUUCGAUAUAAAUCUUCUGAUAAAAUUCACUUUGCCGAUCAAAGAUUGGAGCUCGGUUUUAUUGGUAGGGGCCACUAUUUUAUUGAUGGCAUCAAUAGAUCUUCGACUAAUUUCAAUACCCCUCUGAUGUACCAUGAAACCAAGAAACUGUCCUGCCGAUACACCAAAUGCACACUUGUUGGGAUUCAUCUUCAAUCCAUGCUUCCUUGUGCACUCCAACACUCUUCGUAAAUCGGCAAGAUGCUUUGAGAAAUCUCCAGACUUGACCACCACAUCAUCAAUAUAAAUUUCUACGAUCUUGCCGAUGAACUCAUGAAAUAUAAAAUUCAUAGCCCUUUGAUAAGUAGCACCGGCAUUCCUUAACCCAAAAGUCAUGACUAUCCAUUCAAAUAGUCCAACAUGACCAGGACACCUGAAUGCGGUUUUUGGAAUAUCCUCUUCUGCCAUGAAUAUUUGAUUGUAACCCGCAUUACCAUCCAUGAAGCUGAUGACCCGAUGGCCAGCCGCAGCAUCAACCAGUAGAUCGGCGACAGGCAUUGGGUAUCCAUCCAUCGGCGUAGCUUUAUUGAGAUUCCUGAAAUCAAUGCACACCCGAAGCUUCCCGUUCUUCUUGUAAACCGGGACGACAUUGGAAAUCCAUUCGGCAUACCGACACUGCCGAAUAAACUUAGCUUCAAUAAGUUUAGUGAUUUCGGCCUUAAUAUCAGGUAGAAUGUUAGGAUUACAUCGGCGGGCUGGUUGCUGAUGUGGCCGAAAUCCAGACUUAAUGGGUAACCGAUGUUCAACAAUUGAUCGGUCUAAACCAGGCAUCUCUGUAUAAUCCCAAGCAAAGCAAUCUUUAUAUUCCUUUAACAAACUAGUUAAUUGCCGUUUACACUCAGGAUCUAGUUUAGCACUAAUAAAAGUAGGCCUAGGCUUAUCACCACUACCUAUAUCUACUUCUACCAAAUCAUCGGUCGAUGUGAAUCCCUGGCCUAAUUUUCCAUCAUCGGCGAAUCUAUCCAUUAAAAACCGUCGUCAGAACCGACUGCUUGGAUCGGUGGAAUCUCAUAAUCGGCAACUUUGAGAAAAUCUUUCUCCCAAACUUCUCCUGAAAUGCACCUAGUCUUUUCAUAAGUAUCCGCUUCUGCCGAUGCGAUAACAUAAGAAGAAUCCCCUGGGACGAUCUCAAUCUUGUCACCUACCCACUGAACCAAGCACUGAUGCAUUGUAGAUGGGACACAACAAUUGGCAUGAAUCCAAUCUCUCCCCAAUAAUAAAUUGUAGGCACCUUUUCCGCUGAUCACGAAAAAGGUUGUCGGCAAGGUUUUGCUGCCGAUGGUCAACUCCGCACAUAUCGCCCCCUUGACCGGAGACACGUUUCCCUCAAAGUCUUUGAGCAUCAUAUCGGUCUUGGUCAAAUCUUGAUCCCCUUUCCCAAGCUUCCGAUAUACUGCAUACGGCAUAAUAUUAAUAGCAGCCCCACCAUCAACUAGGAUCUUAGUCAUUGGCUGCCCAUCAACCCUUCCUUUGAGGAACAAAGCUUUAAGAUGCUGCCUCUCGUUAUCGGCAGGUUUCUCAAAGAUAGUCGUCAUUGGAUCCAGAGCCAACUGAGCUAUCUGAUCAGAAAAUCCCAACUCAUCGUCACUGGCUGGUGCAAGAAACUCCAUCGGCAACAUGAAUACCAUGUUGACGCCUGCCGAUGGACCUUCCUUCUUAGCGUCUGCCGGCUGCCGACUUUCAGAACUCUCUCCUUUAUUUAACUCCUCUUGCCUUUCUCGUUGCAACCUCCUUUUCUGUGUCUUGGUUAAUCCUUGAGGGCACCAUGGAGGAAGUGGCCUUUGCCUUACUGCCGGGCGUCGGUUCUCCCUUGACUCCGUACGAUGUGUGUUAGCAUCUCUGCAAAAUAUGAACUCAUCGAGAACCCGCGCAUUAGCCAUUUCCUCAAGCUCUUCCUGGUUCCUGGGAAAAUACUGGACACGGUCACCGAGCCGAUCGCGAACACUAAGCCUGCCCCCCAGCCGAUCAUGAACUGACGCCCUUCCUCUGAUUGGCCCAUUAAAUCACCGUUCAUCAUCAUGAUAACGCCGAUCGUUCCUAUCGUACCGAUCAUAACCGUUACAUUCAGGGCAGUCUCUGACAGUAGGAAGCUUGAUAUUUUCCUCCCAACAAUGGAUGAAGAAUGGGCAAUUCCAAUGAUCCCUGUGCCGAUUCCACUCCUGUCGGCGUCUUUCUUCUUCCCGUUGAUAAUCUUCCUGCUGGCGCCGAUAUCGAUCUUCCCGUUGUUGCCAUCUCUCUCGAGGCCUUCUAUGAGUUAUGACAAUACCAGACCGAGGAAGUCUUCCUGAGCUAGCUCCUUCCUGGACCAAGCCCUUACUUCUUGCAUCGGCGGUAGUAACUUGAUGCUGAGGAUCUACCGAUGCACUCUUCUCAGCUGUCUCCGACGUUAAGACCUUAGCCUUCCCCUUAGCGUCCAACAUGUUUGUCGGGAAAGGAUGUUGGUCUAUCUUCAUCGGCUUCUGGGCUUUAGAACUAUCAAACUUGAUUCUCCCCGACUCUAUAGCCGAUUGCAGCUGUUGUCUGAAUACUUUGCACUCGUUGGUGUCAUGUGAAGUUGCAUUAUGCCACUUGCAAUAUCUCAUCCUCUUCAACUCUUCUGCCGACGGGAUCACAUGGUUAGGUGACAGUUUGAUUUGACCUUCCUGAAGUAGAAAGUCAAAUAUCCUAUCGGCCUUGGCGGUGUCAAAGGCAAACUUCUCUGGUUCUUUCUGCCCAAAAGGACAAGACAUCGGCUUCUUGUUUUUUACCCACUCUGCCAAACCGAUUACUGGUUCCUCGUCGGAAUCUGAGCUUGUUGCUUCGUCAACAAAUGACACUUUCUUAUUCCAUGCCCUCUUAGGUUCGAAAGGCUUGAUGUCUUGAUCAGAUAUCCUCUGCACCAAAUGACUUAAACUCUCGAACUCUUGAGAUGCAUACUUAUCCCUGAUAUGUGGCAACAAACCCUGGAAAGCCAAAUCGGCUAGCUGCCGAUCAUCCAGAACCAGGCUAUAGCAUUUAUUCUUGACCUCUCGUAUCCUCUGCACAAAUCCCUCAACCGACUCAUCAUUACGUUGCCUCAACUUAACCAAGUCGGUAAUUUUCUUCUCAUGAACCCCCGAGAAGAAGUAUCUGUGGAAUUGCUUCUCUAGAUCGGCCCAAGUAAUUACUGAGUUGGGAGGUAACGAUAUGAACCAAGUAAAGGCCGAUCCAGACAGAGAUGACGAAAAUAGACGAACCCUUAAUUCGUCCCUGUUGCCAGCCUCUCCACAUUGAAUAAUGAACCUGUUGACAUGCUCCAUGGUUGACGUGUCGUCCUGUCCGGAAAACUUUGUAAAAUCUGGUACCUUGUACCGAUGUGGAAGCGGGAUCAAAUCAUACGCUGGAGGAUACGGUGUCCGAUAAGAAUAAGUGUUGACUUUGGGUUUUAUCCCAAAUUGUUCCCUCAUUACUUCAGCAAUCUUAUCGGCCCAAUAAGCAUCGGCAUCUUGCCGAUGAGGCGGCUGUGGAUCCGGCACUUGGUGGCGAACCUCCACGUGUCUGUUUGGGACGUGACCUGUAUGGAACAUCGUAUUGGUCACCUGUCCUCCAAUCUGCGGACUACCAAACUGCUGUCCACCGAUUGGCUGUCCUCCGAGUUGCUGUCCAAAAUUUAUUGGCUGGUUGGGAAUUCCCUGACCUUGGAACCCGGGAUAAACCUGCCCUUGCUGGAACCCCGUAGUCUGAUAACCCUGCUGGGGCGACUGUGGAAAGGCUUGCUGUCCAAGCCAUCCAUUAUUAGCGUUCAUCGGCAUGGGUGCUGCCGAUGAUUGGUAAUUGGGUAUCGUCGUUGAAUUGACAUACCCUGGCUGGGCCAUAGGCCUCUGUUGCAUCAGCAUUGACUCUGCCGAUGCGUUGGGCAUCUGGAACAUUGAAUCUUGAGGAUUUCCAGUGUGAGGCCUUGCAGUAGUGGUUGUGGUAUACCGAGGACUCUGGUUCACCGGCACAUUGGAAGGUGCCGAUGUCAUAGGAGUUUUGCCCCUCAUGUCAGUUAUUUGUGAUGUUCCUGGCGUCAACUCUGGAGGCAUACCAUAACCCCACCAGUUGGGAGGAAGAGUUAACCCCGACAUUGCCGAUGCCAACAUAUCUGUUGUCAGUUUAUGCUGCCCGACUGAAAUUUGUGGGUUGGUUGCCAUCGGCAUAGAUAGUGCACCAGUAGUCCCCAAUGUACUUGGAGGGACGGCAGACUGUACACUUGCACUCGUCAAGACAGCCGAUGGAGCCGUGACUUCUGGUGCCGUGGGCUGAUGAUGGGAAGGGCCCACAUAAUCCGGCGGGAUUUGUCCUUCCUUGAAGGUUCUUGCCACGGCGUUGAAAACCGUAUUAGACAGUACACCAGCUUGGUUGAUCAGCGCUCGAUUGAUAGCAUUGUCAACCAUGUCUUGAAGCUUGCCAGGAUUGGCGUCAAAAGUGACCUGCCGUGGUGCCGGCAGUGCAUCUUUCUGGACCACUUCGCCGCUCCUGUUUAUGCUAAAAGACUUCAGGCAUUGCUGCUUGAACUCUUCCAUGGCUUGGGCAAUAGCUUGCUUCUGCUCAUCCUUGAGGUUGGCUUCCGUCACGGGGAUGACGUUGUCUUGAUCGAGGUCAGAGAUCGACAUGCUGAUCUUGAUCUUGAAUCUGUCCCACUGGGCGUGCCAAAAGAUGUGUUGAUGCAAAACCUAGUCUGCAAACACAAAGGGCUAAUACCCGAUCCAAACGUUAAGGCGUGCCAGCCGAUUUGACCUUACUAUCGGCAAAGGUGGUAACUCGAAUACUUUAGUCCUGACAACAGCGAUGCGCCCGGAUGUCACGGCUAAGAGGUACUCACGCGGAACUUGAGGAUACGCCGAGCUUGAGUCGACGAAUUCCUAAGAACUCGUAAUCAAAAAGAAAACGUAUGACGAAGUCGUCGAAAAGUAAAUGCUGGAAUAUGAGUAAAAACGUGUGUUUGAUUGAUUGAUAGAUGAUGUUGAUUACAAGGUCCUAGGGCUUAUAUUUAUACCCUGCUUAAAGAGCUACGACCAGACACGAUUAGAAUUCGAAUUCCAAAUUACACGGAACCCGUAUACAAAACGAUGCGAAUAACUAAGGAAAUAAUAAAACCAUCCUCCGUGACAAACCGAAAACUCCUCCACAUGACAACUGGCAGCUUCCGGACUCCUCCUUCGCAUCAUCGGCAAUCCCCUCGCCAUAGUCAUCGGCAGACCUUUUUACUUGGUCAUCGGCACCAUAUUACUGCCUGAGGACUUAGUCACAUUCAACCUUUCCCUCAUCGGCAACCAUCCUUAUCAGCAACCCGCAUCGUACUGCCACCCUAUUCUGCCAUCCUGGACACGUGCCCAAAAAUGGUGUCAACAGAACAUUUAUCUAACUCUUUCAUACAGGGAUAAGUGUCACAUAAAGGAUAUAUAAAGUAAUGAAUGGUGACAAAGAUAAUUAAUCUGAUCAGCAUAACUUAGCCACAUAAUAAAUAUGAUAAGCACCUCAAUUUUAUAUUGUAGAAAGUCAUUAGCAUGGAAUUAGGAAGAACUACAAGAAUAUUUCCUAAGUUAUUCUUAACUAUAUAGUCUAGCAUAUCAUAGUUAGUGCAAUUAUACUUAGCAAUCAUUGUGAGACAAGAUUAUGCCCAUGCAUAGUGAUAUUAUCAAGGAAUAUGAGAAACAUAGCAAUCACUCCCCUGUAAUAAUGUUGCUCUACCAACCCAAUACACGAGAGGGGGACUAUAUAAGAAUCAAUGGAGCUGUCACUACCACGAACUACCCCGCGAUCUGGCAUAUAGGGUACAAUCGCAGAUAAAUACGAUAUAAGCACCACGCCUACACAAUAUCUAUCAUUUACCCAUGGAUCCGAUGGAUAAACGCUAUACGAUCCUAAACAUGUAUAUAAUUCCAAUCUAACUAAGCCAAGUAUAUAACUAUGAUAAACUAAGAACAAUAUAAUUGCGAAUAUAAACAAGUAGAGCAAAGUCAUAAUCAAUAUAUUGAAGUAGAACAAAGUCAUAUUCAUAAUAUCGAAGAACAAAGAUGAACAAUUGAAGAACAAUAGAGAAUUACCAAGAAUCCUCUUGACAGAUCCGGAAACCAAUCGAAGAUUGACUCCUUCUAGUUCUAAUCCUAUGUAGCUAUGCUAAUCUAGAUAUCUAAUUGAUGUGGUGGCUCUAGGCUUGAUCAGAGGCUUCUUCUCCCUUGAUGAAUAAUGAAUUAGGGUUGAGAGGUCCUCUCCUCCAGGGGCCAGGGGGUCUAGUUUUAUAGUCCUUCCAAGUGAAUAUGGGCCGUCGGAUCAAACCGACAUUGAUUGAACUGUUAUCCUUGAUCCUUUAGGUCGAUGGAGCGUAAUCCCGAAAGAGAGUCCUGAUUGGACUCCAGAGGGGGGCGGGCGCCCUGGUCCCUAGGGCGGGCGCCCUGGGCCAGGCCCCGUUCUACCUCCGCUUCGUUCCCGUGACUUCUGGAGUCUUCUAGAUGUAAGAUAAUUACGCGGCACGUUAAUAUCUCUAUGUAAUCCCGACGUGUGGGCCUUUCUUCCGUAUUUCCCGAUAACCCCCUGCAGAAAUAGACAAACACCAAAACUCGUGGAAUUCUGUCAGAUAAAACCCUAAGUGUGGAUGUUGAUUGCAUUUGGAUCCUUUUCUUUGUUUAUUUAAUAGUUAAAUUUGAUACUUAAGGACCGUCAACAGCCAUCGUCACCACCUGAGGCACCUGCUAGAGCUCCACCAACAUUCUUGCAACGUGCCAUUGCAAGAUCUCAAGUCAAGACUGCCAAACUACUUACAGAUAGAUGAUGAACUAACACUUUUGAGGCUUGGCCUCAAUCUGUACUCGCGGUCGCAGACUUGGCCCCAAGUUCAACUGCCACUAACAACCGAUCCCAAUGCGACUCACCCGCUGCAAUAGAUGGAAUAGAUGAGAUAUAUAUAAGCAAUUAUUACAUCUAGAUAAGUGAAACCCUAAUAGAAGAAAGCAUAGGAUAAGAGAUCAAGAAAGAGUUGGCUUACUGAAGGGUCGAGAUGGCGGACUAGAGGGGGGGUGAAUAGUCCUUUCUAAAACUUAUCGCACCGGCUAACCGAAACAAAUGCGGAAUUAAAACUAUCGGUCUAGCCAAGACUACACCCCUCUAUCUAAGUUCUCUAGCACCUUUAAAAGAUCCUAAACAAGCAAACAAGGUGCUACCUUAGCAAGAGCUCAUCUAACCAAUUCCAGGAGUAAGGUCACACAAACCUAGGCCAGUAGUACUUUGCAAACCGGGGAGCUCCUACACAACUAGUAAGCAAAAGCACAAAGCUCCUAAGCUCACUAGCAAUGCUCAAUAACAAGGCAACCAAUGCCAAAUUAGAGAGCGCAAGUUACUUAGCUACACAAACUAAGCAAUAUGACUAACAAGGUUACACAAACCAAAUUAGUCACGCAAAGGGACUACUUCUAGCUACACAAGCAAGAAGGUAACUAGCAAGCUACACAAGCUAACUAAUAACAAGAGCAACUACACAAGCACAAAUAAAUGAAUGUAAAAACAAGCUUGUGUUAGGGACUUGCAAACCAACGGGAAGAACAAAGUUGACACGAUGAUUUUCUCCCGAGGUUCACUUGGUUGCCACCAAGCUACGUCUCCGUUGUGUCGACCAACACUUGGUGGUUCGGCGGCUAAGAGGUGUUACACGAACUUCGUCCCCACUAGGACACCGCAAGAACCUACCCACAAGUGAGGUAGCUCAAUGACACACACGAUCCAAUAAAGUUGCUCUUCGCGAUCCCCGCGGGGUGAGCACCGUACCCCUCACAAUCUCUUCUCUAGAGCACCGCACAAUCUCCUUACAUGCUUCGACGGAGUCACAAGCCACCAAGUCGUCUAGGAGGUGGAAACCUCUAAGAGUAACAAGCACCACUAGCUUGCAACACGAACACCUAGUGCCACUCGAUGCAAUCUCUCAAUGCAAUGCACUAGAAUCACUCACUCACACAAUCGGAUGAUCACUAUCAAGCAUAUGUGAGUUAGAGGCUUUACUAGCACUCUCCAAGCAUGGACACUAAGUCCCAAGGGUGCUCAGCACUAGCCAAGGCCGGCCACCACUUCUAUUUAUAGCUCCAAGGGCUAAACUAGCCGUUACCCUUCACUGGGCAAAAGUCGACCACACCGGAAGCGUCCGGUAUUGACUAGACCAGCGUCCGGUGCUUCUGACCGGUAGAAAACUAGUCGUUGCCUUCAACGCUGACAAGGCAUCAGACUCUCUCUUUUGAAUGCACCGGACGAUCUCAAGAGGGACCAGACAAAAACACAGAGAGCUUCGCAAAGCAACACAGCACCGGACGCACAACUCGGACGCGUCCGGUGUGCACCGGUCCUAAACUUAGAGAGCUCUGAAAAAGAGUUUGCACCGGACGCUAACUCGGACGCGUCCGGUGUCACAUCGGACGCGUUCAGUGUUCACCAGACGCAAACUCAGAGAGCUACUCGAGAUAGCGUCUUCUCCGGACGAUUUACACCGGACUCAACACAGAGAGUCCGGUAAAAUUGAGCUCACACCGGAUGCUAAACUCGGACACGUCUGACCUCAUACCGGACGCAUCCGGCCUCACAUUGGACGUGUUCGGCCUAUACGCGCUGCACGAAACGAUCUUCAACUUCUUCCCUUGCUUCCAUGUGCCAACACCAAAGUGUCACAACACUUGUGCAAGUGUGUUAGCAUUUUCACAAAUAUUUUUCCAAGGGAGUUAGCCUUUCAAACUUGCCACGCCACUCGAUCCUAACACGUAUGCAAAGUUAGAUCGCUCAAGUGGCACUAGAUGACCGAUAUGCAAACAAUUUUGCCCCUCUUGAUAGUACGGCCAUCUAUCCUAAAUCCGGUCAUCAUCUUCUCUACACACCUAUGACCGGUGAAAUAGAAAAGCCCUAGGUUAUACCUUUGCCUUGCGCUUUCCAUUCCAACUCCUCCAAUGUUGAUGCAACACAUGCAUAAACCAAUCACCAAAUGAUAUGAUCCACUUCAUAUCAUCACGUGACCGUAUUGGUUCAUUGAUCUUGACCUCACUUGCUCUUCACUGUUGCCUCAGUCCAUUAGCGCCAAAUUUUGCUCAAGCUUCACCGUCACAUGCGGUCCCUCGCUUCAAAGCCUCCGACUUGCCCUUCACUCUUGCAACCGGUCCAUCGAGCUAAGCCUCAUCUUGAUCUUCUCCACCUUGGUCACAUGACUCCAUGUCAUGUCUCAUAUGCAAUGAGCUCCUCCAUCAUCACAUCAUCACCUGUGGACUAAUCUCUUGUGUAUCUCACAUAAACACUAUUAGUCCACCUAAGUUGUCACUUAAUUACCAAAACCAAACAAGGACCUUUCACUUACUACCUUAGUUGAGAGACAAUCCUUGUGAAAAGAGGAGAUACGACGUCAACAGGGCACAAGAAGUUUCAUGCCAAGUCACUGCAAACAAGAAUCGAAUGAAAACAGUGUUAAAACGACGUUCUAAAUGGUUCGAGAACUCUAUCGAACACCUAGCGUGCGUGGAACUCAAGAUUUUACCCUAAACCCUAACUGUGGCGUGAAAGGAGGUGCCUUGCUGUGCGUGCAUGGAGAAGGACUCGACGACGGUGGAGGAGGAAGGACACACGCGUGAGGAGGACUAGCCGAACGGCGGCGUGGUGCUGGCGGCGGCGGAUCGACGCAGAGGGUACGACGAGUCAUGGUGAGAAGAUCGCGAAGGACAGACUGACCCAAUGGUUGGUUUUAUCUGAACUUAUAUCAACCCUCGCAGACACACCAGACAUGCUUAAGUGAGCACCGGACUUGUACGUAGGGAGGAGGUUUUUCGCGCAAGGUCACCGGACACGGUCCACCAGACGCUCUCCUGUGUCCGAUGUCGCGGGCGCUUCUAUAGAGGCACACCGGAAGCACAUCACUGAACUCACUCACAUUACUAUGCAUGGGUCUAGUGUGUACACCCCAGCAAGUAACACUCACCAAACGCACAGAGCGUGUCCGAUGCUGCGUCCGGUGCAUCACCGACUUCAAAUUUUCAACGAGACUUCGCGGCACCUUCACUCAACCAAGUUCCAACUCAAAGAAGAGCCAAAUAAACACCAAUUGGAACUGUUAUGAGUGUUCUCUCUCAAACUCCCAAAUUUUCACAAGUAAUUUGUCAUAGGCUAUGUAGUUUUUAAGAAAAUAGGCGAGAGAAAACACCGAUGAGACAUCAUGUGGCCAUUGGCUAGGGGACUUAACCAAGAUGAGCGUAGAAUGCUCCCCAUAUCAAUGGACGAACACAACAGAUGCUCAAUGCUUAAUCGAAAAGAAAUGACAAAGCAAAAACCAUGCAUAUGCUAUGCAAUGCAAUGCAAUGCAAUACUUGAAAGUAAACUAAUGCUUGUCAAGUUUGAUUCAAGGUUAAGCUUUUUGACACGCUUUAUGGGUGGUUAUCUUAACCAUGUUAGACAAGCCCUACAUGCAUCCUUUUUGGAUUUUUAGUAAAGCAUGACAUAUGAUACAAAUGCUAUGUACAAGGACAACACACAAACUCAUUUUUAAUGAAGUUAGAGAGAUCAAGCACAUUGAGUUCAUUUCACAACAUACAAAACCUAGCUUCAUCUAGUGGUUUUGUAAAGAUAUCCACCAAUUGAUCAUCUGUCCCCACAUUCUCUAGUGAUAUGUCACCCUUGGCAACAUGAUCUCUAAGGAAGUGAUGACAGAUGUCUAUGUGUUUAGUGCGGGUGUGUUGAACCGGGUUGUUUGCAAGUUUUACAGCACUUUCAUUGUCACACAACAAAGGUACUUUGUCUAAAACUACUCUAUAGUCUAGUAAAGUUUGUUUCAUAUAAAGAAUUUGUGCACAACAAGCACCGGUGGCAAUGUAUUCCGCUUUGGCCGUUGAUAAAGCAACACUAUUUUGUUUCUUUGACAUCCAAGAUACUAGUGAUCUCCCUAAGAAGUGGCACCCUCUAGAUGUGCUCUUUCUAUCAAUGCGGCACCCGAUAUAAUCCGAGUCAGAAUAGCCUACAAGUUGGAUUAUUGCACCUUUGGGACACCACAAGCCUAGGUAGGAUGUGUAUUUUAGAUACGUAAGAAUUCUCUUAACCACAAUCAAGUGAGAUUCCAUAGGCAUAGCUUAAAAUCUAGCACACAUACACAUACUAAACAUGAUAUCGGGCCUAGUUGCGGUGAGGUAAAGUAAACUAUCUAUCAUAGAACGAUAGAGAGUUUUGUCAAUCGUGUUACCUCCCUCAUCUAUAUCGAGAUGCUGUCGACGAAAGCUGGUCGGCAGUCUACCUUGGGGUAUACCCACGGUAGUAGUUUAUCGGUAGACGGUGCGCAAACUACGAACUCGAUGGUGACGCAAGACACGGACAAGCUUUUUAUCCAGGUUCGGCCGCCGAGUUGGCGUAAUACCUACGUCCUGCGUCUGGUUGUAUUGGAUUGUGUUGAGAGAUAAUCUGUCCUAGGGGGGUCCCUUGCCCCUCCUUAUAUAGUCUGGAGGGCAGGGUUACAGAUCUAGAAACUAAUCCUAGCCGGUUACAAUUGCCAUAGAUAAUUCGAUAUCAAUUCCUAUUCUAACCGACUAGAAUCCUGCUUGAUCUCCACGUCUUGUUUCCUUGCGCGAAACUCGGGCUGUCGGAUCAAGCCUUGAACUCGUCUCGUAGUGGGCCAAGCUUCCUGGCUGAAGUCUAGCCGUAAGGGUAUAGGGGUUUAUACCCCCACAGCUAGUCCCCGAGCGCCAUGUAUUGUGAUGCAACACGCCGUCUUGAGCUUCUUCGAUCAGCGUGGCCUGUCGUCUUCAAUGAGCGAGGAAAUCGCCCAAACGGUUCAUUGAUCAACGUUGUCAUCGAAGAAGCAGGUUGUUCGAAGAAUGCAUGGUGCUCUAAAAAAAUUUCUUUCCUGGUGAAGUGUGCCCACUUUGCCCUUCUUGAAAGGCUGCAGCAUCCAAAAAAGGCAAGCAAAUUCACCGCCAGGUGAAGUGUGCCCACUUAGUCCCCGAGCCUGGUAGUAGGUGACGUAGGCACGUGGUGCCAGGGUCAAGAGAAAAUUCCCCAAAGUAGUUUUGAGACUGAGAUGCAUCGCUAGAUGCAUCGUACCGAUGUAGUCCCCGAGCUUGCUGGAAGGCGAAGUAUGAGCCUUGUAGCAAGGUCUAAAAAAUUGAAUUUAACAGUCCCCGAGCAUGUCAUGCUCAUCUGCAAUCGAAAAGACCAAUCGACCAGUCCCCAGGCACUUAGUGCGCUGCCUGGAAUUAUAUGUUUCUAUACUACACGACCAGUCCCCGAGCGUCGAGUGCUCGGUGGUCGGUGCAUGCUUUAAAGCUUUGAGCUGAUAGACUGAGCGACCCGUCCCCGUGCGUCGAGUGCUCGGUGGUCGGUGCAGUCCUUGAGGUUCCGAGCUGAUGGACUGGGCGACCAGUCCCCGAGCGUUGAGUGCUCGGUGGUCGGUGCAGUCCUUGAAGUUCCGAGCUGGUUGACUGGGCGACCAGUCCCCGAGCGUCGAGUGCUCGGUGGUCGGUGCAGUCUUUGAAAUUCCGAGCUGGUUGACUGGGCGACCAGUCCCCGAGCGUCGAGUGCUCGGUGGUCGGUGCAGUCUUUGAAAUUCCGAGCUGGUUGACUGGGCGACCAGUCCCCGAGCGUUGAGUGCUCGGUGGUCGGUGCAGUCCCCGGACUGCUUACUCACUGGCGUAUGUGUCUUCUUACUUUUGAAAAAAUCUUUCUCAUUAAAGUUGACAUGACGGGGUCUCCUGACGAUAUGUCAGACGGAUGCAUAAAAAGCCGCACCUGGCAACUGUACAACCGCUCUUUGCAUGGUUUGAGAAAAGGAAACCAUCAAUUGGUACGAAAACUCCGCCGCAUUAAUUGCCUAUAAUCAUUGUAAACCGAAACGCCGCGUCCGCCGCAUGGCCUGCCCACUUCCCGAGAAUACAGGAAGUGGGAGAGGUGGGGUCGCGGGUUUAUAAGGGCCUAAUAGGACCGCCUGUACCGCUUCUCCUGCCAUUGCCUUCAAGUCUUCCGCUCUCAUCUUCUCCAAUCUCCUGCAUUUUCCUAGCUCCAGCUCACAUUCGCACCUCUAAUGGCGAAGAGCGAUUCCAGGAAGAGGGCCGAGUUGAUGGCCAAGGAGUGGAAAAAGUCUCGCAGCACCACAAAGUCUCUUGGCGACCUCGUCGACAUGGGGCUUCUGCACGGCGCAGAGCUCGGCGGCUGGAGGGCGCCGGAAGGGGAGAGCUACCCCGACCCUCGCGCCGGUGAGAUCGUCGCUUUUGAGGAUUUCGUCAAGAGAGGCUUUGGUGUUCCUGUUCAUCCCUUUCUUCAAGGUCUUCUUUUGUACUAUGAGAUCGGGAUUUGCAAUCUGCACCCGAACUCGAUUCUCCUUAUUUCCACUUUCAUCCAUCUGUGCGAGGCCUAUGUUGGCAUAGAGCCGCACUUUGAUCUUUUCCGGUACCUUUUCUGUCUGAGGAAGAAGGGAGCAGUUGGAGGCUCCAAGGUUGCAGGUGGAGUAUACCUCAACCUUCGUGAUGGGAUGAAGAAUCGCUACCUGCACUGCCCAUGGAACACCUCCUUGACCGAAUGGUACAGGAAGUGGUUCUACGUCAGGGAGGAACCGGGCAGCUCCACGUUCUGCGACGUGGGGUACGUUCCCGAGAAGAGGGCGAGCUGGACUGACCGCCCAGAGUUCGACGGUCAAGUGGCGGAUCUGAUGAAGCUGAUCGACUGGUCGCGCCUGGAUGGGCUUAGCGUGGUCGGCAACUUCAUUUGCCGCCGAGUGAUGCCCUGCCAGAAGAGGGUGCACUCGGCGUAUGAGUAUGCCGGAAGCACAGACCCGACCAGGAUGCGGUCGGAGAUCCUGGAGAAGGCGGAGGUUCAACAGCUGCUGAACGAGCUGUUUAACUUCGCGGAUGGGGGCUUCACCCGUAGCAGUGAUCGGGUGCAAGCCUUCAAGUUAGGACGACCAGCACCAAAGGUAUGUAGCAGACUCCGUUUGAUCAUUCGUAUGUCGUCUGUAGUUGGCUCAUCUCUGUUACUUUUGCAGGUCGGUGAUGUCGACCGGUGCAUAGUGUUCGUAUCACUGGCACCGGGGAUGGAAGAUCCUGUGGGAGAGGUCCCGCCAGAGGAAGACCGAGCCCGCCCCGUCCCGACCUCCGAGGAGAGGGUGGCGGGGAAAAGGCCAUUGCCGGUGGAUCCCCUGCCGACGCCGGAGCUGCCGGCAGACCUACCGGCGGAGAGCAGCCAAGCGCCGAAGCGUCGUCGGCUCGUGCGGAUCGUCGUCGACGACGACGACGACGAGGAGGCUGCGCCGUCGUUGGUCCGACGGCCUCGGGGCCACCCAGACGCUGCACCGGUCACCACUGAUCGAGUGGCCAGCGGCGCAGCUGCCCCGCAAGUUGCCGAGGUGGGGGCACGGGCGCCGACCGGCCGAGCGAGGAGGAGGUUCACCGCGACCCAUCGGCGGUCGGACCUGUAAGUGUUCAACUUACGUAUUUUGGAUUUUUUUUUUUUAACUUUUGUUCCUGUAGUGCGGCGUCGGAUGUCGACCCUGGCCAAACUGCCGGCCAGGGAACGGGCGAGCCUGCCCGCGGUUCUGGGGAUGCGGCCCCCCAGACCACAGAACAGCCGACUGCUGCAGUCGCGCCUGGGAGCGCCGAGGAGCUCCCGAGCGCGGCGCCGACUACAACAAGCAGCCCGACCAGGGCUGGGGAGGCUCCCCCAACUGACUCCUCGGAGAAGGGAAGGUCUCCGACCGCUCCUCCUGCCGGGGGGAGUGAAGUCCCCCCGCCGCCCCGAGCAGGAACCUCUCCGGCUGCGGGCUCCCCAGGUCUGGUCCCAGGGACGGUGACGCCUGGGACCACCACCGGGGGUGACGCAGCCCAGGAGGAGGAAACCAGGGUGGCCUCCGACGACGAGGUAGAAGAGAUCGAGGGUCGUCCCCGUGAUGGCCGCCAACACGUGUAUGUGUGGCGCCAACGCGGGGAUCACUUUAUCGGUCAUGAGGAGCUUGCCGAGUCCGAAGAGGCCGCCAGGGUGGAGCGCGCGGCCAAGCGCCUUGUCGACGAAGUCAAGGUAAGCGGCGUUUUGAGCUGCCGCGCAUUCCUUUGCCUUGUCUUUUGCGCAUUGUUAUAUGCUUGCUUUGUAGGACGUUAUGAAAACGGCGAAGUACCGGAAACGGUGCUUUGACCAGAUAGAAGGCGUCAUGGCCGAGAACAAGGCCCUUGCCGCGGAGGUAGACCGGUUGCGGGCGGAGGUCGGAGAGAAGGUGGUCGAGAUGAGCACCGAAAAGGAGCGUCGUCUCGACCUCGCUCGUCGCCUGGCCGACCAGUACCGGCUGCAGGAAGGUUAGUCACACGCUCCGAGCAGUUUCGCAUACUUGCAUAGUUUGCUUCGCUGACCAGUUUAGGAUUCACGCAGACUUGGAGGAGGAGGUGGCGAGCCUCCAACAAGAGAAAGAGCAGCUCGGCCAACAGCUCUCCAGUGCACAGGAGUCCGGACGGCGAGCGGAAGAGGAAUUAAGUCGAAAAGAUCGGGAGUUAGCUGGUAAUGGGUGCCGCCUUGUUGGUUGCUACCUGCCCCUUUGCUUGUCUGGUAUGCCGAAAGUAACGUUUCGUUUUGUUUGCAGUGCUCAAGGUGAACACCAAAAAACACCUGGAUGAGCUGGUCAAGGACCGGGACUCCUGGAAGGUCAACUGUUGCAGGAUCUGGAAUGGAGUGUCCCCGGUCCUGGACCUGAUCAGUCCCGAGCUCCCGGAGAGCCAGCCCCGCGCGCCGCAGUUGACCCCGGUCCAAAAGGCGCAACGGGCGUGGGACUGGCUCCAGCAGUUUGUGAAGGACGCCGGGGAGUUUGCCGGCGCGCACGUCCUUAGCAUGGUACGCGCCCACUACCCCCUGGUCGACUUGAGCAGGCUGGAGAAGGGGUACCCGAAGGAAGUCGGCCCACAGGAAGCGGACGAACUUCGGGGUAGUCUGCUGGACUUGUCAUCGACAGUGAUCGGCGACAUCAACCUGUGCGGAACAGCCACUCCUCCAGACCAGCCGAGCUCAGAUAGGUCGGCCAGGGAGUUGUCGGGCGCGUCCUUUGCUGGAGAUGGGCGGUCGACGCCUGCGGUCUCGACCAGCCAGGCGCCGGUGGCCCCGACCCCUUCGUCCGGGCAGCAGGGCCAGGCGGGUGAUCAGCCCGAGCAGCUAGGCCAAUAAAGUAGUCUGUAGGAAUAGACUAGUAUCUGCCCGUCAGGGUAUUUAUUGUAAACUUUGUAUGUAAAGUUUGUAAUAAAGUUUUCUUUUUGUCAUGAGUGUUGUUUUGAGCGCUGUAAAAAUAUCUGAGUGACGUGUCACCGUAUUUGUCUUGGUUGUCGCCAAGAGCAUCCAUUGCAGGAGUUUUGCCGAGUGCUGUGUAUGACAAGGUACAGAGAAUUUUAUUGUCAAAAAUUAUAAGAUACUUACAAAAGAAAGUCGUUAAAACUUUAUGGAUAGAAACGUCGCAGUUUGUCGAUGUGCCAAGAGUUAGGUACUCGUGUUCCGUCUGGGUAUGCCAAUCUGUAGGACGUAGGUCGUGUGACCUCGGUCACCACGAAGGGUCCUUCCCAGGGAGUAGAUAACUUGUGCAUUCCCUCCUGGCUUGUUUUCCAUCGAAGCACCAGAUCACCGACCACGAAGGAACGGUCCUUGACGUUCCUGUUGUAGUAUCGCCUGACUGCCGCGAGAUAUUUUGCUGUUUGGAGACAUGAAACUAAACGCUUUUCCUCCAUGCAAUUGAUUUCGAGUUCUCUGGCGUUGUCAGCGGUCGCCUGGUCGAAGUGCUCGAUUCUAGGAGAUCCGAAGUGUAUGUCGGACGGCAAAACCGCCUCCGCGCCGUACACCAUGAAAUAGGGAGACACCCCUGUGUUUCGACUGGUCUGAGUUCGGAGGCCCCAGACCACUGCCGGCAAUUCUUUCAUCCAUCGACCGGGUGCUCUGUCGUUCUCGGUGUACAGUCUUUUCUUUAGGGCGUCGACGAUCAUUCCGUUAGCUCGUUCGACUUGACCGUUGGCACGUGGAUGUGCCACUGACACAUAUUUUAUGACUAUGCCUCUGUCAUCGCAGAAAUCCCAAAAAGUGGUGCCAGUAAACUGAGUGCCCAGGUCGGUGAUUAUGCUGUUCGGGACGCCGAAUCUGUGUAUGAUUUGAUUGAGGAACUCCACAGCCUUCUCGGAAGUUGCCUUGACCAGGGGCAUGUAUUCAAUCCACUUGGAGAACUUGUCGAUUAACACGAAAACAAACUUGAAGUUGCCCGGAGCUGGUUUAAAUGGUCCGAUCAUGUCAAGCCCCCAGCAAGCAAAGGGCCAAGACGACGGGAUGGUUUGAAUUUCAUGGGCAGGUACGUGGGUCCUCUUAGCGAAAAACUGACAUCCUUCGCAAUGCCGAACCAGUUUUUCUGCGUCGCUGACCGCGGUUGGCCAAUAAAAACCUGCUCGGAAAGCCUUACCGACCAGCGUUCUAGAUGCGGCGUGAUUGCCGCAGGAUCUGGCGUGUAUGUCCUCCAAGAGCUUGAUACCAUCGUCUUGGGGUAUGCACUUGAGCAGUACCUCGGAGCUUGCGUUUUUCCGCAUGAGUUUUCCGUCGACCAGAAUGUAGUUCUUUGAUCGUCGGAUGAGACGCUCGUUCUCUGUUUUGUCCUGAAAACCUGUCCCGUCUGAGAUGUAUUUGAUGAACGGGAUACGCCAGUCGCGCCCACCGGUUGUCGGAGUGGCGUCAUCUAUGAGCAUUGCCUCGGUGGGUUGCUUGUCGACCAGAGGGGAGCUUACGCUCGGCUCACGGAUGUCCUGGACGAAAAUACCGCGCGGGAUUUGGGCCCGAGACGAGCCUAACUUUGACAACGCAUCUGCUGCUUGGUUCUUAUCCCGGACCACGUGGAUGUACUCUAUGCCAUAGAAGUUAGUUUCCCAUUUGCGAAUUUCUUUGCAGUAGAGAUCCAUCUUCUCGUGGGUUGCGUCCCACUCCUUGUUGAGCUGGUUGAUGACCAAAGCGGAGUCCCCGUAGACAUAGAGGCGCUUAACCCCCAGCUCAACGGCUAGUCGUACGCCAUGUAAGCAAGCUUCGUAUUCGGCGACAUUGUUUGACGCCGGAAAAAGGAUCCGAAGGACGUAGCGGAGUUUGUCCUUGUUUGGUGAUACGAACAAUAUCCCAGCGCCUGCACCGUUGAUGUUCAAGGACCCAUCAAAGAACAUUGACCAGUGGUCUGAGACAUCGGGAACGGACGGUUCGUUGAGAUCCGUCCAUUCGGCAAUGAAAUCGACCAGGGCUUGGGACUUGACAGUGGUGCGACUCUGAAACUCCAGGGAAAAUGGACAUAGUUCCAUUGCCCAUUUCACGAUUCUGCCAUUGGCGUCUUUAUUGCGCAGGAUGUCACCGAGGGGAAAGCUGGUUGUUACCAGGACUCGAUGGCCGUCGAAGUAGUGCUUCAGUUUUCUUGAUGUUAUCAGGAUGGCGUAUAUAAGCUUCUGUAUUUGUGGGUACCUGGCCUUGGAUUCGUUUAAAACUUCGCUUAUGAAGUAAACGGGCCUCUGGACCUUGAAGACGUGACCUAGUUCAUCUCGCUCGACCACUAUUGUCGUGGAAACAACUCUGUCGGUUGCAGCAAUGUAAAGGAGCAGGUCUUCAUUGGGCUGAGGCGCUGUGAGAACAGGCGGUGAAGUGAGGAAGGUCUUAAGCUGAGUGAACGCAGCGUCGGCGUCCUCUGUCCAGGAGAAUUUUUCUGACGCUUUCAAUAGUUUGAAAAAGGGGAGGCCUUUUUCUCCCAGCCUUGAGAUGAAACGACUGAGGGCGGCCAUGCAUCCGGUUAGCUUCUGAAUAUCCUUGACGUUCUUCGGUGGUCGCAUGUCGAGUACGGCUUUGACUUUUGAAGGGUUUGGUCGUAUGCCGUCGCAACUGACGACGUUGCCGAGCAGUAGACCGGAAGGAACGUCGAAGAUGCAUUUCUUGGGGUUGAGCUUCCACUUGUACCUAUUGAGAGCCUUGAAGGUUCGGUCUAAGUUGUCGAUUAGGGUGCUCGCAUCCCUUGUUUUUACGACCACGUCGUCCACAUAGGCCUCGACGAGGUCGUCGCGAAUCUCGUCGUGGAGGCAUUGCUGGAUGGCCCUUUGAUAAGUGGCCCCGGCGUUUUUAAGUCCGAAAGACAUGGUAGUGUAACAGUAUGCGCCGAAAGGUGUGAUGAAGGAUGUUUUGAUCUGAUCUUCUUCUUUUAACGAGAUCUGGUGAUAACCAGAGUAGCAAUCUAGAAAGGAGAGGAGUUCGCAUCCGGCCGUUGAGUCGACCACCUCGUCGAUGCGAGGAAGACCAAAAGGAUCUUUAGGACAGUGUUUGUUGAGAUCGGUGUAAUCAACGCACAUUCUCCAUUCAUUAUUCUUUUUGCGUACAAGAACCGGAUUGGCGAGCCAAUCGGGAUGAUACACCUCUUUUAUGAAUCCGGCUGCUAGAAGCCGUGUUAUUUCUGUCCUAAUAGCCUCCUUUUUGUCACGAGCGAACCGUCGCAGUUUUUGCUUGAUUGGUCUUGCGGUCUUCGAGACGUUUAAGGAGUGCUCGAUCAGGUUUCGUGGGACGCCGGGCAUGUCUGCGGGUUUCCAUGCGAAAACGCUCAAGUUGUCCCUUAGAAACCUGACGAGCGCGUCUUCCUAUUUUGGAUCCAGGUUAGCCCCGAUGAGGGCUGUCUUCUCGGGGUUGCCCUCGACCAGCUGCACUUCUUUGUACUCCUUGGAUUUCGAAUUCUUUCUGGCUGUCUCCUGCUCAGGUAAUCGGAGCUGGUCGGGGGGCAGCUGUGCGGCUUGGUUUGCUGUUUCCGCCAUGCGGAUUGAGAGGUCAAUUGCCUCGGUGAUCUUGAAACUUUCUUCUUCGCAGGUGUAUGCAGUGUAGACGUUGCCUCUGACGGUCAGGACACCUUUCUCCGUGGGCAUCUUAAGCACUAGGUAUGAGUAGUGCGGGACUGCCAUGAACUUUGUCAGAGAUGGGCGGCCCAGUAUGGCGUGGUAGGUCCCGUCGAAGUCCGCGACUACGAAGUUGAUGAACUCCGUCCGGAAGUGAUCGGGUGUGCCGAAUUGGACAGGCAAUGUUAUCUGUCCGAGGGGAACCGAACUUUGACCUGGCAGGACCCCCCAGAAUUGGGCGUCGUAAGGUUUUAGUUGCGCCGGUGAUAUCUUGAGGGCGGGCAGGCUGUUGCGGAAGAGGAUGUCAAUGGAGCUUCCCUCGUCCACGAGCACGCGCUCGAAUCUGAUGCUAUUGAUGCAGGGAUCAAGAAUCAGUGGGAAACGACCCGGCUCUGGGAUAGCGGCCCACUGGUCCUUCCUGCUGAAUGCGAUCUCCCUGUGGGACCAGGCGGGAAAUUUCGGAUCUGCGAUCAGCCCGUCCGUGCUGUCUAUGUUGAGGCAGGCUCUCUUCAACAGCUUUCUUUCUCGCUUGGACUCAGUGGAGACCUUGCCCCCGAAAAUGGAGUGGACCACGUCGGUGGGGCUGACGUAUUGGUGUCGGGGGUCCCUGUCUUGGUCUUCAUCCUCAUCUUCGUGGUCGUGCCCGUCGCGUUUGUUACUUUUCUUGGCGGUGUCUUCUUGAGCGGCCCGCCGUGUAUAAAUAUUUUUGAGGACGCGGCACUCUUCCAUGGUAUGGUUAGACUUUGGGUGUAGCUGGCACGGUCCCUUCAACGUUUUGUUGUAGUCGUCUUGGUAGUCCCGUCGUCCAUUGGGACGUUUGACCGUGUUUACUUCGUGGUCGUAUUCGCGAGGGCGCUUUCCUCUGAAGUCGUCGCGGCUGUCGCGCCGCCGAUCCCAACCCUCUCGGUGAUCGCGGUUGUCGGAGCGACGGUGAUUUCUGUUGUCGUAGCGGCCACGACCGUCAUCUCGCCGGGAGGGCUGGUCGGUGCCUCUCGCAUCGUCUCGGAUUAGUUUUUCUGCGUCAUCAGCGUCGGCAUAGUUUUUAGCCGUGGCGAGGAGCUCUGCUACCGUUGAUGGACGCUUACGCAACAGCUUGUUCCUCAGUGCUUCAUGGAAACGUAAGCCCUUGAUAAAGGCUGAUAUGGCCUCGUCAUGAGAAAUCUUCGGGAUUUUGAGACGCAUAUCCGAGAAUCGUCGGAUGUAAUCGCGCAGAGGUUCAUUCUUCCUGUCUCUUAUCCUUUCAAGGUCAUACUUGUUUCCGGGCUGCUCGCACGUGGCGAUGAAGUUGUCAAUGAAAGCCUGUCGUAGCUCUUCCCAAGAGUCGAAGGAGUCCUCGGGCAAGCCGAGAAGCCACUGAUGACCAGCCUGGUCGAGGACUACGGGGAAGUAGUUAGCCAUGACGUGCUCAUCUCCUGCCGCUGAUCGGAAGGCGAUUUCGUAGAGGGUGAUCCAGUUCUCUGGAUUUUCCUUGCCGUCGUAUUUUUUAAGUUUUUCGAGCUUGAAAUUUCUGGGCCACACGACCUGGCGGAGGUGUGAGGAGAACUGCCUUAGGCCCGGAGGACCGUGGGUCGCAUCGUACUCGAUGCGGCGCAGGUUUUCGUGGACUGCUCUCUCUGCGGCGCGCCUGUUGAUGCGGUCCCGGGCAUCUUUGGGAGGGAUGUUGUGGCGGAGAUCCCUGUGUUGAUCUUCUUCUUCCUGGCCGCGUACGCGGUUCUGCUGGCGGCGGCCAUCGGCGUCUCGACCACCAUCGUCGCGCCGUGAGUCCCCUCGACGGUUGUCGGGGGAGCGGCUGCGGCGACGCCCGCUGGGCGAGGCCCGGCUACGAUGAGUCUGGUCGGAGGCGGCUUCCGUAUAAGAGACGUCCUGGGCUCUCUUGAGCAGAGUUGCUGUCUGUCCCAUCGCGGCGAUCAGGUGUGCUCGGAUACUGGUCCGGACUCCCUGGCAUUCGGGUGUAUCAGGAAGCCGAUCCAGGUUGGCCAUGGCGACAGCCACGUUGGCGCUUGGCGUUUUGUAGACCGGCUGGUCCCCGACCAUGUCAAAGGCAUCGUUGAGGUUACCCGGUGGCGUCUGUUGUUGCUCGUCCGCACGCCGUCGGGCGCGAUCGGCGUUACGCUGUUCGCGGAGUUGCCUCUGGUCGUCUGUUUCUCCGUCAACAACCGGUUCGUCGGCGCUGAUAUUGAAUACAAUAUCCCCUCGCCGGGGGGGGAAUAUCGGGAACCGGUCGAAACCCGGAGGGUGUGAAGGGAAAUCCAGGUCGUAGUCCUCGUCUUCGGUGUUCACAACCUCGGUGGGGACGGAGCCGGUGCUUGAGUUGGUGCUGGACACCUGGCCGUCCCGUAGCUCUCGGAUGGUCACCAUGUUGACGUGGUGACGAUUGUUCCUUGUCGGCGACCAGCCCGCUUUGCUGAAAACGGAUUGGACAUGCUGUGAGUAAACAGAGGCCGAGUUGUUCAGGCCGCAAGGAUAGUCUUCCUUUUUGAGCUCGACGGAUCGUCCUGCGGGGGUUGAGGUUAUCGUCAGGGACGUUCCCAGCCGUUCGUGUGUAGCGACACGAGUUGGCCGGCGGAAUUUCGAAAAAUCCGCUCGAGCGGCUUGGUCGGGCUGGCGUAGAACUCCAUCUAUUAGUUGGGAGACUUCGAGUAGCUUGGAGUCAGCGCGAUCGAGCGCUUGGAGGAGGUCCGAGCAGUCGAUCUCCUUUCCCUUGUAGAGCGGGAACGGUGGUCGGGAGCUUGGUGCCGUCAUGCGUGUGGUCGGAGACGGCGUGAUCUCAGAUUGGAUCUGGAUCUCUUUCGGAACCGUGGUCGCGAAACCGCCGCUGCACGUCGUCCACGUGAUCUGGCCGACGGUGAACGUGAGGCCUUCGGGCACGGUCGCCGAAGCUGGGAUCGUGACCAUCUUGUUCGCCGGAAAAGUUGUACGCACACCCCCUACCUGGCGCGCCACUGUCGACGAAAGCUGGUCGGCAGUCUACCUUGGGGUAUACCCACGGUAGUAGUUUAUCGGUAGACGGUGCGCAAACUACGAACUCGAUGGUGACGCAAGACACGGACAAGCUUUUUAUCCAGGUUCGGCCGCCGAGUUGGCGUAAUACCUACGUCCUGCGUCUGGUUGUAUUGGAUUGUGUUGAGAGAUAAUCUGUCCUAGGGGGGUCCCUUGCCCCUCCUUAUAUAGUCUGGAGGGCAGGGUUACAGAUCUAGAAACUAAUCCUAGCCGGUUACAAUUGCCAUAGAUAAUUCGAUAUCAAUUCCUAUUCUAACCGACUAGAAUCCUGCUUGAUCUCCACGUCUUGUUUCCUUGCGCGAAACUCGGGCUGUCGGAUCAAGCCUUGAACUCGUCUCGUAGUGGGCCAAGCUUCCUGGCUGAAGUCUAGCCGUAAGGGUAUAGGGGUUUAUACCCCCACAGAUGCCCAUUUGAUGUCAUGGGAGUUUUGAUUGGCUUGCAAUCUUGCAUCUUGAAUCUCUUGAGAAGAUCUUAAGUGUACUUUUCUUGAGAGAUGAAAACCCCUUCCUUCAUUUGCUUGACUUGAAACCCGAGGAAGAAGGAUAGCUCGCCAAUCAUGGUCAUCUAGAACUCCUUGGACAUCAAAUCACCGAACUCCUUGCAAAAUUCUUCAUUUGUUGAGCCAAAUAUGAUGUCAUCAACAUACACUUGGCCAAUGAAGAUUUCUCCAUUGAUCUUCUUAAUGAAUAGUGUUAUGUCGACCUUCCCGAUCUUUAAGCCCUUUUGAGGAAGUCACUUAGCCUCUCAUACCAUGCUCUAGGAGCUUGCUUGAGACCAUAGAGCACCUUGGACAACCGGUACACAUGCUUGGGUACCUAGGAUCUUCAAAACUAGGGGGUUGCUCAACAUAGACAAGCUUAUUAAUACAACCAUUUAGAAAUGCACUUUUCACAUCUAUUUGAAAUAGUUUGAUGUUAUGGUUAGAAGCAUAUGCAAGAAAGAUACGUAUAGCUUCAAAUCUUGCAACCGGUGCAAAGGUUUUACCAAAGUCAAAACCUUCCACUUGUGAAAAGCCUUUCACCACAAGUCUUGCCUUGUUGCGCACCACCUUGCCUUGAUCAUUUUUCGUGUUCCAGAAGACCCACUUUGCUCCUAUUACUCUUGCAUCUUUAGGUCGCUCUUUGAGGGUCCAUACUUGAUUACGAGAGAAGUUGUUCAACUCCUCUUGCAUGGUGAUGAUCCAAUCCGCAUCGCGAAGAGUUUCCUCUAUAGUUUUGGGUUCCUCUUCAAGAGACACAAAAGUGUGAUGUUCAAUAAAUAAAGCAUGUUUAGAACGUGUAGUAACACCACAUGAUGGACUCCCGAUGAUGAGAUCUUGAGAGUGAUCUCGAAGAAGGUGUGAUGAUCUUCUUUGCACCACUUGAGGAGCCGGUUAGGGAGCAUCAACAUCUUGUGCUUGUGCCACCGCUUGUUCAUGAGUGACUUGUGAGUCUUCAUGAGCGUCUCUCACAUCCUUGUCAUCAUCUUAUGGCACAUGUGAGGAGGAUGGCUCAUCGAUGACUUGCACCUUGCCAUCCUCCUCCUUAGGCUUGAUGUCUUCCAUCAGAAUAUUCUUCAAGACUUCCCUCAAUGGUUCACCAUCUACAUCACCAAGAUUAUCACUUGCUCCUUGGGAGCCAUUAGAUUCAUCAAAUUCAACAUCAAAAGUUUCUUCAACCAUGUUUCUGGCAUGGUUAAAGACUCUAUAAGCCUUGGACUUUGAUGAAUAGCCAACCAAGUAACCAAUGUCUCAUCUUCUUUGAAACUUCCCCAAGUGUUGGUGCUUCUUGUAGAUAUAGCACUUGCACCCAAACACUCUAAAGAAUGAGACAUCAGGCUUCUUCCCAUUGAGCAAUUCAUAUGGUGUCUUCUCUAGGAACUUGUGAAGAAAGAGUCGGUUUGAAGCAUAGCAUGCGGUGUUGAUUGCCUCGGCUAACAUCUUCUCCGGAGUGUUGUACUCAUCAAGCAUAGCUCUUGCCAAGGUUAUCAAGGUCCAGUUCUUUCUUUCUACAACCCCAUUUUGUUAUGGUGUGUAUGUCGAGGAGAACUAUAUGAUUCCAACUUCAUCACAAUAGUCUUCAAUAUUGGUAUUGUCAAAUUAUUUGCCAUUGUCACUCCUAAUCUUCUUGAUCUUGACAUCGAAUUGAUUUUGUGCCUUAUUUGUAAACUUCUUGAAUAUUGAUGCAACUUCAACCUUGUCUUACAAGAAGAAUGUCCAUGUGUACUGAGAAUAGUCAUCCACUAUUACCAAGCAAUAUUUAUUCUCACUAAGACUAGCAUAUGUAGUAGGUCUAAACAAAUCCAUGUGCAAUAGCUCAAGAAAUCUUAAGGUAGAGAGAUAGAUCUUGGUUGGAUGAGUGUUUGCCACUUGCUUGCUGGCUUGACAUGCACUACACAACUUGUCCUUCUCAAACUUGACAUCUUUCAAGCCUCUUGUCAACUCCUUCUUCAACAACUUUUUGAGUGUGCCCAUUCCAACACGAGCUAGCCUCCUAUGCCAUAGCCAACCAAGUGAAGUCUUGAUGAAUAGACAUGUCUUGAUGUUUGCAUCUUUGGAGGAGAAAUCAACAAUGUACAAAUUGUUGUAGCGGAAGCCUUUGAAUACCAUCUCAUUGUCAUUCACCUUGGUCACUAUCGCUUCUUUCUCAAUGAAUAGGCAUUGGAAACCAAGAUCACAAAAUUGUCCAACCGAAAGCAAGUUAAAACUUAGAGAUGAAACAUAGAGCACAUUGGUGACAGAGUUGUCAUUGGAUAUAGCCAUCUUUCCCAAAUCCUUGACAUUGCCUUUUGAAUUGUCACCAAAUGUGAUAUUCUCUUGAUUGUUCACAUCUUCAUUGAGUGAGGUGAACAUUUGGGGAUCUCCGGUCAUAUGUUGGGUGCAACCACUAUCAAUUACCUAAUGUGAUCCACCGGUCUUGUAGUUCACCUUCUGAUCACCCUUAGCCAUCAGGCAUAGGUGUGUAGAGGAUGAGGAUGAAGGCGAUGGUGGUGGACAUGAAGCAUCAAUUGCAAUUGUGGCCACCUUCUCAUCAUCACUAGCAUCAUUGGAGGAGUCACCACAUGAGCUCUCAAUAUUAGUGAGCCAAUCACUAACAAUGUAUGCCUUGCCAUUCUUCUUCUUGUGGUACUCCUUCUUUCCACCCUUCUUCUUGAAAGGCUUCUUUUCAUUCUUCUCAUUGUCACUUGAGUCAUCUUUGUCCUUGUUUUUUUCUUGUAUUUAUCCUUCUUAGGCUUAGGACAUUGAUGGGCAAGAUGACCAAGUUCACCACAAUUGUAGCAAUCCAUCUCGGAGAUGGGCUUUCUCUUGCUACUUGUGAAGAACUUCUUUUGGAGUCGAAGUUGACACCAUUCUUGUUGAGCUUCUUAAGCAUCUUGGUGGUUCUCCUCACCAUGAGAGCAAUGGUGGCAUCAUCAUCGCUUGAGGUUGAGGAUUCUUCAUUUUUUUGAGCGACCGUUGGGAAUUUAACUUCGCCAUGAAAAAUAGCCCCAACUUUAGAGUUAAAACUUUGGACUCAGAAUUAUAAUUUUUGUAACAAAGUUUACCUGCAAAGAGAAAAAUAGGGCGAAGAUGUAACUUUGACUUCGUCGGGAAAAAUCAACUUUGCUGCAGAAAACUUUGUCUUCACCAAAGAAGGAAAGAUUAAAGCAAGGCUAAGCGAAGACAAGAAUUUGGCUUCGCUUGACAAUUGAAGAUAGAAAGAAGAUGGAGCAAAAAUCGACUAAGUCCAAAAUACAAAGCCCGCCAGAAGAUUGGUUGACAAAAUUGAAGAAUGAAGACUUAGAUAUAGAAAAAGACCACUUCGCCCUUGUAGUUGAGAAGGGUUGUAAUUGUUUGAGUGAGGGGUAAAAUGGUCAUUUUGUGUAAAAUAUGAAGGUCAGGGCCCUAUAAAUACCCCACUGACAUGUACAGUAGACCCGGAGAAUGAAUACAAUUUUUAUUUGUGUUUAACUUUUGAUGUUUGUGUAAUGUUUGCUUGGCAUAAAAGUUACACCAACAGCGACCAAAAUACUUUUUUGAAUUUAACCUUCAUGUUUCGGAGUACGUACGUGGUUGGUCACGAGGCAGGGGGCGGGUCUUCUUGUGGCGUGGUUGGCCACACGGAGUUUUAUUUUUAUUUUUAUUUUAUUUUGAGAAAAUGUGUAGCUCACGGAGUACUAUUUGUAGGUCGGACGCACUUUUUUGUUCAAUUGUGGCCCAUGAAGUGAUUUUUGGGCCGAAUAGCCCAUUCAACCGUGCCCUAACCCUAGGCCGCUUAUAAAAACCUAGCUCCAUCCGAUUCCCAAACCCUAAGACGCAGUCGGCCGCCGCACACCGGGAGAAGCCGACGCUCCGCCACCGUAUCCGCAGAUCAGCGGCGAGCCGUAACCACGCCACACUGCUUGCCGCCCGACGAGGUAUUCUGCCGCUCGCGCGCGCUUCUCUUCCUUCUCUUUUCGUUGUGCUUUGAGCUUGUUCGUUUGAUGCGCUCCGAGCUUGUUCGUUUGAUGCCCAGAUCUACUAGUUUGUCGUCUAUGUGUGAUGAGCUGAGCCGAUUCAUGCACUGGAUUUCUAAUCAAGUGUUGUUUCCGUCUCCGCUACCUUUAUUUAGUGUCUAUGUAUGAACAUGGGUGCAGUUUGCAAUUGAUUUGUCGAGCCAUAAAUUAUAACCGUUUCGUUGUUCUAGAUUAGAUCCCGAUUCUGAUCUUUGAUAUUACGUGGCUGAGGCACUUCAACUCUGUUUUAUGUGUAUGAACUGAGCCGAUUCAUGCGCUGAGUAAUAAUCAAAGUUUUGCUUCCGCCUCCUCAUCUGCCUUUAGUAUGUACUCCGUAUAUAAACUUGAUUGCAGUUUGCAACUGAUUCUCAGCCAUAGAUUAUCACUGUUGCGUUGUUCAUUAGAUCCAGUUUCUGUGGUAUUAUGUGGGUGGGGUAGUUCCUCUUUGGAUUUUUCCUAUCCUUGAAAUUGUUUGAUUACUGGUUUAUUCCCAUGUUUGUUUAUUUCUAACUAUUUUUAGAUGAUGAUUUCUAACUGUUUUUAUCUGCUAAUUUUGAUGUAAGCAGCAGGGUAACAGUUCCCUUCAGCCAUGGGUAAGGAGAAGACUCACAUCAACAUUGUGGUCAUUGGCCAUGUCGACUCUGGCAAGUCGACCACCACUGGCCACCUGAUCUACAAGCUUGGCGGUAUUGACAAGCGUGUGAUCGAGAGGUUCGAGAAGGAGGCUGCGGAAAUGAACAAGCGUUCAUUCAAGUACGCCUGGGUGCUCGACAAGCUUAAGGCUGAGCGUGAGAGAGGUAUCACAAUUGAUAUUGCGCUGUGGAAGUUCGAGACCACCAAGUACUACUGCACUGUCAUUGAUGCCCCUGGACACCGUGACUUCAUCAAGAAUAUGAUCACUGGUACUUCCCAGGCUGACUGUGCUGUUCUUAUCAUUGACUCCACCACUGGUGGUUUUGAGGCUGGUAUCUCCAAGGAUGGCCAGACCCGUGAGCAUGCUCUCCUUGCUUUCACACUUGGAGUCAAGCAGAUGAUUUGCUGCUGCAACAAGGUAUAAUUCCAGGAAUUUCUAUCUAGUCUGGUUUAUGAUCUGAGAUGCCUGUAAAUAUGUGCUUCAAUAGUCUAGGCUGCACUCAAUUAUACUGCAUUCAAGUUGAAUACUGCAUUUGUGUUCUGAUAUUAUAGUUAAUGUUAGUUGUAUAAUAAGUUUACAUUGAAUAAGCCAUCUGCUUGCUACAUGUUUAUGUACGAUUGCAUUUUUUUUCUAAUGUUGGUUGCAUAACAAUUUUGAUAAAAUGAAACAUUGAUUGUUGCAUCGAAUAAGUCAUCUGCUUCUUACAUAUUUUUAUUAUUUUUUCUGGAUUUUUAGUUACUUAGUUUGCUACUUUACUUUGUCAAUUAUUAAUGCAACACUGAUUGCUUUGAUUGAAUAAGCCAUCUGCUUUAUAGAUGUUUAUGUAUGAUGGCAAUUUAUCUUCGUUACUUUGCAUAAUUUAAUAUGAUUUUCCAGGAUAACUUCUUCAAUAGGUGAUGUAAUUUUUCAAUUCCACCUUAAUUUAGAAAUUUUCUGUAGUUGUUGGAAUGCUUGCAAUGCUUAUGUAAUUAAAUGAUAUGGGUUUGCAUAACUGCCAUCAUAUGAUUGCAGUCGUUAUUUUACUUUUGUCAAUUAGUAGGAUUUGUUGGCAUGCACCUGUUGAGGUCAGUAUUUUUUAUAUACGUCAGGUGCCCCCCCAACAAAUAUCCUUCCUUGAGCAAGUGUAGUUGACCAGUAAAUGUUUUUGUAUUUUUACUGUUUGCUUGCUGUUUAGGUAAUCAAUCAGCUGAUGAUAUUGUUUGGGUUUUGCUGUGUUACAGAUGGACGCCACCACACCCAAGUACUCGAAGGCCCGUUAUGAUGAGAUUGUGAAGGAAGUCUCUUCCUACCUGAAGAAGGUUGGAUACAACCCAGACAAAAUCCACUUUGUUCCCAUCUCUGGUUUUGAAGGUGACAACAUGAUUGAGAGGUCCACCAACCUUGACUGGUACAAGGGCCCAACCCUGCUUGAGGCUCUGGACUUGAUCAAUGAGCCAAAGAGGCCUUCAGACAAGCCACUGCGUCUCCCCCUUCAGGACGUGUACAAGAUUGGUGGUAUUGGAACUGUUCCUGUCGGGCGUGUUGAGACUGGUAUCAUCAAACCUGGUAUGGUUGUUACCUUUGGUCCUAGUGGCCUUACAACUGAGGUUAAGUCUGUCGAGAUGCACCACGAGGCUCUCCAGGAGGCCCUUCCUGGUGACAAUGUUGGCUUCAAUGUUAAGAAUGUUGCUGUGAAGGAUCUGAAGCGUGGGUAUGUGGCCUCCAACUCCAAGGAUGACCCUGCCAAGGAGGCUGCUAGCUUCACCUCCCAGGUCAUCAUCAUGAACCACCCUGGGCAGAUUGGCAAUGGCUACGCCCCAGUGCUGGACUGCCACACCUCACACAUUGCUGUCAAGUUUGCUGAGCUUGUUACCAAGAUUGAUAGGCGAUCUGGCAAGGAGCUUGAGAAGGAGCCCAAAUUCCUCAAGAACGGUGAUGCUGGUAUGGUGAAGAUGGUUCCCACUAAGCCCAUGGUGGUGGAGACCUUCUCUGAGUAUCCUCCUCUUGGUCGCUUUGCUGUCCGGGACAUGAGGCAAACGGUGGCUGUUGGAGUCAUCAAGAGCGUGGAGAAGAAGGACCCAACUGGAGCCAAGGUGACCAAGGCUGCCGCCAAGAAGAAAUGAGGUGUCUGGCUGAUCCUGUGUUUUCUUGAGGGAUACCUAGUUGGAACUUUAAAUAUUGUCAUUCCUGUUAUUGCGCGAGCAACUAAACUGUGCUGGCAAUGUUUGUCUGGUCGAUUUAGUACUGUUAUUUUUGUUAAAACCAGGGUGCUUGACACCAAUUUUCUGUUAUUUUUGGAUCGAACAUCGGGUGUUAGCCAAUGGUUUUGAGUUUUGUUACUCUCGUUAUGUUUGCCUGUUUACAUAGCUGUUUCUAAAUAGGUGAUGAUUCGCUCGUCUGUGCCUACUUUUGUAGUGUUUGCCUGUUAACCUAUCUAGAAAUAUUGUUUUGUCUACGCUUUUAAUUGUGAAAAGCAAUUUUUGCUGAUUUUUUUUGCCUAAGAUCUUUUUAAUUUUCCUAUGGCUCAAAGCUUUUCGAAAAUGCCUUGUAGUCGUUGAGAAUUGUUUGACCACUUUUUCGAAGUAGUCAUAGUUAUUUUACAAGAUUGCAAUUGUAAAACAUGGGACUGAAAAACAUAGGAGGACAGUAUAUUGUGGGUCUUAGAUGGGCACAUGGGAAAUUGACAUGAACUUGGCAGUCCUUUUGCAUGGAUCCUACGCGCGAGCCAGGUCGAAUAGAUGUUUCAUGCCCGGAAAAUUCUUACUGAAUUUCUUGAGGUGCUUUCCUAUAAAUCAAGGGCGUCUACAGACUAAAGUAUAAAAUCCCUAGGAUUAUUGAAUACUGUAUUUUUGUAUUUUUUGUUAUAAAAAUUCUCUAUUCUAAUUUCUAAAGGAUGCCUAAAUAUUCUCCGUUGUCUUUCAAGAAAAUAAGUCCUUAAUCUUUAACUAGCAGACAUGCUCAUACGUCUUAGCAGGAGAAAAAGAGUUACGGCAAUUUAAUUUAUAAAGAUGCUAAACUUAAUUUAUAAAGGUGCUACUUUUGAUGUGCUGAACGGUUAUUACAGUAAUCUGAAAUAAAUGGUCUUGUUAAUGCUUUACAUACUCCCUCCGUUUAUAAUAGUACCAUACUCCCUCCGUUUAUGAAACAGGCUCGUUAAUGCAAGCACGGAUGGUAAUAUUGCGUACUCGGUCUAUGGAAACAUGCAAUUCUAAUAGUACCAUGUUUUAGUAUAUCAUGUUUGAUCAAUUAUAGAUUAAAAAACUAUAAAGAUUUAGAUAUUAAAUAAAUAUUAUUAGAUCAAAUAUGAAAUAUAUUUUUAAUCAAAUGUUGACUUUUUUAUCUAGCACGUAACCCAUUUCUUAUCUUUUUAUAAAAUUUAAAAUUUAUACUUUUUUAUAACUAUGAUAUCUAUAAUAUAAGUUAAUAUCAGCAAUAGUACGAUUCGAUAUUAAAUUAAAAUAUAAUAUUGAUAAAAUUUCUUUCUUUCAUUGUAAACACAAAUCCAAUGUGACCAAUAAUACGAUUCCGUAUUGAAUUAAAAUACAACAUAACUUUCUCUCUCUCUUCCAUGUCACCAAAAAUCCAAUGUGACACUGCAUAAGACGACUUAUAAUACUGCUUACACGGAUCAAUAUACUUCUUGCCCUAAGGAAAGAUAAUUCCCAUACGUCUUAAAAUUACUCCUCCCUCCAUCACGACAUGAUACGUAGUAUUUUGAUCAGAAGAAAAAUAGAUUUUAAAAUCAUAAAAUAGAUUUCAACCUUUAAUUUUUAAAAUAUGUGGUUAUUUUUUAAAAAUAAUAAUAUUAAAUUUAGAGAUAUUCUUAGUAUACAAAGAUAUCGAUACAAGUUUUAUCUCUGUAUAAAUUUAUAUUAUAUAUAACUAGGAUGGUUAUUACUUCUUUUGAGAAGAGAGAUAAUUAUGAUUUAGCAUUUGCAAAAUUGGUGACUAGUGUCGGUAAUUUUCAGUGGACAAGCACAUGGGCCACCAGGAAUCGAUCUCAGCUCUAAUGCUACAGCAGGAAGCACCGUCCAGAAAGUGAACCGCCCCUUGUGCUUGUGCUUGUGCUUGACGCUCACUACGCCGUUUGGGCCUAACCCAUCCUACCACUCAUGACGACUUUGGGCCUCACUGCACCGUUUGUGCCGUCUCCUCUGCGCCUGUCUUUUUUUUUUGUUUUUUGGCCUUUUUAAAAAAGUUUCUCACAAAUAUGCCCCGGUGGUUUGAAUUUGGAAUAUGGACCCAGGGCUUGACGCUGUAAUAUAUGGCGUCAAGUUUGUACAUGUUGUUUGCAUCGCCUAUGUGGCCAGCGUGGUGGUGACGUGGACACCAGUUUGGCGCCGUGCAUCACAGCAUUAGGCUUGACGCCAGGGAUCAUGGCGUCAAGUUUGGCGCCACAUGCAUGACGUCAUGCUAUCGAAUAAAACCGGCCCCUACCCUUUCAUCCUUAUUCUUUCUUCUUCCAGCACCUUUCUUCUUCCUCGCUCUCGGGUGAGCUCUCGGCCGAUCGUUGCCGCUGAGCUUAGCUGGCCAGCCGAACUCCCGGCCUCUGCUCCCCUCGGUGGCCCGGCGUUGCUUCCCUCAGCGGCUCGAUCGGCGGCUCGUGCUUGCUCCCCACGUGGCCGGAAGCUUUGGCAUUAGUGAAGUAAGCUUCGUUAUUUUUUUAUUUGGUUAUUUUAAAAAGUUUAAUUAAUGUGUUGUUAGUUCUUUAUGUAAAAGCAUUGACAUUUAGUAUAUGUAGAUUGUUAGUAACUUUAUUUAGUUGGAUAUUUAUACAAUAAGUAUGCAGGCUUGGCGCCAUGACCUGUGGCGUCAAGCUUAAUGAAUUGACCGGUGGCGUCAAGAUUGACGCCACGAUCCAUGUCGUCAAGCAUUUGCGACACAUCAGCCAAAACUGCCAUGUGUGUAGACAAUUUAGCGCCAUCAGUGCUAGCGUUAAGUAGUGUAUCCUUAAUUCCAUUGAUGACAACGCCAAGCCCUGGGUCCAUAUUUCAAAUUCAAACCAACAAGGGCAUAUUUGUGACAAACUUUUCCAAAAAGGGCAAAAAAAAACAAAAAAGUAUGCCUCCGCGCUCUCGCUCCUCCACCGGUGCGUGCUCGCAGCUCGCUGCUCCGCCGUGCCGGCUCCUUCGUCACGGCACCAGCGCCACCACCGCCCAACGGCAGCUAGCGCUCGCCAAAGCCGCGUGUUCUCAGCCACCGCCGAUGGACGUGCGGCCUGCGACACGAUGCGGCACCGUACCGGCAUGGGGGCCACCACGGAGCGCGAGCGUGGUAGUGUCAUGCGCACAGAGGUGACGCGAGGGUGGACCUUCUUGUCGAGUUGACGAUAGGGAGCUGGUGGCCUGGCGCGGUGGAUCCGCCACGGAACAGCUUGCUUGGGGGCGUGCACAGCUUCUACCCCUGGACGGCCUAAUACCCGUGCCUGACAUCAAAGUUAUUCGAACCGGACCGAAGAUUGAACCGGUGAGGCCGUCAGUUCAAUGGUUCAUUGGUCCAACCGUUUGAACCGCCGGUUCAAUUGUUUUGAACCGAUUAAUAUAAUAUGAUUUAAUUAAUAAUUAACAUUAGAGGAGUGUUUGAAGAAUCUACUGUGUGUGGAAACCCAGAAAACAAAAAAAAAAGUGAGCCAACUUAUGGAUUAUCACAUGAUUAAAAAUGUUGGAUUCAGUCACAAAAUAACCUGAUCUGGACAUUCCUAAUAUACUCUAGCACUAAACAGAUAGCUUCACCAAUGACCAAUCAUCAAAUCAAAUAUAACUAAAUAAUAGAAAGCUAAUAUACAAAACCUAAAAGUUAAAACUUGAAAGCUCAAGCUCAGUAGCUCACAAUUAGCCAUGUUCUCUCUUUCUCUUUCCGUCGUCUCGUGGAGCAGAGUGCAGCUAGCCGCCGCUCGCCUGCAGCCCACGCAGUCAGCACGCCGUCGUGCUGCCUGCCGUCGCGCCGCCCGCCGCCGCAGCAGGCAAUAGUUGCUGCCCGCCCACGCCCAGCGCACGCCUGACCUGAGGCCUGACCCACGCCGCCACGCCUGCUGCCCUGCUCUCGAUGCGUCGUCGCGCACCGCCCGCUGCCGCAGCCCAAGGCCUGAGCCUGACCCGCGCGGCCGCGCCUGCUCCCUCGUAGCAGCCGUGCUUGCUGAAAGGUCCUUGUUUUGUUAUGGUAAUUGAGUGACAACUUAGGUGGACUAAUAAUGUUUAUGUGAGAUACACAGGAGAUUAGUCCACAGGUGAUGAUGUGAUGAUGGAGGAGCUCAUUACAUAUGAGACAUGACAUGAAGUCAUGUGACCAAGGUGGAGAAGAUCAAGAUGAGGCUUGGCUCGAUGGACCGGUUGCAAGAGUGAAGGGCAAGUCGGAGGCUUUGAAGCGAGGGACCGCAUGUGACGGUGAAGCUUGAGCAAGACUUGGUGCCGAUGGACCGAGGCAACGGUGAAGAGCAAGUGAGGUCAAGAUCAAUGAACCAAUACGGUCACGUGAUGAUAUGAAGUGGAUCAUAUCAUUUGGUGAUUGGUUGGUGCAUGUGUUGCAUCAACAUUGGAGGAGAUGGAAUGGAAUGCGCAAGACAAAGGUAUAACCUAGGAGCAUUUCCAUUUCAUCGGUCAUAGGUGUGUAGAGAAGUUUAUGACCAGAAUUAGGAUAGAUGGCCGUACUAUCAAGAGGGGCAAACUUUGCAUAUCGGUCAUCUAGUGCCACUUGAGCGAUCUAACUUUGCAUACGUGUUAGGAUCGAGUGGCGUGGCAAGUUGAGAGGCUAACUCCUUUGGGAAAACGUUUGUGAAAAUGCUAACACACUUGCACAUUGUGGUGUACACUUGGUGGUGUUGGCACAUUUGCAAAGGAGGUAGUGUUCCUAGGGUUGAGAGGGGUAUGGGUUCCUUUCUCCCUCCCGCCGAGAUUGCGAGGCGGGAUUCGGUGCUUUUGAGAAAAUUAAGUGCAUAUUUUCUAUUGUGCCGGUGGGAAAUUUGGAGAAUUCAUGGGAGUGUUCUCGCUGAGAAACACUCACCGGACGCUGGUGUUGGCAGCAUCGGACGCUGGUCCAGAGCGUUCGGUGUGGUGUCAGUCUGUGGCUCAGGUGUGCAGAGCGCAACGGACACUGGCACCGGACGCUGGGCGGUUACUGUUUGCGCGUCCGGUGUGAAGUGACGUCAGCAAGUGUGCGCGAGGAGUUUCAGACUGGAGAGCACCGGAAACUGAGGGUGCGUCCGGUGGCUUGCGUCCGAUGACCCUGCGAGUUUGCGGAGCUCUCUACGCACGGGUCCGGUGUGCACCGGACGCGUCCGGUGUGACACAGUAGAGCGUCCGGUGGUGCUGUACAGGCACGCGUGCGCAGUAGCCGUUGGCGGCAACGGUCGAGUUCAAACGGCUAGUGACAUGUGGCUGACGCCUGAGCACCGGACGCUGGGGGUUGAGCGUCCGGUGGCUCCCUUUGAGCAUCCGGUGCCCACGUGCUUUGCCCAGUGAAGGGGCAACGGCUAGUUUAGCCCUUGGGGCUAUAAUUAGAAGUGUUGGCCAGCCUUGGCUGGUGCUGAGCACCCUUGGGACUUAGUGUCUAUGCUUGGGGAGUGCUAGUAAAGCCUCUAACUCACAUAUGCUUGAUAGUGAUCAUCCGAUUGUGUGAGUGAGCGAUUCUAAUGUGUUGCAUUGAGAGAUUGCAUCGAGUGGCACUAGGUGUUCGUGUUGCAAGCCAGUGGUGCUUGUUACUCUUGGAGGUUGCCACCUCCUAGACGGCUUGGUGGCUUGUGACUCCAUCGAAGUACGCAAGGAGAUUGUGUGGUUCUCCGGAGAAGAGAUUGUAAGGGGUACGGUGCUCACCCCGCGGGGAUCGCGAAGAGCAACUCUAGUUGAGCGAGACGUGAAGAGCGACAAGUGGUCCGGCCGGGUCAAGUGCUAGAGCUUGUGGUAAGCACUCCACGUGGGAGAGUGUGACUUGCGGGUCACCACUAGCAAGAGGACCGGCGGCAACCUUGGAGCUUGUCUCAACGGGGACGUAGUUUGGUGGCAACCAAGUGAACCUCGGGAGAAAAUCAUCGUGUCAACAUUGUUCUUCCCGUUGGUUUGCAAGUCACUAACACAAGCUUGUUCUUACUUUCAUAUACUUGUGCUUGUGUAGUUGCUCUAGUAAUUAGUUAGCUUGUGUAGCUUGCUAGUUAUCUUCUUGCUUGUGUAGCUAGAAGUAGUUUUCUUGCGUGACUAAUUUGGUUUGUGUAACCUUGAUUAGUCACAUUGCUUAGUUUGUGUAGCUAAGUAUGUUGCGCUCUCUAAUUUGGCAUUAGUUGCCUUGUUAUUGAGCAUGCUAGUGAGCUUAGGCUUUGUGCGCUUUGCCUCACUAGUUUGUGUAGGAGCUCCCCCGGUUUGCAAAGUACUAGUGGCAUAGGUUUGUGUGACCUUGCUUCUAGAAUUGGUUAGGUGAGCUCUUGCUAAGGUAGCACCUUGCUUGCUUGUUUAGGAUCUUUUCAAGGUGCUAGAGAACUUAGAUAGAGGGGUGUAGUCUUGGCUAGACUGAUAGUUUUAAUUCCGCAUUUGUUUCGUUUAGCCGGCGUAAUAAAUUUUAGAAAGGACUAUUCACCCCCCUCUAAUCUGCCAUCUCGACCCUUCACUUGCCCGCAGCUCGAUCCGCCGCCGGCCGCCGCAGCUCAGAUCGAUGGAUGCGCCGCCGCCAAAAACGAAAAUGGCGGCCAGGAAUAGAAAUGGGGAAUUUUUUCCCUCCCACAUGCGCCCAGUAGCCCUAAAGGGCACAUUGAGAUGUUUUUCCGAUAAUACUCCUGAGCUCACAGAGGGUAAUUUUGCUAGAAAACUGCCCCGGUUCAUAUGGAACCGCCCGGUUCACCGGUUCGACGAAAAACCGGCCGGUUCCACUGGUUUUUAGUGGUUCAAUUACACGGGCGAUCUUUUAAGUGAACCAGACUGGUGGAGGCUUCGGUUCGGUCUUUUAGAGGUCGAACCGCCGGUCCGGUCCGGUUCGAAUAUCUAUGCCUGACAUAUGCUUGCGUGAAUAGUGAAUGCCAUUAUGCCAACCAAGUGCUGAUAUUUUCUUUUGCUAUAUUAAUAUAAUAAACAAUAAGUACUAAAAUAUUUCUAUAGUGAUAAGGUGAAGAUAUAUCUGACUAUCUAUUAUGAUAUGCUAAUCAAAUGAGUUCUAACAUGCAAUCAAAUAAAAUCUAGUACUAUAGCAGAGUGGCUGCUCCUUCCCUCCAAGCUAGAAAAGCUAUUUUGGAAGUGGUCUAAAAUAGCUGAAAAAUGCAAAAAUCAUGGCACGAAUCACAACCUUAGGGGAGUGAAAGAGGUACUACAGCACCAUCCAAUGAUAUCUCUAUUGUAGUAGUGCCAAACCUAGCAUUUGCACAAAUAGGAAUGCUGGUUUGAAUUACCAAAGUGCAAGGAAUCAAAUAAUGUUGCAUUCCUUAUCUUGAAACCUACUUCCUCACAUUCUUCAGGUUAUCUGUGGGCUGAUGCGAAGCUGAAGAUACAUGUGCAACACAGAGAACGUAAAAAGCAACUGUUCAACAUAGGUGUAGCUAGUUUCUGAAUAGUUGAAUCAGAUAUCAUGAGCAUAAUAAACACCUCCUUCGUUGUGAAGGGUGUGCCUACGUGAAACCAACCCAAAAGCAUACGUGACAGGAUAUCAUGAGCAUAAUAAAUACCUCCUUCGUUGUGAAGGGUGUGCCUACGUGAAACCAACCCAAAAGCAUACGCGACAGUUGUCUGUUCAAUAAGAAUAUACAAGAUUUCUGUCAUGAGCAGCCAACAGGUGCCAUGACGGACGGGCUGAUAGUUCGACCCGGUUAUUUUUAUAAGUUUAGUUAUCUUUAUAUUUGUAAUUUAUAUUAGUUCUAUAUAGAUUAAUUAGCAAAAGAGGUGAAAUAGAAGGGACAUAAAUAUCUAUAGACUCUAUUGAUAUAAUUAAGCAAUGAAUUAUGAAGAAACAAUUCUAGCCUCCUUCAAUCUCUCAAGCUCUUGGCAAAGCAUAAGGCCCAGCUAUCCCAAAAUACCCAUCCCCAUUAUAUCUGGUAUCACGAGUCCGGCGAUCCUUGUUGUUCCGCUCCACCUUCCCAAGUCCGAUGAUCCUCGUCGUUCCGCUCCACCUUCCCAACCGCCACGCCAUCUCCUCCACCACCAGCAGUCGCCGGCACCCUACCACCACCACAUCCUAUGCCAUAAUUCCAGAUGGAUUUUUCUUAAUUUGAUGGAAAAUCUGAUCCUCCCGUCUUCAUCAACCAAUGCGAGACAUACUUCAACCGAGAGCGCAUAAUUUGGCGGAUGAUGCCUGGCUGUGGUUCCUCCAAGUCCAACAGGAUGAGGGCACACCGACGUGGCACCACUUUACUAAGCUGCUACACCUGCGUUUCGGAUCGCUCCCUGUUGUGACCAUUGUCCUUGCUAAUAUGAUGCGCCGGCUCCAAGAGGACAUGGAUCGCGUCACUAUGAUGAUCAACCGCGUUUGUGCUCAACUGGAGAAGUCCAGGCAUGAACGCCUUGUUGCGGUGCGGUUACAGGCGGUAGCGCGAGGAUUCCUAGUGCGGCACGCCACAAGGAAGCUGCGUGUAGCAAUCCAACCUGCCCUACUCACUCCCGAUCAUCAUCUCCAAUCCCUGUUGCCGCCGUCCACCCUCGUCGUCGUGCCGACCACUCCAACAAGGGGCUCAGGCAAGAGCUUCUAGCCGCAAGAGCUUCCGGUGGUGGCAGCCUUCUCUGGUUCAAGGGGCUCUGGCCACAACGACCACCAGGGCGACCAACUGGCUGCUCGUCUCUUCCCAUGGGAUCCAGGACACUCUCAACUCCUUCCUCGACCACUAUCACUGCAGCUCGAGGAUGAGCUGGUCCUCAAGGGAGGGGGAGAUGUCAUAUAUGGCCGGCCAACAGGCUGCCAGGACCGAUGGGCUGAUAGUUCGGCCCGAUUAUCUUUAUAAGUUUAGUUAUCUUUGUAUUUGCAAUUUAUAUUAGUCCCAGAUAGAUUAAUUAGCAAAAGAGGUGAAGUAGAAGGGACAUAAAUAUCUGUAGACUCUAUAUUGAUAUAAUUAAGCAAUGAAUUAUGAAGAAAUAAUUCUAGUCUUCCUCAAUCUCUCAAGCUCUUGGCAAAGCAUAAGGCCUACUUAUUCCAAAAUACCGAUCCCCAUUACAAUUUCAGUCACAUUUAGGCACACUUAUUUUUUUUAUCUAUCAUCAUUGAGUAAUUUCUAUGGAAGAGUUGAUGGUCUUAGAGGUGGCUUGAUGGACUUUGAGACCAUUUACAAACCACUCAAAAAGUUAUAAAAAAGGAAGUCACCCACAUCAAGUUAUAUAUUUAUGCAUCCAUUUAUAUUGGGCCGAAUAUGUGAACCAAAAAAUAAUAUGAAUUUUACAAAAGAUUCAGAAUGCAUACCAAGAGUUUGCCAAAUGACAUUGCUAUCCUUGGAAAUUUGGCAAAACAAGAAAUUUUACUCUCCAACAGAUUGGCAAAUCAAGUUGGAAAACUUCUUCUCCGCACGCGCAUAUUUCCACGUGCGUAUCCAGUGCCCAUCGCGGACUGCCGCGCCGCAGUCAGUCAUUCCCGCACGCAAGAGGAAAGCCAUCCAGUCAUCUCCUUCGUGUGCGCAAGGCAAUCGGCUCGAUUGUCUCCGUCAUGCGUACGCAAGGCGAUCAGGCUCGUCUCCUUCAUGGGUGCAAGGCAAUUCGCUCGUCUCCCUCAACCGCACAAGGCCACCUGCGUGUCUCUGAUCCUUCAAGCGCGCAUGGCCGGGCUUGGCCCCGAUGGCUGCUGAUCAGGUUUUUCCAUAUGUUGGCUUUGAUGAUUGGUUCAUAGUCGUUGGUAGUGGAUCUCCUUGUCCGCUAUUGGUAAUCAUAGUGCUGCCCUUGAUCUGGUUGUGAAGAUAGUUUUUUUUCAACAUAAGAUGGCCAGCCGUAGUAGUUGAUGCCCCCUGCGAUGAAGACAGGGUCCGCGCCGGCGUUGCCCUUCUCCACGCGAGGUGUCUCGCGGCGUUCAGGAAGAUCGCGGUGGCCAGGUUACGAGUCAUGGUGAAAACAGUUGAUAGGAUUGGAUGUGGGCCUUUUAUUCUAUUUUUAUCAAGUCAAAAUGGCAAACUAUUGGAAGAGACUACCUUUUCACUUGACAUAUAUUUUAGAGAGUUGUCAAAACAAAAGAUUUGCCAAGUGAAUUUUGGCAAACUCUUGGAUAUGGGGAUGCCUAAUUGGCUAAAUCACCCGGUUGGAUCAGUUAUGGAAAACAUAUUAUGGUAGAACACCUUUUUAUUGCCCAUACAACUUGGCUGCUAUUUUGGGGAUUAAUCACAUCAAAUAAUCCUGAAAGUUCUAAAUUAGACUUGGAAACGUUUUAUUGUGAUAUAGUUACUUUAUUUGUAUUUAUUAUUUAAUACUGACCACACGGUUUUUAAUGUAGAUGUUGGUCCGGGAGAAAAAAGCAGUUCCAGUUUAUGUGGUUAAGAGACCAGUUCUUCCUUGAGCUGCAAUAAUAAGAAGCAAGUGAAUAUGUAAUUAUUUGUUGAAGCAAUGCAUAGAAGUUCGAAAAUAGAAAAUUGGGAAGGAAUCAUAAUGCUUCAUAUGUCCAAAGUUCAGCUGCAACCAUUUGUCACUCUCAUCUGACCUACUCUGUCAUCAUUUGCAACAACACUCCCCUUUCUCUAUUAGCCACUACAUGAAUAACAUUGUCAUAAUCCUAAACAAUGAAUAAAUGAUUCUAGAAAAACAAAAGGUUCACUAAGUGUUCACUUUGACUACAAAAUAAAAUUGAGUGUUUCGCAUGCCCAUGGUACAGCAACACCUUUUUCUUAUUCUAGCAAAUUAUUCCAAAUCAUAAACCUACAGAUACGAUCGUAGGUUAUGUUAUACAAAAAUGAUUCCAAAAACAUACUUAUUACGGUGACGUAUGCAGAUUUAAAAUAUUAUCUGGUACUCAUGGAUAAGAAAAAUGCUAUAUGCGUUUAAUGAAGACUGUCAAUAACUAAUUUAGGUGAAUUGAGCUAUCAGCGAUAGUGCGCUAGAUAAAAAAAACAAUUCUUUCAAUUAACAAAUCAUGAGAUGUAAAUAAUCUGGAUGAUAUUUGAUAACAGUAGUAAUUUUAGUUAAUUAGAUUAGAGUAUGAGGUAUGCAUGCUUUGACCUUUAACUGAGCUUCCUAACAAAUAUUGAUCUUGCAUAUUUUUCUUUCCAUCUGAUGAUCGAUGUCCAUGGCCAGUAUUCUGAUCUCCUGAGCCAUUUUGAUCAUGGUGGCUAUCAACCUCUAUCCGACCACCUUUCGCUUGGAUGAUUAUGUGGAUUUUAUUUAGAAAGCAAAGCAUGGAAAUCAAAUUGGUCUGGACUAAGGAUUUUUUCUAUUGAUUUAUAUUCCUCUUGAAUGAAUUGAAAUUCAAGAGACACCAAAUUGAUUAUGAUUAAAUAAAUUGCCCAUGUAUAUUGAGUGUUAAAAUUCAUAAAAAUCUAUAAGGUCUCUGAAUAGGCCCACGAACUCAAACUGAAUGUACCUCUGCGACAGAGUAGACGGCACAACACAUGAUAUACUAGGCUCAAAAAACUGAAAAAAAAAAUCGCAGAAACUGGAUCUCAACUCUCAACAUUAUAGCUUCUCAGUUCACAAUUUUUGCAUGUAAAGCAAAAAUAUUGAACCUUCCUAGGAUAAUUCUCUUUCAUGUAGAUCUGCCAGAGCGAGAGAGGGAAGGUGGAGGUCGUGGGCUCGUGGCUGGUGGGGAACUGGGGAUCUUCGCAAUGGUGCCAAAGCUUCAGCGUUCACCUCGCGUCGCACCAUAGUUGCUCGACUUCAUGCUGCUGCUGCCGAGGAAAGGAAGAGGACGGGAGUGCACUGACAUUUAGCAGUUGUCUUCCUGUUUUUUCUUGCUAGUAAGUUGAGAGAAAAUGUUUGGACAAGUAUUCCCAGCCCUAGUAUUUACAACUUUACAAUCUUUUGCUUCACAUCGUCUGGUCUUAUCAAGAACAAAAAUCAAUGAUUAUUUGAUAGCAUCGGUUGAGUACUCACAAUGAGAUCAACUUGAAGAUCACCUUAGAUAGCUUGAAUUUAUCCAAUGCACGGAGGCAAUUUUGCACAAAGUGGUAAAAAUCAAUGCAAUAAGUGUCAUCAAGUGAUUUUCUUGAAAUUUUUUCGAUGUCAGCUUCUGGCUUACAAUGCAGUCAAGACGAUGUAGUGAUCCAAUCCUCAGGGAUUAAUAUUUUCUAAUGCAAGCUAAUAAGUUGCUAACUGAUGUAAGCUAAUAAAGAAAAACAUUUGAACAAAUAAGCAAGCUAGCCUUGGCAGCUGGAGUAGGUCCAAUGUGGUUACCAUAGAGAGACAGUUAUACUAGAACUGGGACUAGAUGAUUUACUCAUGGAAUCAUGGAUUUGCCAAGCUUGUGAUCUAAAAACCGUGAGAUGUAUUAUCAAGGGUUAAUAUUUUAUCUCGUGUUCCAAUCAUGCAGCAUCAAUGGCCAAUGUGCCAUCAUCAUGUUCGAUGUCACCUCAAGGAUCACCUACAAGAAUGUUCCCACCUGGCACAGGGAUAUCAGCAGGUAAAAUUUUAGCCUAUUGCACAUGCCCCUUGUUUCAGUAUCCUGGAGUAGUAUAAUAGCCAUUUUCUCGAAUUGAUCUGGUACAUCUAUUAUUGUGCAUAUUAGGGUGUGUGAGAACAUCCCGGUUGUCCUGUGCGGCAACAAGGUGGAUGUGAAGAACCGGCAGGUGAAGGCCAAGGCAGUGACUUGCCACAGGAAGAAGAACCUCCAGUACUACGAGAUCUCUGCCAAGAGCAACUAUAACUUCGAGAAGCCUUUUCUGUACCUUGCAAGGAAGCUCGCAGAGUGGGUAUUGUCGUUAUUCUGUAGCAACUAGCAAAUCUACAUUGUACCACACCUAUACAUCUGCCCAAUUUUCUCUUGAUUGCAAUGCUAUGGUAUAGCAACACCAAACGAUUGGUGAUCUGAUACAUGACUGUAAAUGCAGGAACAUGGACGUCAAGUUCGUCGAAGAGUUAGCCCUCGUCCCUGUCGACGUGACCAUGGACGUUGCAGCGCAGCAACAGUAAGUCAUUAUUCAAGCAAACAUGUACCUGAUGACGACACUAAUUUACCCUGCUGCAUAUACAUUGUUUAUAUUAUAAUAGUAAUAAUGCUGAGUGCUUCUCAGAUCAUGGAAUGUUUUUUAUGGCAUGCAGGAUUGACAAAGAGAUCGAACUUGCUGUAGCGAUUCCCCCUGUCGGAUGAGGACGAUGAUAACAUGGAUUGAGCUCAGCCAGAUGCUGUGUCAGGCGGUCAGGCCGUCGGCAGUAGGUUAGUAGCUAUCGGCUGCUUUAGUGGUUACAGAUGUGUGUCCGUCUCAACUCUCAAGCAGGGUGAAGCUGUAGUGUAUCUAGGGGGUGCAGAUGCACCUCCCAAAAUUUCGAAAAUCAAUUAUAAUCACUAAAUUUUCAUCAUAUAUACAACCUCCAUGGCAAAAAUAUAUAUACCCACAAGGCAUGUGUACCUCUUCAAUUUUCUCUAGCUUCGCUACUGCUCUUAAGGAGACGUCUUGGACUUGGUUGAGUUGUUUGGCUUGCUGCUUGAGGAAUCUGAUGGUAUUCAAAUAGGAAUGAUAAGUUCGUUUAUGCUUCAUGCUAAAAAAAUCAUUUAUACUUUAUUAAUAGGCAAUAUCCCUUCUCUCUCUAUCUUCUAUUAUUAUCUUUUUCGUGGUGCGGACAACAUGGGAGAAUUUGACUGGGUACUAGCCUUCUUGCUCAACAGCAUAUCAUACAAGCUAUUCACAGUAGUGGAGUUGGGGAUCACUCGGGAUUUUUACCAACAUAUCACCGAAUCAAACACCUGUUCAUUUGGCCUAAGAUGCAAGAGGAUAUACAGAGCUAUAUUAAAGGAUGUUUAGUUUGUUAGCAAGCUAAGGUUGAGCACACCAAGGCUCCUAGGCUGCUUCAGCCCCCAUUCCAGACCAAGCUUGGAAAGUCAUUUGUAUGGAUUUCAUGGAAGGCUUGCCAAAGUCUCAAAGAUUUGACACCAUUUUGGUUUGGAUAACUGAUGAAACCCAAAGUACUAACCUCUAUGUUAAUGUGUGUAGAUUAGAUAAGGUUAGUACAUAUCAAGUGAUAGAGCAAGAGAUGAUCAUGGUGAUGAUAGUGAUGACCACAAGAUGAUCAAGUGCUCAACUUAAAAAAGAAGAAAGAGAGAAAAACAAAAGAUCAAGGCAAAGGUAUUGCUUAGGGUUUGGUUUUGGUGAUCAAGACACUAUAGAUAGCGUGAUUAUGUUUAGGAUACAUAGUCAUACUAUAAAGAAGGGAAUUCUUUGGCUAAGCAGUCUAUCGAGUGUCGCUAGGUGACUUUGUUCAUGUGCAUGCAUUUAGAAUCUAGUGUGCUAACUUAACCCUUGAAAAUAUUUGUGAAAAUAUGCUAACACAUGUGCACGAGGUGACACACUUGGUGGUUAGCACUUUUGUGCAAGGGUUGAAGAGGUGGAGAGGAGUUGGGUCUCUCUCUCUCCACCGAGCUUGCGAGGUAGGAUUCGAUACUUUUGAGAAAAUAAAAUAUAUAUUUUCUAUUGCACCAGUGGAAAGUUUGGAGAAGUCAUGAGAGUGUUUUUUACUAGAAAAAUACUCACCGGACGCUGGCUCCGGGAGCGUCGGACCCUGGGCCAGCGUCCGACGUGUGCUGGCUAUGUGGCGCAGAUCUAUAGAGUGCAUCGACACGUUCGACGUGUUCACGUCAGACGCUGGCCAAGCACUAUUGAGCGUCUGGUGCGUGCGGUGACAUCAGUAGAUCUGUGAGCGGGGUUUUCCAGUGUUGUGCACAUCAAACGUUGGCUGCAUCCGAUGCCCUACCGUCUAACAUGUCUGAUGCCUCCUCGAGCUAUUUCUAAACUCUCUGUGUAGCGUCCACUAUGAGGUCCGUGCAUCCGGAGUGUAGCACCUGAUGCGUCCGACGCCUCUUAAUUCAUCGCUUUAAUGUUUAAGUGACCAUUGGAGAUCAACGGUUCACAUUUGACUAAGGACACGUGGUAGCGAUCCAGCGGUGUUGUUAGAGGUUAGGGCGGCGUUGGACGCUGGGUAGCAUCGGACACCUAAGCGUUGGUGCGUCCUACGCCUCUGAUAGAGCACUUCCCUAGGGGUAACAACUUUAUUCUUUUAAAUACAUGUUGGUUGGCUUGGGCUCACUUUCUUGGCAUUUUGAUAUACUUGACAUCCUUGUGAGCCUAAGCAAACACCUUCCACUCAUCUCUAUCAUUGAUUCAUCAUCAUAGUGAGAUUGGGAGUGAUUUCAAGUGCAUUUGCUUGAGUGAUUGCAUUUAGUGGCACUUGAGGAUUGUUGUGGUUGCGACUUUCUUGUUACUCUUGGUAGUUACCGCCACCUAGAUGGCUUGGAGCAGUGGAGGAGCAUUGUCAUGAAUUGGUGAUUGUUCUUGGCCAUCUCCUAGUGAGUGUGAGGGGUUCUUGUGCCUUUCUUGGUGGAGCACCAAAGGUAACUCUAGUAGAUUACGCGUGUCAUUGAGCUACCUCAACUGUAGGUAGGUUCUUGAGGUGUCCUAGUGAGGACGAGGUUCGUGUAACACCUUUUAGCCACCAAACCACCAAGUGUUGGUUGACACAACGAGGACUAGUGUGCCGGUAAGCACGUGAACCUCGGGAGAAAAAAUAGUGUCGCAGCUGUGAUUGUUUGAUAUUCUCCCAGUGAUUAAUUGUUCACAUUUUGGUGAUUGGUUCAUCCCCUACACGAUGGUAUAAAGAUCACAUCCUAUCCUUUUACAUUCUCGUAAAGUAGUGUAACUAGUUUUAGUUGCUACCUUUGUCUUGUAUAGCUUAGUUCACUAGUGUAGCUUGUAGUGACAUAACUCUUAUGUGCCUAGUGAUCUUAGUAACUAGAAUUGCUGGGAUAGGUGGCUUGCAAACCCUCUAUUAGAGCUAGAGCAAAAAAUUUCGCUUUGUUAUUUACUAACUCCUUACUCUAGAGUUUGUAGAUUUUUAAAUAGGCUAUUCACCCCCCUCUAGCCAUAUCAGGACCUUUCACUCUUGUGGUCAGUUCUAAUGAUUAACUCUUGAUGUCGCAAAUAAGCCCUCCAUUUCUCCACAACCAUAAUUAUUGCUAAACAUUUUUUUCAUAAGUUGACAUGGACUGAUUCUUAGAGCAUACAACCUUGCUCAAUUAGGCUAUAGGAUGAUUAUUCUACAUCAACAUAGCCCCAAAGCCAAUGUCACUAGCAUCAGUGUCAAGGAUAAAUUACUUUUGUAAAUCAGGUAGUGCUAAAACUGGUGCUUGCACUAAAGCCUGUUUCAACUGUUGGAAAGCUGUAUAGUAACUAUGUCCAAACAUAAGGAGCUCCUUUCUUCAAUAAAUCAACAAGUGGUCUACUGAUAAGCCCAUAAUGUUUUAUGAAACUCCUAUAGUGUCCUGUCAGGCCUAGAAAACCACUGAGCUCUUUCAAGUUUUUGAGAGUUGGCCAUUGCUGAACUGCCUGAACUUUAGCUAGCUUAGUUGAGACACCUUGAGCAUACAUGUAUGACCCAAGUGCUCCACUACUGACUGAGCAAAUGUGCACUUAGACAUUUUUCCCAUAGAAUUUGUGCUUCCUCAAGAUAUCAAACACCUGCUACAGAAGAUGAAUGUGCUUUGAUAGAGUUGAUGAACAAAUCAAUAUAUCAUUCAAGAAAACUAAUACAACCUUUCUCAAUAUGGCAGCAAAAAUGAAGUUCAUCACACUCUGAAAUGUGGCUGGUGCAUUAGUUAGGCCAAAUGGCAUCACUAAGAACUCAUACAAUGCAUUAUGAGUCUUGAAAGUUGUUUUGUGUGUGUGAGCCGCUUCCACAAAUUGAAAGGUCCAAAUGGCUAGAGGGGGGUGAAUAGCCUAUUUGAAUUUUCUACAAACUUCAACUAGACAAGUUGAUUAGUAAAACAAAAGGCGAAGCUAUUCUAGCACUGGCACAACUAAGCUAUGCAAGCCACCUACACAAGUCUAGCAAGAAAGCUAAACACUAGUUACAACAAGAAAGCACAACUAGAAGCUUGCUACACUCCUAAACAAGAUAGCUAAGCUAAACAAGCUACACAACUAGCAAGGUAUGCUCAUAAGUAAAGGAGAGGGAAGUGAUUGUUAUACCAACGUUGUAGAGUAGAAAUAUAGCCAAUCAAUCAAUCAAUCACAAUUACAAGAGAAUCCUCGGCAAGAGAUGACAUAAGAUUUUUUACCGAGGUUCACUUGCUUCCCGGCAAGCUAGUCCUCAUUGUGGCGAUACACCCACUUGAUGGAUCACGAGCUAAUUGGCAAUCCAAAGCUAAACCCUUAGCGGGUGCCGCACAUCCACUCAUAAGAUGGGGAUCCUCCAAGCCACGAGCAAUCCACUAGAGUAGCCAAUUGCGAUCUCCCGCGGGGAAGGCUCAAGAACCCCUCACAAAUCACUUGGUGAGGCUCGAAACAAACUCCAAUCACGAGCUCAACACCACCGCUGCUCCAAGCCGUCUAGGGUAUCGGGAAACAUCCAAGAGUAAUAAGAAAUCCGCAGCAAACUCAAGAAUCAAAUGCCACUAGAUGCAACUCUCAAAGCAAUGCACUUGAAUCUCACUCAAUCUCACUAAGAUUAGCAAUCAAGCAAGAAGAUGAGUGGAAGGAGUGUUCUCUAGCUCAAUGUAUGCCUCAAGUAUUCAAAUGUGCAAGAGUUAACCUCCCAAAGCCGGUCACCCUCUAUUUAUAAGCCCCCUCAAAGAAACUAGCCGUUGGCUGUUUUCACUGGGCUGAAAUCGGGGGCACCGGACGCUACCAAGUGGGCACCGGACGCUUGACCCCUUGCGUCCGGUGCUCUGGAGUUAGCCACGUGUCAUUCUUGAAUCACGCGCGUCAGUCUCUAACGGCUACCUGCAAAACACCGGACGCUCUGUAGGUCCACACCGGACGCGUCCGGUGCACACCAGACUAAAACUCACGGAGGUAUGCAAAUACUCGGGGUCACCGGACGCUGAGCACCAGACCGUCCGGUGCUCACCGGACUCAUACCCAGAGAGGUUUGCAAAACCACGCGGACACCGGACUCAGAACACCGGACGCUCUAACCUGCGUCCGGUGCCUGGCGUCCGGUGCCUAACCCUAGCUGAGCCAGGCAGCCUGUACACCAGACGCACAGGUGCAGCGUCCGGUGAGUGAUUCUCAGUGAGAAAUACUCCCGCGACUUCUCCAAAUUUCCCACCGACGCAAUAGAAAAUAUACACUUAAUUUUCUCAAAAGCGCUGAAAAAUCCUAGGAACCCACACCCCUCUCAACCCUAGGAACUCCACCUCCUUUGCAAAAGUGCUAACACCAACAAGUGUCCACCACCAAAGUGCAUGUGUGUUAGCUUUUCACAAAUAUUUUCAUCAAAGGAGUUAAGUUAGCACUUUACUAGAUCCUAAUGCAUAUGCUCAAGAUAUGGACCUAGUAGCACUUGAUUCGAGAGAUAACCGUUGUUGACGGUCCUUAAGUACUAAAAUUAACCAUCAACUAAACAUGGAAAAGGAUCAAUAUGCACCAAACAUCUAGAAUUAGGGUUUUAUCUGACAGAAUUCCACGAGCUUUGGUGUUUAUCUAUUUCUGCAGGGGGUUAUCAGAAAAUAGGGAGAGAAGGCCCACAUGUCAUGUUUACAACGAGAUAAUUACGUGUCGCACAAUUUUCCUUAAUCUAGAAGAGUCCAGAAGCCACGGAAACGAACGGGAGACCAGACGGGCUCAGGGGCAGAGCGCUCGCCCUCCCCCCUUGGGCGCCCGCCCUGGCCUCGGGCCAAUCACAAUCAACUUCGCAGAUUAUGCUCCACCGACCUAAAGGAUCAAGGAAAACCGUGCGAUCAAUGUCAGUUUGAUCCGACGGCCCAAAUUCACUUGAAAGGACUAUAUAAUCAAGGCCUCUCCACCCCUGGGGGAGAGAGGAGAAAUCAUUAUCAGAGGUAGCCAUCAAAGUUAGGGUUUAGAACUUCUCUCCCACAGAGAAUUAGAAUUAGCUACUCCCUAAUCCUUCAAGUUUAGAGGAUUGAUUAGAUAGAAUUAGAGAAGUAGAGCACUACGCUCUAGAUUCGGAUCUUCGUUAAUAAAGAUUGGUAUUAUUUCAUAUCUUUCUCUAAUACUUUGUUCUAAUUACAUUAUGUCUCUAUUUAUUAUGCUCUUAGUUUGUUCUAGUUCUAUAUUUGAUAUAGUUAUGAUUGAUAAUGAGUUUAUGUAUAAGUUUGCAAAGCGCUUAGCUCUUGACUCGAGGGAGUUAAGUGGUAGAUCACAUGUGGGCGUGGUGCUUAGAUGUUAUUUACCUGCAAAUGUAUCCUAUUGGCCGGGUCGUGUGGUAGUUCGCGAUAAUGACAGCUUCGUUGAUUCUUAUAUAGUCCACCCUCCGUUGAUAGGACAGGCAGAAUUUGUAUUGCGGAGUAAGUCUUGCGAUGCUCUGGUUUACUUUAGCAAUGUUCCUUAUACAUGAAUAAAGAGUCUUUUAUGCUAUAUAUGAUCUUGUAGAUAACUAGAGUAGGUUGUGACUUAGUAGAUAGUAGAUAAUUUAGAAUCCCUUCUCUAGCUAAUCCGACGUCACCUUACAUAUAUGAGGAGUAGUCUAUUUUCUAAUCGCUGUGUUAUUUACCCAUGAACUUAUAUUUCAUUAUCAUUAUCUUUAUGGUUUACCCCCUGCCAAAGUAAGUGACUGUGUGACGAGUUCUUCAUUAGUAAUCAUGUUCUUGCAAGUUUAUCUCUAGUCUAUGCCUUGAUAGAUUUAAUCCUUAUCUUAAUUUCACCCCUGUUCUCUUGAGCAAAAUUAUAAAUAACGAUACCUGGAAUACUUUUCUGGUGAAAUGCUACAAUGAGGUGUUUUAUCUCUGCGCUUGCGGAUAGAAUAGAUUAUUUUCUAGGGAGCCUUUACAUUCAUAAAUACCUUUGUACACUCUGGCACCAUGCUAGGGAUGACAACCUAGUAUCCAAGUGGUGUUAGCUAGUGUCAACAACCGUGAUUUCCCCUCUUGAUAGUCGGCUAUCUAUCCUUAACCCGGUCAAUCACUUCUCUACUCAUCUUAGACCGGCAAAAGUAAAACCCUAUGUUUAUACCUUUGCCUUGAUAACUUUGCUCCUCAUCUAUCACCAUGAUCUCCACAUCAUGCUUCAUCUCUUUGUAAUCAUGUGGCCACCUUUCCAUGCCAUCAUACACCUUCAUCACAUGUGUUGCUAUGCCUAACUCAAAUCACUUAAACACAAGGCAUUAGCAACUUGGUGUCAUUAAUUACCAAAACCAAACUUGGGCUUUCAAUAUUUGAUGAUAACCAGCCCUAAAAUCAAGCUUGGUAAACCAUUUAGAUCCAUGUAGUUCUUCUAUCAGCUUCUCCACUACUGGCAUAGGAUGUUUGUUCUUCACUAUCCAUGCAUUCAGACUUCUAUGGUCUACACAAAACCUCCAAGAGCCAUCCUCCUUCCUUACUAACAAGACUGAAGAAGCAAAGGCACUAGUGCUAGGUUUGAUGAACCCAUUCUUUAGCAUUUUAGCAAGUUUCUUUUCAAUCUCAGUUUUCUAUAUAGGAGAAUACCUAUAAGGUUGAGUGUUCACUGGUUGGGCUCUAGACAGUAAUGGGAUUUGAUGAUCAAACUGUCUUGCUAGUGGCAAUGAGUUUGGGGUUUGGAAGAUAUCCUCAUACAAAGAAAUAAACUGCUUAAUAUCCUAGGACAUUGUCUCAUCUUGAACAACAAGGAUACCUUCAACAACACUAUGCUCAACAAUUUGCUUAAAUUGGAACCAUAGACAGUGAGUGAUUGCCUGCCUCUUGAGCAAACCUCUUAUCUUCAGCUCAUUAGUAGGUGGACAGUGAGACACCUCUUGAGUCAAACCCUUCAGCAAGAUUCUAUGCCCAUUAUAAGUGAAUUUUCAUGUGCUCUUUGGACUAAUGUAUCCACAUAGGGCUACAAGCUUCCAACCAAUCCUCUCCUAGUAUCAUAUCAAAGCAUUUCACAUUGAAUUUAAAUGUAUGGCCUUGACAACUCCGCCUCAGGUUUGGUUACCUCUUGCAUAACAUUGGAGUUCCAUCGGGUGCCAUAUACUGAGUUGGUUCACACGUGGAUGAAGGAAUUGACAACUUCUAGGAUAACUGAUCACUGAUGAAUGUGCCAAAACUUCCAGAAUCAAUAAGGAUCAGUACUUGCAGGUUCCCAAUUUGUCCACACAACCUCAUUGUCUUUCUUUUCACCCCACUGCUAGUGAUAGUAUUCUCCACAACCAAUACUGUCUCCUUAGAUUAAGUAAGAUCUAGAGCAUCUAAGCAUCAAAAUCCUCGAAAGCCAGAGAAAAUUUUACACCCAGGGUGGAAAAUGAUAUUUCCAAACAGUGUGUAAAAAGUCAGUCGUAUGAUGCGUGAAGGGAUUGCACCGAAUAAGUUUCGAACUCAUACCACAGAUUCCUUGCUGGUUAUCGAUUACAUAUAAAUGCUAAAAUUAAAUAGCCAAACUUGAAUUCCCAACAAACUAUCUUUACUGAAUCUAUCUUUUUUUUCAUUUCCAAGAAAAUUACCUUUUUGGGUUGCUUGAACGGACCAAAAGAAUAAAGGACCCCUUUUCAAAAGGGAGACGAGCCCUCAUUAUUAGAACAAAAAAAUGGUUGGUCUAUUAGAUUUAUAUUUGAUGUCUUCAGUUAUAGUUUAUAAGACAUUGGAGUGUAAUUGGCAUCUAAAUGUCUAUACGAGCAUAAUCAUUUCAUGUAAAUUAAACUAGUUCGUAAGUACAGACCUUUGUCAAGGGUUCCCUUUUUUAAGUCACGAACACUAUAACUAAAUGAAACACGUAUUGCAAUGAUACGCUCGUGAAAAAAAUAAUAUAAGCAUAAAUUUAAACUUCGUAAAUCUAGUAUCCCCAUAUCUCUCAACUCUUAUUGCAAUUUAAUUUGCUCACGACGCCUCCUCUCUCGACCUUUUCUUUUUUCCAUCGUCCACUCACCCGUUCUACCCACGCUAGUAUACCGAAAGUUAUAUUUUUUGAGCGACCAAUAUACGUACUUUCUUGAAUUUAAUUUUCAUGUUUUGUUUUAGUUGGCCACGAGGCAGGUGUCGGGUCUUAGGGUGUUGACGUGUAGCAUAUGGAGUUGUUUUUUUGAAGGAAGAAGUCCAUUUUAGGUCCCUCAACUUUCAUGAAAGUCUGUUUUUCAUCCUUGAACUUCAAAACCGGGUAAAAUACAUCCCUCAACUUUCGAAACCGUGCAUAUUACGUCCCUGACAUGGUUAUGAGCGGUUUUGAAGGCUGUUUUGUCUUUUUCAUUUUUAUUUAUUUUGGAUAAAUAUUUGUAAAAUUAUAGUAAAUCACAUAAAAUUCAUAAAAUAGUAAAUCUGAUUUUGUUAGACUCCAGAUAAGUACAUCUACACAAUGAACAUAUAAUAUGGUAUGCUUUAAUAGAAAAUUUUUGUUGUAUCUUUAGAUCUGUGUUUUUCUAUAAUUAAUUAGAAUAGUUCAUAGCUAUAGUUUAUAUGGUCCAACUAUGAUUAUUUUUUUAUGUUGGGAUAAUUAUUAUAUGUUUAAAUUGUGGUAAAAAUCUAAUACUCAUUAGAUCUGUAUAACUUAGUUAUAGAUUUAUUAAGAUUUAACAAGCAUAAACCUAAAUAAAUCUAUAACUAAGUAAUACAUGAUUCAAUGAGUAUGAAAUUUUUACUACAACUCAAUCAUAGAAUAAUUAGCCCACCAUAUAAAUUUCAUCACAAUUGGACCAUAGAAACUAUAGCUAUAAUUAGUCUAAUUAAUUAUAGAAAAGCAUAUAUCUAAAGAUGCAUCAAAAAAAUUUAUAUUAAAAUAUACUAUAUUAUAUAUUUAAUAUGUAGAUCUACUCAUCUGAAGUUCAACAAAAUUGAGUUUUCUAUUUUAUGAUUUUUAUGUGAUUUACUGCGAUUUUUAAAAAAAUCAGCCAAAAUAAAUAAAAAGAAAAAGACAAAACCGCUUUCAAAACCAGGUCAAGGAUGUAAUGUGCACGGUUUUAAAAGUUGAGGGAUGUAUUUUGUCUGGUUUUAGAGUUCAGGGAUGAAAAUUAGACUUUCGUGAAAGUUAAGGGACCUAAAGUGGACUUUUUCCUUUUUUGAAAACGUGUAGCACACGGAGUAGUACGUAUAUGUAGGUCGUACGCUUUUUUUUUCAUUUGUGGCCCAUGAAGUGAUUUUUAGGCCCAAUAGCCCAUUCAUCCAUGUCCUAACCCUAGGGCGCCUUCCUUAUAAAAACCUAGCUCCAUCGUGUUCUCAAACCCUCAGACGCAGUCGGCCGCCACAGACCGGGAGAAGCCGACGCGCCGCCACCGAAUCCUCAGAUCAGCGGCGAGCCGUAACCGCGCCACUCUGCUGCCGCCCGACGAGGUAUUCUGCCGGACGCGCUCGCGCGCGUGCUUCUCUUCCUUCAAUUUUCGCUGCGCUUUGAGCUUGUUCGUUUGAUGCGCUUUGAGCUUGUUCGUUUGAUGCCCAGAUCUACUGGGUUUGUCGUCUAUGUGUGAUGCGCUGAGCCGAUUCAAGCACUGGAUUUCAAAUCAAGUGUUGUUUUCCGCCUCCGCUACCUUUAUUUAGUGUCUAUGUAUGAACAUGGCUGCAGUUUGCAACUGAUUUGUCGAGCCAUAAAUUAUAUAACCGUUACGUUGUUCUAGACUAGAUCCAGUUUCCGAUCUAUGAUAUUACGUGGUUGAGGCACUUCAAUUCUGUUUUGUGUGUAUGAACUGAGCUGAUUCAUGUUCUAAGGUGCUAAUCCAAGUUUUCCUUCCGCCACCUCAUCUACCCGUAGUAUGUACUCCGUAUAUAAACUUGAUUGCAGUUUGCAACUGAUUCUCGUCCAUAGAUUAUUACGUUACGUUGCUAAUUAGAACCAGUUUUCGAUCUCUGAUAUUACGUUGGUAGGGUACAUCCCCUUUGGAUUUUCUGGGGUUUGUCUAAUUACUGGUUUAUUCCCCUAUAUUUAUUUCUAACUGUUUUUAUCUGCUAUUUUUUAUGUAAGCAGCAGCGUAACAGUUUCCUGCAGCCAUGGGUAAGGAGAAGACUCACAUAAACAUUGUGGUCAUUGGCCAUGUCGACUCUGGCAAGUCGACCACCACUGGCCACCUGAUCUACAAGCUUGGUGGUAUUGACAAGCGUGUGAUCGAGAGGUUCGAGAAAGAGGCUGCGGAGAUGAACAAGAGGUCGUUCAAGUAUGCGUGGGUGCUUGACAAGCUCAAGGCUGAGCGUGAGAGAGGUAUCACAAUUGAUAUUGCCCUGUGGAAGUUCGAGACCACCAAGUACUACUGCACUGUCAUUGAUGCUCCUGGACACCGUGACUUCAUCAAGAAUAUGAUCACUGGUACUUCCCAGGCUGACUGUGCUGUUCUUAUCAUUGACUCCACCACUGGUGGUUUUGAGGCUGGUAUCUCCAAGGAUGGCCAGACCCGUGAGCAUGCUCUCCUUGCUUUCACACUUGGAGUGAAGCAGAUGAUUUGCUGCUGCAACAAGGUAUGAUUCUAGGAAUUCCUGUCUAGUCUGGUUCAUGAUCUGAGAUGCCUGUAAAUAUGUGCUUCAAUAGUCUAGGCUGCACUCAAUUACACUUUGAAUACCACAUUUGUGUUCUGAUUCAGUAACUAAUGUUGGUUGUAUUAUAAAUUUGGCAAAAUGAAACACUGUUUACUUACAUUGAAAAAGUCUGCUUCCUACAUGUUUAUUUAUGAUAGCAUUUUUUCUGCAUCACUAUGCAUUCUGCAUUACUUUGCAUAAUCCAGUAUAAAUUUUUCAGGAAUUUUUUCCCAAUAGGCGAUUGAACUUUGUAAUCCACCUUAUUUUUGAAAUUGUCUGAAGUUGUUGGAAUGCUUGCAAUGCAUAUGUAAUUGAAGGAUAUGGGUUUGCUUAAAUGUCUUUAUAUGAUUGCAGUAGUAACUUUGUUUACUGCUUUACCUUGUCAAAUAGUAAUGGGACGCUGAUUGCUUUCAUUGAAUAAGCUAUCUACGUUGUACAUAUGUACGAUAGCAAUUUAUCUGCAUUACUUUGUAUAAUAUAAUAAGAGUUUUCAGGAUAAUUUUUUUUCAAUAGGUGUUGUAAAUUUUUAAUCCCACCUUAUUUUAGAAAUUUUCUUAAGUUGUUGGAAUGUUUAAAAUGCAUAUGCAAUUAAAGGAUAUGGGUUUUGUUUAAAUGUCUUCAUAUGAUUGCAGUAGUAACUUCGUUUACUGCUUUACCUUGUCAAAUAGUAAUGGAACACUGAUUGCUUUCAUUGAAUAAGCCAUAUACAUUAUACAUGUUUAUGUAUGAUAGCAAUUUAUCUGCAUUACUUUGCAUAAUAUAAUAUGAUUUUCCAGGAUAAUUUUCCCAAUAGGUGAUGUAAAUUUUUAAUCCCACCUUAUUUUAGAAAUUUUCUUAAGUUGUUGGAAUGUUUGCAAUGCAUAUGUAAUUAAAGGAUAUGGGUUUUCUUAAAUGUCUUUAUAUGAUUGCAGUAGUUAGUUUACUUUGCUUUAUAUUUUUACGUCCUGCACGAGUUAACAUGAUCAAAUUUGUGAAGUAUGUUUAUCUGCCUGGUGGUUGUUUCUGUUGACCCCCAACAAAUCUCAUUCCAAGUGUAGUUGACCAGUUAGUUUUGAUUGUUAUGUUCUUUGAGUUUUACUGUUUGCUUGCUGUUUAUGUAACUUAUCUCAAUCAACUAAUGAUAUUGUUUUGGUUUUGCUGUGUUACAGAUGGACGCCACCACACCCAAGUACUCGAAGGCCCGUUAUGAUGAGAUUGUGAAGGAAGUCUCUUCUUACCUGAAGAAGGUUGGAUACAACCCAGACAAGAUCCACUUUGUUCCCAUCUCUGGUUUUGAAGGUGACAACAUGAUUGAGAGGUCCACCAACCUUGACUGGUACAAGGGCCCAACCCUGCUUGAGGCUCUGGACUUGAUCAAUGAGCCAAAGAGGCCUUCAGACAAGCCACUGCGUCUCCCCCUUCAGGACGUGUACAAGAUUGGUGGUAUUGGAACUGUUCCUGUCGGGCGUGUUGAGACUGGUAUCAUCAAACCUGGUAUGGUUGUUACCUUUGGUCCUAGUGGCCUUACAACUGAGGUUAAGUCUGUUGAGAUGCACCACGAGGCUCUCCAGGAGGCCCUUCCUGGUGACAAUGUUGGCUUCAAUGUUAAGAAUGUUGCUGUGAAGGAUCUGAAGCGUGGGUAUGUGGCCUCCAACUCCAAGGAUGACCCUGCCAAGGAGGCUGCUAGCUUCACCUCCCAGGUCAUCAUCAUGAACCAUCCUGGGCAGAUCGGCAACGGCUACGCCCCAGUGCUGGACUGCCACACCUCACACAUUGCUGUCAAGUUUGCUGAGCUGGUUACCAAGAUUGAUAGGCGAUCUGGCAAGGAGCUUGAGAAGGAGCCCAAAUUCCUCAAGAACGGUGAUGCUGGUAUGGUGAAGAUGGUUCCCACCAAGCCCAUGGUGGUGGAGACCUUCUCUGAGUAUCCUCCUCUUGGUCGCUUUGCUGUCCGGGACAUGAGGCAAACGGUGGCUGUUGGAGUCAUCAAGAGUGUGGAGAAGAAGGACCCAACUGGAGCCAAGGUGACCAAGGCUGCCGCCAAGAAGAAAUGAUGCGCCUCUGUUUGCUCGUGGGAUACCUAGUUGAAACUUCAAAAAUAUAUCGUCAUUGCUGUUGCUGUUAUCGCUUGAGCAACUAAACUGUGCUGGCAAUGUUUGUCUGGUCCAUCUAGUACUGUUAUUUUUGCUAAAACCAGGGUGCUGUUGAGACUCAAUUCUGUUAUUUUUGUAUCGAACAACGGGUGUUAGCCAUAUAUGGUUGAGUUUUUGUUACUACCGGUGUUGCAGUGUUUUUCUGAACUUAUUUUGCUGUUUCUAAAUAGCUGAUGAUUCGCUCGUCGAUACCUGUCUGCUGCGUUCAAAUUUCUUUUUUCGAUCCUUUUGAAGAUGCGGUUUGGGAAAUACUUGAUAUUGCGAUCUGGGGAAUAUAAAAAGUAUUUCUCAAACCGCAUAUCAAGUAUUUUGCAAUACUGUUUUGAAAAAAGUAUUUUGGAAUAUUCUACCGAAAAUAUUAUAAAUUAUAAUGUAGUCCUGAAACUCCCGUGGCAUCAAAACCUGUACUUACCAGGAACACUGGCGCGCUGAUUUAUAUUAGAAGUUGCAGACUGAAGUCUUAUUAAUUCCAUCGUAACAUAGGAGAUUUAAUUCAUUCAAAGCUAGAUAGAAUUAUUUUUUUAGAAGUUGCAGACUAAACUCCUAUUAAAGCAUUGCUAAAGGAGCAUAUACGCUCAAGUUCGUAUCUAUCACAAACCAAAUAAUCUGGAUCUUUUCAAAAAAAAAAACACCAAAUAAUCUGGAUAGUUGUAGUACUUUGGCAUACAAGAUAGAAUCUUAGCAUGUGGUUUAUCUUGCAAAUUUUGUAAAUGGAAAUUUGCAACCGUUUACUUCUAACUUUUGAGUAUGGCCUUGUUUAGUUCACCCCGAAAACCAAAAAGUUUUCAAGAUUCUCCGUCACAUUGAAUCUUGCGGCACAUAUAUGAAGAAUUAAAUAUAGACAAAAAUAAAAACUAAUUAUAUAGUUUACAUGUAAAUCACAAGACGAAUCUUUUGAUCCUAGUUAAUUUAUGAUUGGACAAUAUUUACCACAAACAAACGAAAGUGCUACAGUAGCGAAAUCCAAAAAACAUUUACAUCUAAACAAGGCCUAUUUCUAUUGAUUGUAGCUUAUAUAUACUUUGAUCCCUCAAGAGCAAGGUGUCGAGCUGGAGAAAGGAAGAGUUCUUUGGAAUGUAUUGUUUUUGGAGAGUUCUGGAAUGUGUUUGCUGGAACAAUAGUAAGGUUAGCUCGACACUGGAAACAUGGUUAUUGUUUGUUGCUGCUUAAAAUAUGGCCUGCUUAAAAUAUGGCCUGAUAGCACAGGAAACAUGGCAGUUGUUUUGUAGCUUAGAAACGUGGCUGUUUCUGAUGCUUGAACACGAGCUAAUAGGAUGCAAGAUAACAUGGUACUGUACAUGAUUGGUCAAGUAGAAGAUUCCUGAUGUGCCACUGAAAACAACUUUCCUUUAGUUUUAACUUUUACCAUCCACUUUAGCUUCUUUUACGUUUUUUUUUGCAAAAUAGACACCGUAGCACUUUCGUUUGUAUUUGAUAAAUAUUAUCUUAUUAUAGACUAACUAGACUCAAAAGAUUCGUCUCGUAAAUUACAGACAAACUAUGCAAUUAUAUAUAUACACACACACACAUUCAUUUGUAUUUAGUAAUUAUUGUCUAAUCAUGUACUAAUUAGGCUCGAAAGAUUCGUCUCGCAAAUUAUAGUCAAACUGUGUAAUUAAUUAUUUUUUAUCUAUAUUUAGUGUUCAAUGCAUGCUUCCAAAGAUUCGAUAUGAUGAGAAAUCUUGAUUUUUUUUUGGAAACUAAGGGUAUGUUUAGAUCCCUUUAAAAUUCUAAAAGUUUACAAGAUUCCCUGUCACGUCAAAUCUUGCGGCACAUGCAUGAAGUAUUAAAUAUAGAUAAAAAAAUAACUAAUUGUAUAGUUUGUAUGUAAAUCCUGAGAUGAAUUUUUCGAGUCUAGUUAGUCUAUUGUUGGACACUAUUUUACAAAUACAAACAAAAAUACUACAGUAUCAAAAUUCUAAAAUCUUUUGCAUCUAAACAAGGCCCCACCAACCCGCCUACUGCAGCACAUAGGAAUCCCAUCCCACCAUCUCUCCUAAUAUUAAUCUGAAGCUCCGCCCUAAAUAAUAUACUUCCAUUCUAAAAUAACCGUUAUUUGUGUUUUCUAAAAGUAACUUUGAAAUAUUAAAAAAUAUCAAUAUUUAUGGUAUAUACUUUCCCCGUCCUGAAAUAGAGUGCAUUGUAACUUUUAAAAAUUGUAUUGGAAUACAACGCAUUCUACGUAACAACUAUAUUUCGAUUUGACAAGGUUUGUUAAAAAAGAAGUCAUCAUUUUAGGGAAAACUCUAUAAUUAGAAUAAUAUAUGAGUACAUGUGUCAUUUGAGUGUUUCUUUAGAUUGUCUUAAAAUUUAUAGAACACAUAGGUUUAUAGGACAUAGGGAGUAAUUAAUAUCAAUAGAAAGAUCUUUGAAUCUAGUUAUUUAACAAAUUUAUGAGAGAUAAAAAUAUUGCACAUAUUUUCUACAAAUUAAGUUAAACUUGUAACACAAAACCAAAAAACAGUUAAUUUAGAACACAGAGAGAGACACUGUUUAGGACUACAACUGGCUUUUGAGUUCUUGCUUAUGACCGUAAUUUCCGCAAAAAAAAAAAAAGGAGAUCAUGCCCACAAAAGGAAGAUAGCAGCCGAUAGCCAGUUCUAACCACGAUCGGUGAGGAUUAUAGGCUGCUACCUUCCUUUCAUGGUCACAAGUAACAAAUCAGAAAUCAGUUGUAUUUUCAAGAUAACAGUUGUAUUAUUUAGGGCGAAGCUCCGCAAUAAUAUUAAGAUCUGUAUAUGAAUAACUUAGGUGUUUUAUAUAUAAUUUUUAUGAAAGGAAAAUUAGAAAAAAAUCAAAGCAAAAAGAUUCAGGGAAAUAUAAACAUAUAUUAUUAAAUCUCUAAUUCAGGUAUCAAGAUUCUGUUCUAUUCAGAAAGGUUAAUAAUUGAGCAAACAGGAAACAUCCUAAGGAAGGAUAAUGGGCUCAGUUUCCAUACGCCUUAGGCCUUAUUUAGAUCCAAAAAGUUUUUAAAUUUUAACAAUUAUAGAGUAACUAGGUUUAAAAGAUUCGUUUUGUGAUUUAUAAUCAAAUUAUAUAAUUAGUUUUUGUUUUCAUCUAUAUUUAACAAUCCAUACAUGUGCUGCAAGAUUCGCUAUGAUAGAAAAUUUUGAAAAGUUUUUGUGACCAAGGCCUUAAAAGUACUCCUUUCUCCAUCACGAGAUGUGGAGGAGCACGCGGCGGCGGUGAUUCGGGAGAGGCUCUGAAAAGACUCGGGCUUGUUUAGUUCUAUUUUUUUUUAAAAAAAAUGGAUACUGUAACGUUUUCAUUUGUAUUUGAUAAAUAGUAUUUAAUAUGAAUGAACUAGAUUUAAAAGAUUUAUCUCGCAAAUUACAAAUAAAUCAUACAAUUAGUUAUUUCUUUUAUCUAUAUUUAAUGUUCCAUGUAUAUAUCUAAGAUUCAACGUGACGAAGAAUUUGAAAAAUUUUACAAAAUUUUUUAGACCUCGAUGCGGGUGCACCGUUUUGGUGGCUCGAUCAAAAUCCUAUGACGUGACGUGAGAGACGAUGCUACAUGUCUAUUAUAGCAGGCUAAAUUUUCGCUGGUAAGGUAUGACUGAAAAUAUCGUUCGCUAAUUUAUUAUAACAACAAUGCUGGCUGACAGAAAAAAUAUGAUUUAUAUAAGAUAAACAAAAAGAGCCUUAAUCCUCCAUUGAAAAAAAAUAAGUGAACGCUACUGCAUUUUCCCAAGGGUCAUAUGUACGGCCCAGAUAGGAACUCGUCAAGUCAUCAACAAAUCUGACGGCGCACGAAGCCGCUUAGGAUUCAAGCUAACCACCCUUGCAACCGCGGCGCAGGCGGUCGCGUCGAACGCAAGCAGACGACGGCACGGCGCCCCUAUAUAUACAGCCACAGCCACGGCGGCGAUCACCUCCCCACCCAGAACCUCCUUGUCGCCGGCGAUCGAUCCUUCUAAAUCCGUCGCCCACCCAACCUCUCCUCCGAUCCCGUCGACUCGCGCUCCGAACCUCGGAGGCACGGACUCGACCCCAAUGGUGCGCUCCUUUCUUGAACCCUUUGCUUCCGUGUCAGGGUUUGAUUUCGUCGUAUUUGGUGUGCGAGACCGACGUUGCUGUCGAAUCUUGAUCCGUUCCGAUCUGCCGUCCCAGGCCAUCCUAGUUCCUAAUGCUAUGUUUUUUUUUUCUUCUCUCGUGCUGAUUUGUUGAUUUUCGUGUACGAACGCAGGCUCUGCCAAACACCCCGCCUGUGGACUUCCCCAGCUUCAAGCUUGUCCUCGUUGGCGACGGUGGCACUGGUAAGGCUCUUGAUCUUGUUAUUAGCAGUUUAUUAUCGGUAGCGCUUCAAUGUUGCCCAAAUUUUGUCAUAACUGUGCCUCUCUUGUUUAUGCCAUCUUGCAGGGAAGACGACGUACGUGAAGAGGCACAUCACUGGGGAGUUUGAGAAGCGAUACGAACGUGAGCAGCAAACAUUUAAGUUUUUUCUCGUAUAUAUAUAUAUAUAUAUAUAUAUAUAUAUAUAUAUUAGCACGAUUUCGGGUUCUUGGGGGAGGGCAUAGACCUCUUGCUGUUUAAGAUUCUCGCCUAACUGUCUGAUUGAUCUGUUCGUUCUUGAUCUGCUUGACGAUUUGCAGCAACAAUCGGGGUGGAGGUGCGCCCUCUCGACUUCACCACGAGCCACGGCAAGAUAAGGUUCUACUGCUGGGACACGGCCGGCCAGGAGAAGUUUGGUGGCCUCCGUGAUGGAUACUAGUAAGAACCUUACAUCCAACUAGUUCUUCGCUUCAUUCAGAUGUUGCAACUUGACACUUAGAAGUUGCCAUCCUGAUUUUUUUAGCUAGUAAGUUCAGAGGAAAUGUUUUGGACAAUUAAUCUGAUGGGCCCUAUUUACAACUAUUAGUCGAAUGCUAACUACAUUACAAUCUUUUGCUUCACAUUGUGUGGUCUUAUCAAGAACAAAAAUCAAUGAUUAUUUGAUAGCAUCGGUUGCGUACUCACAAUGUAGAUCAACAUGGAGAUCAGCUUGAGUAGCUUGAAAUGGUAGAAAUCAAUGCAAUAAAUGUCAUCAAGUGGUGUUUUUGAGAUUUUUUUGAUGUUAGCUUCUGAGUUACAAUGAACUCUAGAUGAUCUGGUGAUCCAAUCCUCAGAGUUUAAUAUUUUCUCAUGCAAGCUAAGUUGCUAACUGAUGUAAGCUAAUAAACAAAGACAUUUAAACGAAUAAGCAAGCUAAUAAUUCCCGGAGGAAACAAAUUUGCUCAUAUAUUCAAGGGUUAAUAUUUGCUCAUAUGUUCUAAUCAAUCAAUGCAGCAUCAAUGGUCAGUGUGCCAUCAUCAUGUUUGAUGUCACCUCAAGGAUCACCUACAAGAAUGUUCCCACCUGGCACAGGGACAUCAGCAGGUAAAAUUUUUUGCCUUUUGAAUUGCUCACAUGCCUCUUGUUUCAGCGUCCUUAAUUGGUCUGGUACAUCUUUUAUUGUGCAUAUUAGGGUGUGUGAGAACAUCCCGGUUGUCCUGUGCGGCAACAAGGUGGAUGUGAAGAACCGGCAGGUGAAGGCCAAGGCAGUGACUUACCACAGGAAGAAGAACCUCCAGUACUACGAGAUCUCUGCCAAGAGCAACUAUAACUUCGAGAAGCCUUUUCUCUACCUUGCAAGGAAGCUCGCAGGGUGGGUAUUGUCUGUCAUUUUGUAGUAACUAGCAAAUCUACAUUGUACCAUCUGCCCGAUUUUCUCUUGAUUGCAAUGCUAUGGUAUAGCAACACCAAACGAUUGGUGAUCUGAUGCAUGACUGUAAAUGCAGGAACAUGGACGUCAAGUUCGUCGAAGAGUUAGCCCUCGUCCCUGCCGACGUGACCAUCGACGUUGCUGCACAGCAACAGUAAGUCAUUAUUCAAGCAAACAUGUACCUGACGACGACACUGAUUUACCAUGCUAGCUGCAUACAUUGCUUAUACUUUAUAAUAAUAACGCUGAGUGCUCCUCUGAUCCUGUAAUGUGUUUGAUGGCAUGCAGGAUUGACAAAGAGAUCGAACUUGCUGCAGCGAUUCCCCUGCCGGAUGAGGACGAUGAUAACAUGGAUUGAGCUCAGCUAGAUGCUGUGUCAGGCUGCCUUGGUUUAGUUCUAGCUUACUAGUGUGUGGAUGGUAUUAAGAGUGACACAUCUCUUUUGGAAUUUCAGUUGUAGCGUCAGUAGUAGGUUAGUAGCUAUCGGCUGCUUUAGUGGUUGUUACUGUGUGUCGUCUCAACUCUCAAGGAGACAUUUUAGUCUUGGUUGAGUUGUUGGCUUGCUGCCUGAGGAAUCUGAUGGAAUUCAAAUAGGAACGAUAAGUUCGUUCAUGCUUUAUUGUUAUUCUGGGCAGCUUGGACUCACGGGUUGGAAGCUGCGCAACAGGCAAUAAUGGUUUCGUGUAGCUAGAUAGUGUAUCUUCUAUGAUUGUCUUUUUUGUGGUGUGGCUCACAUUACAUAUUAAGGCUAGAGAGAAGGUCCAAUUUAUUUAAUAUAUUUUAAUUUAAAUGGGAAUGGUAAGUUACUAUAAUUUCGUUUAGGCUUCAUUCUGGGGCAGGGUGGACUCAUGGGUUGCAAGCUAUGCGUAUGGCCAUAGGAACGAAUUAACCUUGUUUUUAACUUUCAUUCAUGUUCAUAACCAAAUAAAAAAAGCAUGUCCUUUUCCCAUGUCAACCAAAUAAGUAGAGCGAUUCGGUAAACUAGGUGCAUAGGACGAGAAAAGACAAGCAUGUCCUUUUCACACGUGGACCAAAUACGUAGAGCGAUUCGGUAAACAGGUUACAAUUCGGUAAACUAGGUGCAUAGGACGAGAUAAAUAGGUUACAAUUCGGUAAACUAGGUGCAUAGGACGAGAUAAACAUGUUACAAUUCGGUAAACUAGGUGCAUAGGACGAGAAAGGGGUAGAGGCAAUGGCUUCAUGGCACCACAACUACAUGGCAUUGAGAGCAAAGUUAUGGUGGUGGUAAUACAUAAUCAUGCUUGUAAUGGAAAGAUUAAGGUAUGUAGUUGGGGUCGUGACACAUCUAUCUUUAAAAAUCAGGCCUUCCCAUUUUAGCAAACUGUACCAUCUAGUUUCAUCAAGACAGACCGACGAACGCUAGCUUGCCCAAAGAAGGAUCCCACCAGAGCAAGUGCAUCUUAGAUUGCACUAACAUUGGCGAAACAGCUAGCGCGCCUUCAAACAUUGUCGAGACAAUAAGAAUAUGGUUUGAAAGAAAUACAGGAAAGUGGAAUUAAAUGGAAAUACGGAAAGGCCAACAAGAUUGAGGUUUGAUUCAUUUGUCACUUAUAUUUAAAGGAUGGAGAUAUCUACACCAGUUAGGAGGCAAAACUCCUACAAACAAGUGUCAAAUUGUAACUCUAGGAUCCUCCGGUUUGAUGAACUGAAUAAUAUCAAUUGUCAUAACUUUUGUAUCUAAAUUUAAAUUGGUUAAUUAGAUACGAAUUUUAGUUAUCUCAGCAAAAGAUAUGCACUAUGGAAUCAAGAAGUCCAGUAUGCAAUUUUACUCCAUAUCCAAAACCUGAGCUUCUUAUUUUCAUGGAAUGACCGAUGCUACAAAUUUUAGUUGCCGAUACAUUGAGUCUUAUGCACUGAUCAGUUUAGCCCAAAAGUUUAAGUUGUUAGGAAAAGAUGGACUCAAUUAUAGUUUCAAGUCUCUCCCUUACGUGCAGGCAACCUAGGGCCUCAAAAGUGGAAAUAUAAGGCGACUGUAAUUAUUAUUUUUUAAUUAUGAUGUAAGGAUUUAAACUUAAGACCAUGGUUUUGAUAUCAUUUUGAGUUGCAUGACUGAUCAAUUCAACUCAAAAGCUUGAAGACAAGUUGAGGCUAUCAGAGGAUAUAGGUGAUGGGUGGGUGAUGAAAAAAAAUAUAGUUCAUAGCUAUGAUACCAUAUUGAGUUAUGUAGUGGUCUGUUCAAACGAAAAAACUUAAUCUCAAUUAUAUCAUAUAUAGACGAAUACCCGAAUUGAUGGCUAGCUGCAAGCACAAAGACAAGGCACAUGAUAGACGACGGGCAAUAUAUAGGCCUAUUCAAAAUCAUACAAGCUACGAAGAAUAGAGUGUGGUACGAAAUUCCUCAGUCCUGUCCGAGAGUACGUCCACCGCUUGAACGAGUGCUGGACCGGUCCGAGACACGACUGGGUGAUGACGAGGUGGAUUCUCGUACACUGUCUCUUGCUGUAUUCCUCGUGUUGGAAGUGACAAAAGAGCGUCUCCCUUGGGUGUCACUCUUCACCGACGAGUCCGCCGUCCCAUCACUAGCCGAUGAGUGGCCUGCUGGAGUGUUUCCACUGACGGACGACGAAGAUGUGGUACUCGACCGGUAACUUCCUCUGAAAAUACUAGGCUGUCCGUACGUCGCCACGGGAAUCUCCAGCGGGAGCUCCGGCAAAGGCGCCUCGAACUGCAGCACGCUCAUGGCCUGCCUGAUGGAAGGCCUGGACGCGCGGUCUGGGUGCACGCACCAGAGCCCCACCACCAGCGUCCGCUCCAUCUCCAGCACGUCGUCGGCGUCGUGCAGCCGCGCGUCGGCGACGCCGAGGAGCUCGCCUCUGCCGUACAUGUCCCAGACCCAGUGCACGAGCAGCACCUUGUCGUCGUCGUCGUCCUCCUGCGGGACGACGGGCUUCCUGCCGCAGGCGAUCUCGAGGAGGACGACGCCGAAGCUGUAGACGUCGGACUGGGCGCUCGUGCGGCAGGUCACCACGCACUCCGGGUCUAUGUACCCCUUGGUGCCGGCGAGCAUCGUGGUGUGCGCGGCGUCGCUGUGGUUGACGAGGCGGGCCAGGCCGAAGUCGCCGAGCUUGGCGUUGAACGAGGCGUCCAGCAUCACGUUGCUCGGCUUGAUGUCCCGGUGCACCACGCACUGCUCCCACUCCUGGUGAAGGUACAGGAGAGCGGAGCCCAUGCCAAGAAUGAUGUUGUACCUGACGCCAAUGCAAAAAAAAAUGGAUGUAAAAUUCUUGAAAACUAGUAAAAUAGCAUCAAUUGAACAGAUUAGUUAAUUUGAUUGAUUGAUCAUGUCCAUAUAUACCUGACUGGCCAUGUUAGAAUGUCACUCGUGCUGUAGAGAUGGUCGUCGAGGCUGCCAUUCGUCAUGAGCUCGUACACGAGCAGGAGCUCGUCGGCCUCGUGGCACCACCCAACAAGCUGCACGAGGUUGCGAUGCCUGAGACGGCCUAUGAUGGUCACCUCGGAGAUGUACUCCUUCCUCCCUUGUCUCGACGUCUUGGAGACCCUCUUGAUGGCUACAUGGAGCCCCUGGUCCUGCAGGUACCCACGGUAGACUGAUCCGAAGCCGCCCUCGCCGAGCUUCUCGUCGUCGGAGAAUCCGUGUGUCGCCUGUGACAGUUGGGUGUAGGAGAAUCUUCGAGGCCCUGUCCCCUUCUCAAACUCGUCGUCCAUGUCUGUGCCUUGUGGUGCCUCUUGUAUUUGUUUCGCACUCUGCCUUUUUAGGUAUCUGCAAUAGCCGAGGCACACGCACACCGCUACGACAAGCAGAACGGCGAUCCCGGUGGAUACCAGUCCGGCUAUUAAGCUUAUGUUUUUCAUCUUUGUAGUUCUGUUUUCUGUCAUUUACAAACACAUUAAAUUAGAUGCAUAAAGUCUAAAUAGUAGUGUAAUUACAUAACCACAAAUCAGUUACAGAUGCUUACAAAAAAUUGUUUGCGAUAAAUGUCGUUCGCGGGACGAGCCACGAACGAGAGAGGGGGGACGGAAAACGCGAGGCCCCCAACCCUAUGAGCCUCCGCGCCGCCGCCGCCGGCCGCCGCGCUCUCCUUCCCCUCUCCCACCUCCAUCUCCCCUUGUGCUCACCCCCGGCCCAAAUCCCCCCCCCCCACCGAUUCGGCCCCUGGCGCCGCCGGUGACGGCACCGGCUGCCUCUUCGGCACCGACAGCUGCCACCGCCACCUGCCCCGCAUCCCCGUCCCCUCCCCCUUCCCACCCUCCCCCGGUGCAAUCCCUAGGGGCCAGAUCGGGCCGACCCCUAGCUCGUCGCCGGCGGCGGCAACAGCGACCCUCAUCCCCGUCUCGGCCGAGUCCGCCUCUGCCAGAUCUUGCACCGCCGGGCUGCGGUGCACUCCUCCGUCCUCACCACUGCCGAUGUCAUACCCAUACCGUGACGGCGUCCUGCAGCAGCUGCACCUUCCUGCGGGUACCGCCGUCAAUGCCGUUGUUGCUGCCUAGCGUCUUGACGGUGGUGCCACCCCCGCUCCCGCCUCCCCACGGCCACGGCUAGAAGGUGUCGCUGCCUGCGCAACGCGUGGAGGCCGGAGCUGGGGCAAGCGCUACCCCCGGUGCCUCUGACCUUGACGCCUUCCUCGUUCGCCCGUCCGCCCUCGCUUCGAGCCCGUCGUCCACCCUUUAUCCCAUGCUGCCCCUUUCCUUCUGGGUGGUAGCAUCGCGGGUCGCUCCAAGGCACGUCGUUGGGCAGACGAUGACUCCGAUGUGGAAGCCACAUCCAUGACCCUCUACCUAGACACUGUUCGUCGGGAGCCGCUGCCAGCGUCGAUGCUACCUCUGUCCUUGCCGCACGCUCAGACUCGUCUGGGGUUUCAGGGCCGUGACAUGGUGGACGUGGCCGGCCAUGUCCCCAGCUGGUGCACGGCCUUCCUGCUCGGCCAUUGGACAGUCGUAUCCCCUUCCGCCAACGCCUUGGUCGCUGCAAUAGAGUCUCCGCCCCCAAUGCCGAUGGGUGGCGGGAAAUCCUCCCACGACAGGAGACACAACCUGCGACCGUUGCGGUUGAGCUUCGCCAUAAGCAACUCCUGUAGGCCCGGGAGAUCCCCUCGGAGCUCCACAACCGAUGCCUUAAUUGUCUCUCCUUGUAUCGUGUCGCAAGUUGUUGGUUGCCACGACGUUGCCUGCGGUGCCAUGGCUACCAUCAUCUCGCCAAGGAUUGCAAAUGGCCAAGGUCUGCGAAGACGAUGAAGGAUGCCAACCUGACACAUCGCAGCCCUCUAGCCAUCCUGGCACCGCGUGGCGUGGAUGGGGCUGCUCAUGAGGCCAUGGUGGACGCCGGCAGCGCCCGCUGCCGCUGACACCGUCGAGUCAUCGCCGACGUUGCUAGAGUAUGCCGGCGACAUAGACCAUCACCGCUAGUGGCGGCGACAACACUGACCCUGCUAUUGAUGCUGGCUACCUCGAGCUAGAUCCACUAGUGUUGGAACUGUGCACGGGUUCGGUGACACCCACAUGGAUUGACCCAAUGCUUGAGGAGUUCGUUGUCUCACGUCAGGAGGCUCGACCUCUGUUGGACAUCAGUUCUCCGAUGACUGUGGCUCAAGACACGAUAGAUCCACCUCUUCAGACGAGACCUUGUGUAGUUACGGAUGAGGUGGCGCUCACGGCGGAUCCUACAUCGGCACGGGAUGGUCACCGCUCGCCUGAUCCAUCUACGUUGAUGAAUGACACAUAGCUGGUUACCCUAGCCCUAGCGGCGUGACACCCACGCUGCGCGAGGCUGCUCAACGUCUCCCAUGAUUUUUGGAUGAGGUGCAGGUCAAGCGAAGGUCGCUCUUGCUCGCAUCUCCACCACGGCAAAAUGUGGCAACCAAGAGGGCCCUGACGAUAAGGGUCAGGAGCAGAUGGAUUGCUAUCCAACCAUUGUCGCACAUACCAACCUCCAAGCGAGGCAAGGCACUCCUUAAGCAGAGGUUGGGCAUCGCGUCGCCGAAAGCUUUGACUUCACCUGCGUCCAAAGUAACACUUGACGACAUUCACAGUGGAAACUUGACAAUGGGCAGGUGGAUGCUCUUGACGCGCUGUUCCUAGCAUUCAACGGGGUCACUAGGGAGCUCUCGUUGCUGUGCUUGCACGUUUGGUUGUUACAGUUAUGUAAUAUCGAACCUGGGAACAAGGUUGGUCCAUACGUCACACCACCUAGCGCGUUUGAUGAGUGUCAUUUGUAUGACAAACUUUUUUUUUCUUAAAUGCAAUGAUAUGUAAAUAUUUUGCGUAUUCGAGAAAACAAAAUUGUUCGCAGAUUAUGAAUUUAAUUUCAACAAAAGCAAUACAUUAUGUUUAAGGAUGAAAACAGUCGGGGUCAAAAAAUACUCGUAAAUUGUUUUCUACUUUUACGAAAGUCAGACACGAAAACGAACACGAACUUAAGAAAUAUCGAGAAUUUCAAAAAUGAAACAAUUUGAGUAGAUUUAUGUCAAACACGGCCGAUAUACGAAAACUCAAUAUGUAAUAUCGACCUGUGGUAUCAAAUGUAUGAUUAAGUACAUGCACGACCAAGUUCAAGGCUAUAUAAUAAUUAAAAAAUGUAUGAUUCUUGGUCUUAGGUAUUUAACACAAUAUCCCACACAUAAAUACAAGUCUAGAACAAGCAAUUAAUAGCGAGUUGGAUAAUACGAAUUAAAAUUAAAUGUACCAACUAGCAUACUAUCUUAGAAUCUAAACUAAAAUUAAUGGUAUAGAAAUAUGAACUUAAACAGAGAGGACAACACCUCGUGAGGUCGACUAAGUAUCGUAAGUAAGGAUAACUGGUACUGGCCACCAAUAGAAAGAACGUAGCUACAUAGUGAGUAGCUGGUAAUUGGGCUAUGUGACCCAGUGGUGAAGCUAGAGCAAAUCAGAGGGGAGUGCAGUUAGCUUGUGUGUGCAUAUACAUGAGUUUUAGGGGGUGUAUAUAUAUAUAGUAAAAUCUUAAUUAAAUCUACUGUUUUUUGUAAUUUUUGGGGGUGCAUUUGCACCCUCUACUUACACCACAGCUUCGCCCAUGAUGUGACCCAUGCACCUGGCUAUUUUUUUAAACCAAAAUUUAAAUUUGAAAUAUUUUAAAUUAAAAAUAGAAAAGUAUGGUUAAAAAUAUUUAAAAUAUUUUUUAUUUUUAUAUUUAAAAUACGAAAACAAAAACAGUAAAGUCAAAUAAAAAAUACAAAUUUAAUCGAAUUAAAUAUAAAAAACGACGCGAGUCGUUUCGUUGUCGUCUUUAAUUACGUUCGUGGGCCACGUAUGAUCCAACUACUGACCAACAUGAAACGGUAAUAAAGUCAUGAUGACGAGAAGUAUCCUUUCCUUUUUUUUUUCUACUAGCAUAUCUAAAGAUAAUAUAAAGAAGGUGAAAUAAAGCGAGAAACAGGGAUAGACACUUACGGGUCUCGUUGACGACGACGCCGGUGAGAGUGGACUCGAACGACCAAGAAAGGAUCUGGUGGCGUUCGAUGAAAUCUCCGGUGGCUCCCGAGAACCCGACCGCCGCGUCCGGCGGCAGCCCGGCGUCCUUGAAGUCGACGAUCGCGCUGACGUUGUAGAGGCCGAGCUCCGGCAGAUCGUCGAAGCGAAGGGUCGCCGACAGCGUGGUCAUGUCGGCGUCGUAUCUGACCCACGCCGACAUGGUCCCGUUGAAGCUCCCGGCCGGCAGCGCCAUGUACGCACGGGACGUGAUGUUAUUGACGUCCACGCCAAGAUGGUUCGCGGUGUUGUUGGGGUCCCAGCCGUCGUUCCUGAACGCGUCGAACUCCACGGCGACGGUCGGCGGGAAGACGGUGUUCGCCGGGUUGUUGGGGUUGUUGAAGAGACCGAGGAAGCCGCCUGUGGAGUCACCCGGCAGGUUCGGCGGCCACGGCCCGACGUAGAACGCCAUGCCGUCGGCCUGGUUGGUGCUGUUGUGCGGCUUGAUAGCGAAGGUGAAGUUGGAGGUGAAGCUGGCGACCUUGCCGGCGUCGUCCCAGAGCUGCACCGGCUGCCUGUACGCCACACGGCCGGUGCUCCAGAUGGUGUCGUUCGUCAGGUCGAUCCGGUCGCUGCCACCACUGGCGUCAGACAUGUACUUGAUGUCAGCGCUAGUGAGGACGCCGGGGAUGGAGAAGUUGUAGUCGAAGCUAAGCGAGGUGACAUGGGCAACAUAGACACAGAGCAGGUAGGCGAGGCUGAGGAGGAGACUGCUCCCGGAACCCAUAACCAUGGCCAUGGCCGGUGGCUAUUACAGUUACAGCUAGCUCUUCGUGCAAGUAUAUGAUUUUAUCAAGCUAGGCUAUAGCCUGGUGGUUGGUUUCUGCAUGCAGACCAGGGGUCUUUCUUUUAGUCGCCUUUGGUGUUUGGUCUCCGCGUCUGCUAUCGGCCGGCUUCAAUUGAAUUUAAACAAAAUAAAACUAAUUCGGCCGGCCGUACGGUCUGUGGGUAGCUAACGUCACACAUGAUUAUUAUCUUCGAUGUGCAAAAGUAUUUGAAUUCCAACAGAUUCCUCAAACAGCAAGGCAACAACUCAUCAAGUACAAAUAUCUCCUUGAGACGGAUACACAUCAGCAACCACUAAAGCAGCUCAUAGCUACUAGUAAGGUUGAAUAACGAGCCGAGCUAAUUUGACUUAGAUCGGCUUGUUCUGCCUUGUUAGGAUAAUAAACUAGCUCGGCUCGACUCGUUAUUUUAACGAUCUAGAAAACUAGCUUGGCUCGGGUCGCUACGAGCUCAAGCUGGCUGAGGAGGAGACUGCUCUCGGAAUCCAUAACCAUGGCAUGGCCGGUGGCUAUUACAGCUAGCUCUUUGUGCAAGUAUAUGGUCACAUACAGAUAUUUUUAUCAACCUAGGCUACUGGUGGUUGGUUCCUGCAGACCAGGGGUCGUCGUCGUUUAGUCGCCUUUGGUCUCCGUCUGCUUAUCAGCCGCCUUGAAAUGAAUUAGAACAAAACAAAGCUAAUUCGGCCGGCCAAUACGGUCUGUGGGCAGCUAACGUCACACAUGAUUAUUAUCUUCAAUGUGAAAAACUAUUGAAUUCCUAUUUGAAUUCCAUCAGAUUCCUCAAGCAGUAAGGCAACAACUCAUCAGGUCCAAAUAUCUCCUUGAGACGGACACACAUGAGCAACCACUAAAGCAGCCCACAGCGCUACUAGCCUACCGCUGACACUACAACUGAAAAUUCCAAAAGAGAUAGAUAUGUCACUGUCACUCUUAAAACCAUUCACACUGCUUUGGUCAAAAGCACGCUUUCAGCAAUCCCCGUGCAUACGGCAAUGGCGGUUUGCCUAUCGCAGUGGGCUCUUGGAAGAAUUGAUAAGAUUCGCCGUGGCUUCAUCUGGACCGGAACGGCGUCUGCCUCUGCCGGCCGGUGCAGGGUGGCCUGGCCGGUGGUCUGUCGACCAACCGAGCUGGGAGGGCUGGGCGUCGCUGACCUGCAGCGUGCAGGAUUGGCGCUGCGCCUAAGAUGGCCGUGGUUGCAGCGGACCGACACGCGACGACCAUGGCUUCGGCUUCCUGACAAAGUUGAGAAAACAGCCACAGAGUUCUUCAGGACGGCGACGGUUGCCGUGGUGGGGGACGGCUGCACCACGCUGUUCUGGGUGGACAGCUGGAUUCAUGGGUCCUGCAUCCGCUCCCUGGCGCCGGCCGUCUUCGAUGCUGUGCCCGUGCGCAGACAUGGCGUCUCGGUGGCCAAUGCACUUCACAACUCCAGAUGGGUGCGCCACGUCACAGGCCCGCGUUCUGCGCGCCUUAUUGCAGAGUUCGUCAACCUCAGCAACAUCAUCGACCGGACCAUCCUCACCCCGGGAACGCCCGACACCUUCUCCUGGCGGUUGAGUGCCGAUCAGGCGUACUCGGCGUCUUCAGCCUAUGGGGCAAUGUUCAUCGGAUGCUCCCGUCCUGUGGGAGCGCGGCAGCUUUGGAAGACGUCGGCGCCUCCUUGUGUGCGGCUGUUCUUCUGGCUGGUGAUGCAUGGCAAGUGUUGGACGACGCAUAGGCGCUGGCGCCAUGGCUUGCAAGACGACUGCGCCUGUAUCCUUUGCGACCAGGAGGACGAGACGAUGGACCACCUGCUGCUUGGGUGUGUUUUCAGUCGCGAAGUCUGGCAGCUCUGCCUCGUGGCGUUCUUCUUGCAGGGUUUAAUCGUAGUCCGGGAGUGUUCAGCGAUGCUCUGGUGGAUGGACUCUAGGAAGGGGCUGCCCAAGGUGCUGCGCCGCGCCUUCGACUCGCUUUUCUUCCUGGUAGGCUGGUUCCUGUGGAAAGAACGGAACGCGAGAACCUUUGGUGAGACACCCCGUUCGCCGGCGCUGCUCCUGCAGGCGAUCCUCGACGAGGCCGACCUCUGGAUCGCGGCCGGGUUUCGACGCCUUUCGGCCCUGGUGUGCCGUCGCUCGUGUUCUUAGCGCGCGCCUGUUGAUCCUUGUAGCGCUCUUCCUCUCUACAAUGUAGUCUCUUGGCUUUCUCCAGUAGACGUAGGGUUCUUUUCGGUAAUCUUCGGAUUACUGUGGGGUGUACGGACUCUCUUUCUGCUUAAUGAAAUACAUGCCUUCGCAUGUUCAAAAAAAAAAGCUAGAACUAAGCUAAAGCAGCCUGAUACAGCAUCUGGCUGAGAUCAAUCCAUGUUAUCGUCGUCCUCGUCCGGCAGGGGAAUCGCCGCAGCAAGUUCGAUCUCUUUGUCAAUCCUGCUUGCCAUGAAUUAAAAACGUUACAUGAUCAGAGAAGCACUCAGCGUUAUCAUAAACAAUGUAUGCAGCAUGGUAAAUCAGUGUUGUCGUCAGGUACAUGUUUGCUCGAAUAAUGACUUACUUUUGCUGCGCAGCAAUGUUGAUGGUCACGUCGGCAGAGACGAGGGCUAUCUCUUCGACGAAUUUGAGGUCCAUGUUCCUGUAUUUACAGCCAUGCAUCAGAUUACCAAUCGUUUGGUGUUGCUACCGCAUAUGCAUUGCAAUGAAAAGAAUGUCGGGUAGAUUGUGGCCACAGAAUGACGACAAUACCUACCCAGCGAUCUUCCUUGCAAGGUAGAGAAAAGGCUUCUCGAAGUUAUAGUUGCUCUUGGUAGAUAUCUCAUAGUACUGGAGGUUCUUCUUCCUGUGGUAAGUCACUGACUUGGCCUUCACCUGCUGGUUCUUCACAUCCACAUUGUUGCCGCACAGGAGUACAGGACAACCGGGAUGUUCUGACAUACCCUAAUAUAUAUGCGCAAAAAAAGAUGUACCAUCAAUUCGACCAGGACACCAACAAUUCAAAAGGAAAAACUUUUACCUGCUGAUGUCCCUGUGCCAGGUGGGAACAUUCUUGUAGGUGAGUCUUGAGGUGACAUCAAACAUGAUGAUCGCACAUUGACCAUUGAUGCUGCACAAACGUAUGACCAAAUAUUAACCCUUGAAAAUGCAUCUCACUGUUUUUAGAGUCACAGUCCCGACCCGCUUGCGGAGGCGAUGUGUGCGGCUGAUGGUCCUCCUGCUUUGGUCAUAUCCUUCGACCCGAUGCUGGAAGAGUUCCUUGCCGCCAUGUUCGUCGCGAGCUACUCUGCUGUGGUGGCCGUCCCCCAGGGGUUCAUGGAGCCACCUCUGGUGGCGGCUGUCCCCUCGCCUCAGCAAUCGGUGCAGGAGCCAGCGCAGCUCACACGUCUCCUUGGGUGGGUCAGCCCAACGUCGAGAUUGGCGACGAGACACCCAUGCUACGCGAGGUCACUCGGCGCCUCGCACGGUUUCUUGAUGAGGCGUGGGUCGUAUGGGAGCCACCUUUGAUUGCCUUCCCACCUCGGCAGAGGACGUCUGUCAAAAGGCCCCCACCUAUCCUAGCCAGGAGCAGUCGGAUCGCUGCCCAGCCAUUGGCGCACAUUCUGGCCUCCAAGUGGAGCGAGGUUCUCCUAAACAAGCGACUAGGGUUUGCUCCGCUGACCGCACUGGUUUCGCCCGUGCCGAGGGGGAUACUCGAUGCUCUACGUUCCAGGAGCCUGUCGUCGAGCGAGGUGGAGGGCCUGGACGAGCUAUUUCCAACGUUCAACAGGCGCACGUGCGAGCUCUUCCAGGAGGACUCGUAAGACGCGACAUUGAGCGGAUUUUGGUUGACCCAUUUAUGUAAUAUCGAUCCACAUAACUUUUUUUGCUUGGUCGGUUCAACUGUUGACCACCUAGCGCGCUUUUUGCAUGUCAUUUGUGUUGUAUACUCUUUUUUCUUAAUAUAAUGAUAUGCAGAUCUCCCCUGCGUAUUCGAGAAAAAAAUCGUCUAGUCUCAAAUCUUUUAUGGAUCUCUACCAGUUCUAGUAUAACUGUCUCUCUAUGGUUACCACAUUGGACCUACUCCAGCUGUCAUGGCUGCUCUGUGGGUUCAUUUGUAUCCUCCAUGAUGAAGCUUGCCUAUUUGUUUAAAUGUUUUUGUUUAUUAGCUUACGUCAGUUAGCAACUUAGCUUGCAUGAGAAAAUAUUAACACAUUAGGAUUGGAUCACCACAUCAUCUUGACUUCGUUGAACCCAGAAGCUCACAUAAAAAAAAAAAUCUCAAGAAAAUCACUUGACAUUUAUUGCAUUGAUUUCUACCACUUUGUGCAACAUUGCCUCCCUGCAUUGGAUAAAUUCAAGCUAUCCAAACCGAUGUCCAUGUUGAUCUACAUUGUAAUUACUCAAUCGAAGCUAUCGAAUAAUCUUGUUUUUUGUUCUCGAUAAGAUAUUAAGGUCACACAAUGCGAAGCAAAUGUAAUGUACUCCUUUUAUUCCAAACUAUAAGUCGCUUUUGACUUUUUUGAUAUAAUAGAUUUUGCUUUAUAUAUAGAUAUAUGUUAUAUUUAGAUACAUAAACAUAAAAAAAUUCUAGCUUUCGGCGUAUUUAGUAGAGGGUUUCUGCGUAUCCUGUGUGCGAGACCCACGGCGUAUUUAGUAGAGGAUUUCUGCUUGCUUUCGACGCGACUGCCUGCGCCGCGAUUGGCCGAUUGCCGAGUGGCCGCCGUGGGUUAGCAGUUAGGUUCAGGUUUAACAGGAAGUUUAAUAAUACAGCUUUGGCUAUAAGGUUUUUUUUUAGCUUUUUUUAACCCACUCAUACAAUAAUUGUUCACUAUUAAUACAUGACCGACUUAUCUCUAUCACAAAGUUUCUUGGUUUCUAUGUCUAAGCUGGGUGUAAGGUUACAAGCUGCUUCUUCUCUCUCCUCCAUUCUCUCCUUCAUCUCAGCAUUUAGCCCACUUAUAACGUAUUAUAAUACUUGCUCUAAGCUGCUUUGUGCGCCGUCCAAUGUUUUUGGGGCGUCGCCUAGGCGUCGCCUAGUCGUCGCCUAGGCGACAAGGCGUGCUGGAGUCCAUGGGCGUCGCUGGCGCCACGUCCUGCACGGGUAAGGCGUCCGCCUAAUCGAAUUAGGCGUCGCCUAAGAGUAGUUUGGCGUCAGGCGGACGCCUUAUGCCAUGCCACCGACGCCGGAUGCCAAAUCGCUGGGAAGGACGCCAAAAUUACCGUGCUCCCGCGGGAAAUCGACCGCACACGCGGGAAAAGGACCGCGCUCGCGGGAAAAGGCGCGGGAAAUCGACCAUGGGGGAACUAGAUAGGCCGCGGACGCGGGAAAUCGACCGCGCGCGUGCCAUUUACCACGACUGCAAGCGAGGUCGAGGGGAGCGGAAAAGAGAAGGCGGCAGGCAGACCGAAGACCUCGAGCUCCGCUUGGCUGCUCGUCGUCCACCGGCUGGUCGCCCUUGCCGUGGAGCCGGCCUUGCAUCUCCGCCUGGCCUCCGCACCUGCCGUGGAGCCGCAGUCGCAGUCCGCUCGUCCGUCGUGGAGUCGCAGUCCGCUCGUCCGCCUCCAGUCUUCGAGCCCGCAUCUGCUCGCCCGCCUCGAGUGUCCGCCUCCAUCGGCCGGUUCAGAGCUGCAGCUGCUCACCCACCUGCGCCUCCGCCUGGUGCCGUGGUAUGUCCCCUGCCUCCGCUGUCCUCUCUGUCUCUGGUGUCCCAAAGGCCAAAUCUCCUUGACGUGUACUCUGUUUUUCUGAAUAUAGAAUGUCUGUGCAGUUGUGCUCUGUUUUUUCUCUGAAUAUUGUAUGUCUCUUGCUCUGCUUUUGAUCUAAAUGUAUAUUGUAUGCCUCAUGCUCUACUUUUACUCUGAAUAUUGUAUGCCUAUGCCUUGUGCUCUGCUUUUGCUCACGCUGCAUGUCCUUUGCUCUGAAUAUUGUAUGCUAAUGUCUGCGUAUGCACUGAAAUACUUAAUAUUGUAUGACUCCACAUACACUGCUAUGGAGUACAACACAAAGCACAACUGCAAAAGGGUCUUUCUUUGAUUAGUAUAUAAUGUCUGCCAUUCUGUUUGUGUUCUUUCUUUAGUGUGCAAUUUUACAUAACAUAAAGAAGGCACUUGCUUUGAUUAGUAUGUUACUUUCUUUAUUACAGAACCUCUUUAUGCCAUUUUCCUAAUGCUGUUCCUUUCUAUUAUGUAGCAUCCAGCAACAUGGCAAGCUCAGUUGAAGCACCUGAUUAUGAUCCCAAGACUGAUCCAGCAAGAAAAGCAAAGUCCAAUGAUCCAGGCUGAAAAUAUGCCUACUGGCAGGACCCUGCUAGGAGAGACUGGGUGACAUGUAUCCUGUGUGGACAUGAGGGUUCAGGAGGCAUAAAGAGGUUGAAGCAACAUUUGGCUGGUGGAUAUGGAGAUGUUGUCCUUUGUUCAAAAGUUAGCACUGAAAUCAGGAAAGAGAUGGAAGCUUACUUGCAAAAGAAGAGAAGAAGACCUUUGUAUUUGGAUGGUCUUGUGGAGGAGGAUGAAGAACCAGAAGAUGAAGUUGUGGAGGUGUCAGCAGUAGAUGCACAAGCAGCAGCAACAGAUGCAAGACCAAAAGUGGCUGCAAAAAAACCAAGUUCUGGGACAGCCGCCAAGAAAAGGCAUGCUAUCUAUCAAUUCAAAGCUUCAGCUCCUAGCAGUGUCAAUUCAACACCAAAGACACCAAAGGCAACAAAGUCAGUUGUUGCUAUGCUUAGAAGAACACCUGAACAGAUAGUAGAUCAAAGGCGUGUAAAGGACUUUCAACCCACCAUUGAGUCCAGCACAAAGACUAAGGAGGAGAAGCAAUAUGUGGAUUUACAAUGGGCACUAUGGUUCAUGGAGUGUGGUGUAGCCUUUAAUGCAGCAAAUUCAAGGCAAUUUGAAAUUGCCUGUGAGGCAACAGCCCAAUAUGGUUCAGGAUACAAGCCUCCAACUAACAGCAGCUUGGUGAACCUUUGCUUCAAGAAUGUGUUAAGGUGACAAGUGCCAUGAGGAAGGACCAUGAGCAAGCAUGGAAGCAAUAUGGUUGUACACUAAUGUCAGAUGGAUGGACUGAUAUGAGAGGGCGUCACUUGAUUAAUUUCCUUGUGAACAGCCCUGAGGGAACGUAUUUUCUAGAGUCAGUUGAUGCAUCAAAUCAAGUCCAUAGUGCAACAAUGCUUGCUGAUUUGCUACAGGAGAAGAUUGAGGACAUUGGAAAGGACAAUGUUGUUCAAAUUGUGACCGACAAUGGUGCUAACUACAAGGCUGCUGGUAAGAUCUUGAUGGAUAGAAUUCCCACACUGUUUUGGAGUCCUUGUGCUGCACAUUGUUUGGAUCUGAUGUUGGAAGAAAUUGGGAACUUGAAGGCAUUCAAGAAACCUAUUGCACGUGCUAGGCGUGUCACCACAUUCAUUUAUAGGCAUGGGAGGCUUCUUAGUGCAAUGAGGGCUCAAACAGGUGGGACUGAUCUUGUUAGGGCAGCAAAGACUCGAUUUGCCACAUCAUUUCUGACAUUGAAGAGUUUGUACAAGAACAAGGAUGCCUUGAAGAGCUUGUUUGUUAGUGAAGCAUGGACUGGGAACAACUUGUGUACAACUGCAGCAGGUCAACAAGUGCAAGACAUUGUGCUAUCUACUGAGUUUUGGAACUCAGUAGAAGAUUGCCUAAGAGCUUCAGCACCACUGUUAAUUGUUUUGAGGGCUGUUGAUGGUGAUGAGAAGCCUGCAAUGCCAGAGGUCACAGCUCUGAUGAAUCAUGCAAAAGAUAGGAUAAAGCAAAGCUUCAAUAUACAAACCAAGCAGGGCCUGCUCAAGAAAAUUAUGGACAUUAUUGAGAAGCGUUGGGUGAACCAAAUGGAUCAUCCACUGUAUGGGGCUGCACUAUAUUUGAACCCAAGAAAAAUUUUUCCUCUUCUAAAAGCUAAUGACGAUGCCACUGUUGGGCAGUUAAGAGGCUAUUUUAUUGAAGUGCUUGGAAGAAUGAUACCAGAUGUGAAAACACAAAUGAAGAUCAAUAGGCAGGCCAUUGAGUAUGAAGAGCAACGUGGUGAUGCCUUCUCAAACAAAAUGGCAAAGGAAAGCUAUGACAAAAUGAGUCCUCGUAAGUGUUGUUAAUCUCAGCUUGCAAAUUUUAGCAACUUAAUUGCAUUCCAAACUCUUAAUAUGUGUUGUACUUUUCAUCCAGUUGAUUGGUGGCGUUCUUAUGGUGGCCGAGCCAUUGAACUACAAAGACUUGCUAAGCGCAUAGUUAGUCUUUGUGCUUCAUCAUCCGGUUGUGAGAGGUGCUGGAGUACCUUCAGUCAUGUGAGCAUCCUCGUAAAUUGUGAUUAACAAAUUUUAUUUAGAUGCAUACAAUCUGAUUUUUGGUUUUGCUUCCCAUCUGAUUUUUUUGUUUGUAGAUGCAUACAAAGAAAAGGAAUAGGCUGCUGCACAAGAGAUUGAAUGAUAUUGUGUUUGUUUCAUACAAUCGGAAGAUGAGAACAAGAUUUCAGCUUACGCGUGAGAAGGCAGGCAAGAAAUAUGACCCUUUGGUCAUUGAGGAGUUCAAUUGGGACAAUGAAUGGGCUGAUUCAUUGCAUGUGCCCAUUCCGAGUGCUCGAGGGUCUGAUGCUGUUGAUGAGCUCACAUGGCAGCAUGUUGAUGAAGCCACAGGUGCAUCACAAGCACUGCGGGGGCGUAAUCUUCCUAGGAGAGCUACUGCUACUCUACAUUAUAGUCGUUCGAGAAAUGUUCCUGUUCCAGCUGGUGAAGAUGGAGAAGAGGAAGAUGAAGUUGAAGACCCACAUGAUGAUGCGGAAGUGAGCGACUGUGAAGAAGAUGGCAAUGUUCCUGCUACUGAACAAGACAAGGCUGCUGAUCCUGAUGAGUUUGAUGAUGGAUUUUGAGUGCUGAAACAAAGAUUUGCACUCUUGCUGAUGGAUUCUUUUGUGUCCUGCACCCUUGCUGUACUUUUGUGUUGUCACACACUCCUGUUGUAUGGCUGUGGACUGUGGUGUAGUUGACUUAAUUAGUAUGCUGUAGAGUUCAACAGUUUAAGUUUGUGGACUAUUUGAGACAGACUAUGAUGUCAUUUGUCAUGCUCAUGCAUGAACUAAUGCUUGCUAAUUUGUUAUUUUGCCUCUUGUGUAUUGUUUCCUAUUUAAUUCUUAGCAAAUAGCAACUAAUAACAUGUUUGAUUGCUGAAUUCUGUAACUGUCAUGCAGGAGAAGAGCUUUUGGAAGGGAAAGGAAGGAACUUGGGAUCAAGAAUUGGCAACAAACUAAGUAUGUAUGUGCUGCACUAGUAUAUAAAAAUUCUAGCUUACAACGCCUUACAAUGUGUGUAUGGCGUCGCCUAGGCGUCCGCCACAAACGCCUAGGCGUUGUGAAGGGGGUCGGGCGCGGCGCCACGCCGCGGCGCGGCGCCUCAAAAACAUUGGCGCCGUCAUGGGUUAACGACUUACGUGUUCCCAUAUGGAGGGCCCUACAUGUGCCCCUUCGGAAUUCCGUUUCAGGCCUAGUUUAGUUGAAAAAAAAAAUUCAAAAUUGUCCAUCACAUCAAAUUUUUAAAUGUAUAUAUGGAGCAUUAUAUAUAGACAAAAAUAAAAAAUAAUUAUACAGUUUUUUCUAUAAUUUAUGAGACAAAUCUUUGAAUUUAUGAUUGAACAAUAAUUAUCAAAUAUAAACAAAAAUGCUAUAGUAGCCAAAGUCAAUUUUUUUUGCAAACUAAACAAGGCCAAAGUAUAUCGCUAUGGAUGGCAGGAUUUUUUUUUUCAAUGCCAGUGAAAACGAACCGCGGUUGGGUGAAAAUUAGACCCAGUAUAUAGCUAUGGAUGGCAGGAUGGGUCAGGCCCAAAUGGUGCAGCGAGCGUAAGCACAAGAAGCCCAUGGGUGACUCGUGUUUAUACUGAAAACAAAAAAGUCUACUUUUCCUCCUUCAAUUUUUACAAAAGUCCGUUUUUCCUUCUUUAACUUCAAAACCGAGCAAAUCACCUCUUUCAACUUUUUAAACCAUGCAUUUUACCUCCCUAGAGCGGUUUUAAAGGCGGUUUUGCUAUAGUAAAUAGUGGUUUUGCUACAGUAACGAUGAUUUUGUCUUUUUCUUUUUUUUUUAAUUAUUUCGGCUGAAUUUUUAAAAAAUCAUAGUAAAUUAUAGAAAAAUUAUAAAAUAGAAAUCCAAUUUUAUUAGACUCCACAUAAGUAGAUCUACAUAGUAAACAUAUAAUAUGAUAUGCUUUAGUACAAAUUUUUUGCUAUAAAGGUUUUGUCCUUUUUUUAUUUAUUUAUUUGGUUGAAUAUUAAAAUCAUAGAAAAAUUAUAAAAUAGAAAAUCUAUUUUUUAGACUCCACAUGAGUAUAUAUAGAAAAUCUAUUUUUUUAAGUAUUUAAAACUUUAAUAGUUCUUUAAACUAAAGCUAAAAUAACGGAUGUGGUGGUAGGAUGAUGGCCGCACACAUAAAGAGACAACAAAAAAAAAUCUUCAAGCAUCAUAAUCUUAUAUCAUGAGUUAUAUAUCCCGUUGCAACGGAACAAAAUCUUUAAGCAUCAUAACCUUAUAUCAUGAGUUAUAUAUCUCGUUGUAAUGCACGAAUAUAUUUUACUAGUUAAUGAGUAAUGCGUACGAGAGGGAAGCCAAGCAAAAGGGUCACAGGGUGCGUCUCCUUUUCCUAGUGGCAAAUCACAUAAUUUUUUCAAGUUCUAUGGGUAUGGGUUCAUGAAGCUAGAAAAGGAGCCGGAAGAAACUAUUAUUUUUUAUUUCAUCUCAUCCUAAAUCUCUAUAAAAGUACGUUUUUAGAGCUUUAUCAAUGGAGUCAUUCUUUUUUAUCUCGUUUGGUAGAAAACAGCCCUAACACAGCUCUUGAAACCUCUCGAGAAACCCCUACUAAAUGGAUCCAUAGUAACUGAUAAGACCACUAAGUCCAUCACGACCGAACAAACCUUAUUACAUACUAUAUAUAUAGAUACUGUGUUACAAAAUGAAUAAAAGAGAUGGCACAAACAGUGGUGGGCUUUGAUGAAGACUAGGGCCAAAAUUAAGUAGUAAAAAUAUUUAGGUCUGAUGAAAGAUCAACUCUCAUAUCAGUUCAUUGAAUUGUGCUAUAUAAGCAUCGAGAAAAAUAAUAUGUCUAAAGUCAUGUUCCUCUAUGUCGUGUUUUUAGAAAAAACACGAGCACAUUGCUCGCAGGUAACUAAAUGAACAGUAAGGUCUUGUUUAGUUUCCUCCAAAAUUCAAAAUUUUUUUAAGAUUCUCCGUCACAUCGAAUCUUACAUCACAUAUAUGGAGCACUAAAUAUAGGUUAAAAAAUAACUAAUUGCAUACUUAGGUUAGAAAUCGUGAGAGGAAUCUUUUAAGCCUAAUUAGUCCAUGAUUGGACAAUAAUCAUCAAAUACAAAGUGUUAAAAUUCAAAAACUUUUUGGAUCUAAACGAGGCCUAAAUAAUAUUGCUGAAAAAGACAUAAAAACUAAUAUAAAUGCUUUGGAAUUCUUAGGUUUGUGUGAUUGAUCACAUACUACACAUAGGCUAGUUUGAUGAAGAUGAUUGGCCCCAGAACUAGAAUAUAAUUGUAAAGUUCCAUCUCGUACAUAUAUAUUUUAAUCGAAGCCAAUCCAGGCACAGAGAGCAACCAAUACUAUAUUGUAGGAUAUGGAUUGAAACAUGCAUAUACAUCUAUCUAUUCCAAAAUUCAAAUACGUACAAUCAUGAUCGCACUUGCAGUCACAGUCACUAAGUGCAUGCAUCUUCCUCCCUGGACAAAGGCUGAAACGUUCAUCCAAUCUUCUCUAUCUGCCGAACAACUCAAGGCUCCACACUGAUGGAGCAGGUCAUGUGUGCAGGGUAAGUCAUGACUAGGGCCGUGGCCCUACUACCUGGGUCUGCCCAUGGGCACAAGGUAGCAAACAUGAAAUUCGAAUACUUAUGUUUUUCCUAAAAUAUAGUUCAUGUAGAAACACGUGUGGAUGGGCAAGUUUUUCAAACGAAGAUACGAUCACGAAUAUAUAUUACGUCUUGUAUCGAGUACUGAUCAUAUCUCAUCAUCAGACGAGACACAGGAUUGGGGUAAACCGAUCCUGAGGGCAAGAAAGCAUGAAGCGUCGACCAUGCCUAGCUCCUACUUGGCUAAGCUGCAUCAUGUGAUGUGUGCCUACAAGUUAAAGUACGAACCAAACUAAUCAACACGGAUUUGACGUUGCACCGGCCUGAGUCUCUUCUUAAUUCAAACCUUGUCGCCCCUUGUCGUCGACGAAUAACGAGAAAAAAGUUGUGUGAUCCACGAGGAGCACACAUCUCUGCACGCAUGGCCACCAGUUCUCUGCAUAGUAUGAUCUAGCUAGGACAGGCAACAUGUCUUGUUGCUGUCCCCUAAAGCCCUUGGCAUUUUGUUGUCGUCGAGCUACUGCAUCGUGUUUUCUCCUGUCUGUUCUCUGUGGCUCGCGAGGACGUGAAGAAGUCCGGCCAGAAGUAACGACGACGAGUAGCUCCCCUGAACGCAUGCGCUUUUUGUUGGAAUGGCGGUAGCUUUUGCGUCGUGGCCCGCCAACCAAAUUAGCAACUAACGCGUAGACGACGACCGGCUGGACGCCAUUUGGAGAUCUCGAUCAGAUGUACAUACCCUGUCGAUCGACCAGGCUAACAGCCUGUUAACUCUGUCAAAUUUUAAAAUGCAGUCUAGUGAGCCAGAACAAAUCCAAGUAGGUAACUAUAUUUAAUUCCCUGAGUUCGUACUUUUGCUAUACUUGGUACUGAAGUAAGUUGUUCAUUAUUGGAUGGAUCUAUGGUUCCAAUGGUCGUUAAGCAACACAGACCGUCUAAACUCUUCAGGUGGUUCCGCCUGCAACUGUAAUGGUUUCAGAACUUCAGAUCGCAAGCGUGCAGGUUAAUUGCAAUGGUUUCAGAACUUCAGAUCGCAAGCGUGCAGGUUAAUUUCAAUCAAGCCAUGAACACACUACCAUCAUUCUGACGAUUAUCCUUAUUACUUUUCCGCCUCCAAAACACCCUGUGCUGCACUGUUAUACCUGACGCAAAAACAAAAACUACUGUAUAUUAUUUCGCCUAGUUGGCAUUGUCUAGUUGUAUCUAUUGAUUUCUUCAGCGCGUUGUCUUCUGACGAUCUCUUUCAGUCUUUGUGGCGGUGCAAGAAGACAGGCACAGUGGUUAGGCGCACUUUUUACGUGUUUGUUUAGUCUGAAAGGCGUCGCGUUUUGACUAAUUUCAGGUUCGUCGAGCUUGCAUCAUGCAGGGGAUAAAAUCCAAGCAAAGCAACCACCAUCUCCUGCUGCUUUACCUUUACACGAAGAGUGGGUCUGCCGGCCGGCCCAGAAAGCAAAGGCGAAAUCGCGUUAAAACACGCACAUUUGUCAGCUUGACCCAACUGUGAAUGCCGUCCGAAGCCAGCAGACAUCGAUUGGUUUACUUUGUCGGUGUACUUUCAGGUGUACUAGCUAGAUAGCUAGCUGCUAGGAUAAGUCUUUGCUUAGCUGAUCCUCCAAGAUGCACGAUUAUACUUUCACCAAAAGAUUGAUUAUUGAUGCUUAUAUACCGAAAGUGAACGGCCUUUCUGAAAUUAAAGUUGCCAGAGAGAAUUGCUAGGUUUUGAUUAUUGGUGCUUUACCUUUGAUGUAUGGGUGCACUCAGUCAUCAUUGAUUAAUACUAUAACGAUCAUUGAAUCUAAUUCACAUAUAAAUUAUCGACCUCAUGCCAUUAUGGAAAAGUGAUAAAAAAAAACAUAUGCUUAAUACUUGCUUCUAAAGUAUCCAUAUCACCUCUCCCACUUAAAAUUUAUUAUUCCUUUUUCAAUUUUAUGCUUAAGAAUCCAUAUAUAUAGCUAAUGGAUCUUGUAUUGGAUGCAUCAAGGAAACUAAAAUUGGAAGUAAUGUAUCUAUUAUACCUAUACAAGAGUGUUUUUUUUUGCGAGCAACCUAUACAAGAGUGUUAAAAGGAGCUAGCCCAUGUUAAUAGGGUCUAGAAUUUAUAAGAUUAAUUAAAAAAUUUAUGAGAUUAAUUAAAAAUAAUAGACACCACUAGAUUUUAUAAUGUAAUGGUAUGGAUAAAGUAAGGCUUUGUUCGGCAGAGCUCACAGAACUGAUCCUCUGCUGAAUCUAGAAGCUCUCUCAAAUAAUUUUUUAGAGAAAAGUGAUUCUAUGCUGAAUCUAUAAAGUGAUCCUUUGAAAGGAACUAAGAGGAUGGAAACUAAAAUAGUAGCUUCUCCUAAUUCUGUGAAGUGAUUCUCCAUCAUAAUUUUAAGAGUCUACCAUAGAAUCACCUCCCAUAGAGAAUCAGAAUCAGAUAAAGCUUUACCAAAACCGGCCCUAUUUCACGUUUCUUAGUCCUAAUGCAUGUUGUGUCAUAUUAUGUGAUUGCUUAGUGCAACAGAAUACAAGUUACAAUUGUAUGAAUACAUUGCUCCCACAUGAAAGAUAUAUCAAAAUAAUAAUAAAAGAACCCAAAUCAUUUAAUUUACAAAUAAUCCAUCAGCUUAUAUUAAAGCAAAACAGUAUCCCUAAAUACUCUUCAUCUCAAACUGUAAGUUGUUUAACUUUUCAAGACACAAUUUUUUUAUUAUCACUUAGAUAUAGAUACGAUAUGUUGUUAAAACUAUAUAUAUAGCCUAGAAAUAUCAAAAUGACAUAUGUUUAGAAUAUAGGAGUGCGUACUAAUGCCAAUGUAGAGUAAGAGUCCACUUUGUACUGGCUCCAAAUCCACAGCGACCACUCUAGCAUGGUUGAAUGCAUAUAUAUCCACAUCUCUGGUGACUGGUGCGAUGGUACGAGAUGAUCGCUGGUCAUGAUGAGUCGUGACCAAGGUUAGUUGUUUGUGUUCCACAAGUGGCGGCAACAUUGCCAACCUCAAGCCAGUGGAUUUGACGCACACGCACGUACUACCAAUCGCAUACGUCUACUCAAAAAAAAUCGCAUACGUGUGCAACUAAAACUAGUUUUGCAUAUUGUGGCCUUGCAAACUGCAAACAGAUCUGCAGGCCUCGUUCGGUUAGUCCGGAGUAGACCGCUCCGCGCCUAGCUAGUGCGGAGUAGGCCGAGUGCCGCUCUGCUGACACGCGAAAAUGUCUCACAAGAGAAUUGGGUUACAACAUCAAGUUAGUGACAUCAAAGACAUGUUAGAAAAUAUUUGGUAGUGCAAUACAAUUCAAACACUACAAGAGAUUGGGCCUUCUAUGAUAAUUUUCACAUGACAAAGCACCUUUUAGUCAUGAAAGUAAUGUGUUUAUGAUAAUUUUUCUUUGGAUGACAAGUGUAUGUGACAAAGUUAUUUUAGUCAUAAAUAAUAAUCACCAUGUGCCUUUCUUAAUCUUUAUGACAGCAGUUAAUGACAAAAUUGAUAAAAUGUGAUUGUCAUAAAUUUAAAAACAUUUUUUCUAAACUUUGUGACAAUAGCUCAUAACAAAUUUGAUGAGAUAUGAUUGUCAUGAAUUAAAAAUCUGCCAAAUAUAUAUUUUAGCACAAAAAUUGGUGAGAUGUGAAAGAUAUAAAUUUAAAACUAUUUCUAAAAGUAUUUUGCCACAGUCACGCCUAGGUGAACUCAGACCCACCUACAUAAGGUAAAUAUUAAGGUUUAUAUUUAAAAAUUAAAUUUACAAAUUAAGCACAAGCUGUGGCCUAUGGGAAUUGAACCCACGCCCUUGGUCUUGAUAAAGAAUGGACAUCCCACGUCAGCUCUUGUUCUUUAUAAACGGAUUUGUUUUAUUUUUGUUCAGAUUCUUCGACUUAGAGACACAAGGCACACUCCGAUAAACACUUUGUACUAUGGAGUAGGAGCGGUAGGAGCGGAUGCCGUGUCUCUGUCCGUCCGCAGUAGGAGUCCGCCGCCGCCCUUUGCCCAUCGCCGCUUGUCGGAGGCUGCCGCCCUUUGUCGCCGCCGCCGCAACAUCUCACCAACGCCAUCCAACCCCAUCCCAGAAGCUAGCUAGUUGUAGCUCCCGGCUUCCGCCGUCGCCGCCAGCGGCCGAUUCUCGACGCCUCUGGCGAAUCCCAACGACACCGGCAGCAGGCCACCACCGGAGGCAGGACCCCAACACCGACGACAUUAGCCCGAUGCGCUUCCUGGAGCUUGACGCCUGGCUGCAGCUCCAGGCCACCGGGCUUCACUGGCUGAGACGGUGGAAUUGCCCCCAGGAGCUCCAUCCUAGGAUUGGUGCCGGCUGCGGGAGAGGUCGACCAGAGACAGGUCCAAGCCCUUCGAUUAGGAAGGGAAGGUACAUAUGAGAUGAACUUAUAUUUUGGUUUUAUAGUUCGAUUGAAACCAUAGAUUUGAAGUGAUAGAAAUAGGCAAAUAGCAGUCUAUUACGGACAGUGAUCACUUGUUGAUUCCUUGCUAGAAUUAUUUCAAUGUGUCACAGAUGGAUAGAACUUGGAUGAAUGCUAGGGUCUUAGCAAGGAGCAUCGGGAAGGGGUCAAUGAGUUCAUGGGUUUUGUUUCUGAAACUUUGAGCGGCAGACAGGAGAUAUUAUGUCCGCGUCGUAAAUGUUUGAAUCGGUUAAACAAAUAUAAAGGAGAAGUGGAGGAUCACAUAUUAAUGUACGGGAUGUCUACCACAUACACUAGGUGGAUACAUCAUGGAGAACAAUUGGUCAUGAUAUAUGAAAAUGCUGAGCAAUUGAAUGAACAUAAUGCUGCAAUGUUGAGCAUGUGAAUGAAGAUGUUGGGACAGAUGAGCCUCAAGAUGACUUUAAAGUGUAAGACGAAACAAAGAAGACAACAGCGAUGCCCUGCUGAAGCCGGUAGCAAGGCCAACCCCUCUAGUUCGCCCUGCUAAUGGGUUGGGUUUGUUUGGGUUAAAUGGGGUGGAUUCUUAUUUGGCUUUUGCUUGGAAGGGUCCGAAUGGGUUAAUCAGUGCUCUAAGUUGGGGCGGGGUGGGUUUAAAAGACAUGUGGGGUGGAUGAGGCCAGUUAUAACUGAAAAGCCCGUACUCUCAAGAUGGAUGGAAACCCGUAGCUUCGAUGCCCCCAAAGCAUCUAUGGGUUUGAUGCUCGCGAGUUUGUUACUAGAGUCCAUACGAGGAGCCAUAGUCCCACAAAAGAGUCUGCAUCGUCCAAGCGGACAGCAGCUGCCUCCUAACCUGCUUGUAGAAGAACUCUAUGAUGCCAUUGAUGAACAACUCAACACACCGAGGAUGGACAACUCUCUGUCGGCAUCCUCCUGGUGCUCUUCGCGCUUGUGCAGUUGUUCUUGCUGGCAACCCCGACAAGCUCGACUAGGCCUAGCGACGGCAUCAGACAUGUGUACGCGUGGAACCCGACCCCGACGGGGUCCUUGACGAAUGUGGCAGCGACCGGCAAUCUACACGCCAUGGGGCGGCGGUGGCGUGAGCCCAUGUCGCGUGCGCACCCACGCGCACCAUGGAUCAGCGCCGGCACCACGAAGCACGCCUUCGUCUCCAUGAUGAUGUGCAGUGUGUUGUCUGAUAUCCAUGAUGGAGAUCGAACAGGUGGAGUAGGGUGGAUGAGACUCCAGGGACAGAUGGCUCUCGGGCUCUCGGCUCAAAUUAGAUACUGACCGAGGCAAAGCAGGAGAUUCUCUCAUCGCCGAGCAGACCAUGGGGGUGGGCUUCGUCGCUGCAGUGGGGGCGGCUCUUCAACCGCAUGGUGUCGGUGUCCAACGGCAACUCGGCAAGGUGUUCUAAUUCCCGUGGCCUCCUGCACUUCUAGAGUAGCGUUGGAGCCGCAUCGUCGAUGGCUCCAUGGCUGUCUAUUUGGGUUGGGUAUCACGUGGCUCGGUUUUGGUUGGCCCGAAUAUUUCCUAGAAGUUGGGUUGGAAUCAGGUUCUAGACGUCUUGAAAUGUACUGGGUUGGACUAAAAAGGUGUCCUCUUCUGCUAUGAGUGGGUUCGUAACGCGUUGGGUUUUUGUCGACGAAAGCUGGUCGGCAGUCUACCUUGGGGUAUACCCACGGUAGUAGUUUGUCGGUAGACGGUGCGCAAACUACGAACUCGAUGGUGACGCAAGACACGGACAAGCUUUUUAUCGAGGUUCGGCCGCCGAGUUGGCGUAAUACCUACGUCCUGCGUCUGGUUGUAUUGAUUUGUGUUGAGAGAAUAUGAUGUGUCCUAGGGGGGUCCCUUGCCCCUCCUUAUAUAGUCUGGAGGGCAGGGUUACAGAUCGGGAAACUAAUCCUAGUCGGUUACAAUUGCCAUGGAUAAUUCGAUAUCAGAUCCUAUUCUAACCGACUAGAAUCCUGCUCGAUCUCCACAUCUUGUUUCCUUGCGCGAAACUCCAGGUUGUCGGAUCAAGCCUUGAACUCGUCUCGUAAUGGGCCAAGCCUCCUGGCCGAAGUCUAGCCGUAAGGGUAUAGGGGUUUAUACCCCCACAGCUAGUCCCCGAGCACCAUGUAUUGUGAUGUAACACGCCGUCUUGAGCUUCUUCGAUCAGUGAAACUUGACGUCUUCAAUAAGUGGGAAGGUCGCCCAAACAGUUGCAACGGUUCUUUGACCAACUCAAAAGACAGUUGAUCAACAUUGACAUCGAAGAAGCGAGUUGUUCGAAGAAUGCAUGGUGCUCUAAAUUAAAAAAGAUUUCUUUCCUGGUGAAGUGUGCCCACUUUACUUUCUUGAAAGGUAUAAACAUCAAAAAAAAGCAAGCAUAUUCACCGCAAGGUGAAGUGUGCCCACUUAGUCCCCGAGCCUGGUAGGUGACGUAGGCACGUGGUGCCAGGGUCAAAAUAAAAGUCCUCAAAGAAAUUCUGUAACUGAGAUGCAUCGCCAGAUGCAUCGUACCGAUGUAGUCCCCGAGCUUGCUGGAAGGCGAAGUAUGAGCCUUGUAGCAAGGUCUAAAAAAUUGAAUUUACCAGUCCGUCUGCAAUGGAAUAGACCAAUCGACCAGUCCCCAAGCACCAAGUGCGCUCCUUAGAAUUCUGUGUUGCUGUACUGUACGACCAGUCCCCGAGCAUCGAGUGCUCGGUGGUCGGUGCAGUCCUUGAAGUUCCGAGCUGAUAGACUGGGCGACCAGUCCCCGAGCGUCGAGUGCUCGGUGGUCGGUGCAGUCCUUGAAGUUCCGAGCUGAUAGACUGGGCGACCAGUCCCCGAGCGUCGAGUGCUCGGUGGUCGGUGCAGUCCUUGAAGUUCCGAGCUGAUAGACUGGGCGACCAGUCCCCGAGCGUCGAGUGCUCGGAGGUCGGUGCAAUCCUUGGAUUGUUGACUCUCUGGCAUAUGUGUCUUCUUGUUUUUGAAAAGAUCUUUCCAGUUAAAGUUGACGUGACGAGACCUCCUGACAGGGUGUCAGAUGGAUGCAUGAAAAAUUGCGCCUGGCAACUGUGCAGCCGCCCUUUGCAUGAUUUGAGAAAAGGAAACCAUCAAUUGGUACGAAAGUUCCGCCGCAUUAAUUGUCUAUAAUCAUUGUAAACCGAAACGCCGCAUCCGCCGCAUGGCCCGCCCACUUCCCGAGAUUACGGGAUGUGGGAGAGGUGGAGUUGCGGGUUAUAAGAGCCUGACAGUUCCGCCUAUACUGCUUACCCUGCCAUUGCCUUCAAGCCUUCCGCUCUCGCCUCCUUCAACCACCUGCAUCUUCCUAACUCAAGCCAACCUUCGCACCUCCAAUGGCGAAGAGCGACUCCAAGAAGAGGGCCGAACUGAUGGCCAAGGAGUGGAAAAAGUCCCGCAGCACCGCGAAAUCUCUUGGUGACCUCGUCGAUAUGGGGCUUCUGCACAGCCCGGAGCUCGGUGGCUGGAGGGCACCGGAGGGGGAGAGCUACCCCGACCCCCGCGCCGGUGAGAUCGUCGUAUUUGAAGAUUUCAUUAAGAGGGGCUUUGGUGUUCCUGUUCAUCCUUUUCUUCAAGGUCUUCUUUUGUAUUAUGAGAUCGGGAUUUGCAAUCUGCACCCGAACUCAAUUCUCCUCAUUUCCACUUUUAUCCACUUGUGCGAGGCCUAUGUUGGCAUAGAGCCGCACUUCGAUCUUUUUCGGUAUCUUUUCUGCUUGAGGAAGAAGGGAGCAGUUGGAGGUUCCAAGGUUGCAGGUGGAGUAUACCUCAACCUUCGUGAUGGAAUGAAGAAUCGCUACCUGCACUGUCCAUGGAACACUUUCUUGACCGAAUGGUACAGGAAGUGGUUCUACAUCAGGGAGGAACCGGGCAGCUCCACUUUCUGCGACGUGGGAUACAUUCCUGAGAAGAGGAUGAGCUGGACCGACCGCCCGGAGUUCGACGGUCCAGUGGCGGAUCUCAUGAAGCUGAUCGACUGGUCGCGCCUGGACGGGCUUGGCGUGGUCGGCAACUUCAUUUGUCGUCGGGUGAUGCCCUGCCAGAAGAGGGUGCACUCGGCGUACGAGUAUGCCGGAAGCGUGGACCCGACCAGGAUGCGAUCGGAGAUCUUGGAGAAAGCGGAGGUACAACAGCUGUUGAACGAGCUGUUUAACUUCGCGGACGGAGGCUUCAUCCGUGGCAGUGACCGGGUGCAAGCCUUCAAGUUAGGACGACCAGCACCAAAGGUAUGUAGCAGAUUAUUUUGUUUUAGCAUUCGUAUAUCGUCUGCACCUGACUCAUCUCUGUUGCUUUUGCAGAUCGGCGAUGUCGACCGGUGCACAGUGUAUGUAUCACUGGCACCGGGGAUGGAAAAUCCUGCGGGAGAAGACCCGCCAGAGGAGGACGCUGCUCGGUGUACUCAUUACACCAGCAGUGAGGAGGACCAAUCCCGCCCUGUCCCGACCUCCGAGGAGAGGGUAGCGGGGAAGAGGCCAUUGCCGGCAGAUCCCUUGCCGACACCGGAGCUGCCAGCAGAUCUACCGGCGGAGAGCAGCCAAGCACCGAAGCGUCGUCGGCUCGUGCGAAUCGUUGACGACGACGACGACGAUGAGGAGGCUGCGCCGUCGUUAGUCCGACGGGCUCGGAGCCGCCCAGAUAAUGCGCCGGCCGCUACUGAUCGAGUGGCCAGCGACCCCCCUGCACCGCAAGUUGUCGAGAUGGGGGCGCAGGUGCCGACCGGCCGGGCGAGGAGGAGGUUCACCGCGACCCACCGCCGAUCAGACCUGUAAGUGUUCGACUUACGUAUUUUGGAUUUCUCUUUGUUUUUUUUUUGAAAUUACACUUUUGUUCCUGUAGUGCGGCGUCGGAUGUCGACCCCGGCCAGGCUGCCAGCCAGGGGACGGGCGAGCCUGUCCGCGCUGCUGAAGAUACGGCUCCCCAGACCACAGAGCAGCCUACAGCUGCAGUCGCGCCUGGGAGCACCGAGGGGCUCCCGACCGCAGCACCGACUACGACAGGCAGCCCGACCAGGGCUGAAGAGGCUCCCUCAGCUGGCUCCACAGAAGAGGAGGGAAGAUCCCCGACCGCUCCUCCUGCCGGGAGGAGUGAAGUCCCCACGCCACCCCGAGCAGGACCCUCUUCGGCAGCAGGCUCCCCAGGUCUGGUCCGAGGGCCAGUAAUACCUGGGACCACCACCGGGGGUGGCGCAGCGCAGGAGGAGGAGACCCGGGCGGCCUCCGAUGACGAGGUGGAAGAGAUUGAGGGUCGUCCCCGUGAUGGCCGCCAACACGUUUAUGUGUGGCGCCAACGCGGGGAUCACUUUAUCGGGCAUGAGGAGCUCGCCGAGACCGAGGAGGCCGCCAGGGUGGAGCGCGCGGCCAAGCGCCUCGUCGACGAAGUCAAGGUAAGCGGCUUUUUGUACUGCUGUACAUUGUAUGCCUUGCCUUGCAUGGUCGUUAUACGCUUGCUUUGCAGGGCGUAAUGAAAACGGCAAAAUACCGGAAACGGUGCUUUGACCAAAUAGAAGGCGUCGUGGCCGAGAACAAGGCCCUUGCCGCAGAGGUAGACCGGCUGCGGUCGGAAGUCGGGGAGAAGGUGGCCGAGAUGAGUGCCCAAGAGGAGCGUCGUCUCGACCUCACUCGUCGCUUGGCCGAUCAGUACCGGCAGCGAGAAGGUUAGUCACACGCUCUGAGCAGCUUUGCGUACUUGUGUAGUUUGCUUUACUGACCAGUUUAUGAUUCACGCAGACUUGGAGGAGGAGGUGGCGCGCCUCCGACAAGAGAAGGAGCAGCUCAGCCAACAGCUCGCCGGUGCGCUGGAGUCCGGGCGGCGAGUGGAAGAGGAAUUGGGUCGAAAGGACCGGGAAUUAUCUGGUAAUGGGUGCUGCUGCUUGUUGCCCCUUUGUUUGUUUGGUAUGCCGAAAAUAACGUUUUGUUUCGUUUGCAGUGCUCAAGGUGAACACCAAGAAGCACCUGGAUGAUCUGAUCAAGGACCGGGACUCCUGGAAGGUCAACUGUUGCAGGAUCUGGAAAGGAGUGUCCCCGGUCCUAGACCUGAUCAGUCCCGAGCUCCCGGAGAGCCAGCCCCGCGCGCCGCAGUUGACCCCGGUCGAGAAGGCGCAACGGGCGUGGGACUGGCUCCAGCAGUUCGUGAAGGACGCCGGGGAGUUUGCCGGCGCGCACGUCCUCAGCAUGGUGCGCGCCCACUACCCCCUGGUCGACUUGAGACGGCUGGAGAAGGGGUACCCGAAGGAAGUCGGUCCACUGGAAGCAGACGAGCUUCGGGGUAGUCUGCUGGACUUGUCGUCGACAGUGAUCGGCGACAUCAAUCUGUGCGGAACGGCCACUCCCCCCGACCAGCCGAGUUCAGAUAGGUCGGCCAGGGAGUUGUCGGGCGCGUCCGUUGCGGGAGAUGGGCGGUCGACGCCUGCGGUCUCGACCAGCCAAGCGCCGGUGGCCCCGACCCCUUCGUCCGGGCAGCAGGGCCAGGCGGGUGAUCAGCCCGAGCAGCUAGGCCAGUAGUCUGUAGAAAUAGACUAGUGUCUGCCCGUCAGGGUAUUUAUUGUAAACUUUGUAUGUAAAGUUUGUAAUAAAGUUGGUCUUUUUUGUCAUGACUGUUAUUUUGAGCGCUGUAAGAAUAUCUGAGUGACGUGUCACCGUAUUCGUCUUGGUAGUUGUUAAGAGCAUCCAUUGCAGGAGUUUUGCCGAGUGCUGUGUGCGACAAGGUACAGGCAAAAAAUAGAGAAUUUCAUUAUCAACAAUUAUAAGAUACUUACGAAGGAAAGUUAUCAAAACUUUAUGGAUAGAAACGUCGCAGCUUGUCGAUGUGCCAAGAGUUAGGCACUCGCGUUCCAUCUGGGUAUGCCAAUCUGUAGGACGUAGGUCGUGUGACCUCGAUCACCACGAAGGGUCCCUCCCAGGGAGUGGAUAGCUUGUGCAUUCCCUCCUGGCUUGUUUUCCAUCGAAGUACCAGAUCGCCGACCACGAAGGAACGGUCCUUGACAUUCCUGUUGUAGUAUCGCCUGACUGCCGCGAGAUAUUUUGCUGUUCGGAGACAGGAAUCUAAACGCUUUUCCUCCAUGCAAUUGAUUUCGAGUUCUCUGGCGUUGUCGGCGGUCGCCUGGUCGAAGUGUUCGAUUCUAGGAGAUCCGAAGUGUAUGUCAGACGGCAGGACCGCCUCUGCACCGUACACCAUGAAGUAGGGAGACACCCCUGUGUUUCGACUGGUCUGAGUUCGGAGGCCCCAGACCACUGCCGGCAAUUCUUUCAUCCAUCGACCGGGCGCUCUGUCGUUUUCGGUGUACAACCUUUUCUUUAGGGCGUCAACGAUCAUUCCGUUAGCACGUUCCACUUGACCGUUGGCACGUGGAUGUGCCACUGACACGUAUUUUAUGACUAUGCCUCUGUCAUCGCAGAAGUCCCAAAAAGUGGUGCCAGUAAACUGAGUGCCCAGGUCGGUGAUUAUGCUGUUCGGGAUGCCGAAUCUGUGUAUGAUUUGAUUGAGGAACUCCACAGCCUUCUCGGAGGUUGCCUUGACCAGAGGCAUGUAUUCAAUCCACUUGGAGAACUUGUCGAUUAACACGAAAACAAACUUGAAAUUGCCCGGGGCUGGUUUAAAUGGCCCGAUCAUGUCAAGCCCCCAGCAAGCAAAGGGCCAAGACGACGGGAUGGUUUGAAUUUCGUGGGCAGGUACGUGGGUCCUCUUAGCGAAAAACUGGCAUCCUUCACAAUGUCGAACCAGUUUUUCUGCGUCGCCGACCGCGGUUGGCCAAUAAAAACCUGCUCGGAAAGCCUUUCCGACCAGCGUUCUGGAUGCGGCGUGAUUGCCGCAGGAUCCAGCAUGUAUGUCCUCUAAGAGCUUGAUACCAUCAUCUUGGGGUACGCACUUGAGCAGUACUUCGGAGCUUGCGUUUUUCCGCAUGAGUUUGCCGUCGACCAGGACGUAGUUCUUUGAUCGUCGAAUGAGGCGCUCGUUCUCUGUUUUGUCCUGGAGGCCUAUCCCGUCUGAUAUGUAUUUGAUGAACGGGGUACGCCAGUCAGGCCCACCGGUUGUCGGAGUGGCGUCGUCUAUGAGCAUUGCCUCGGUGGGCUGCUUGUCGACCAGGGAGGAGCCUACGCUCGGCUCGUGGAUGUCCUGGACGAAAAUACCCCGCGGGAUCUGGGCCCGAGAUGAGCCUAACUUCGACAACGCAUCUGCUGCUUGGUUCUUAUCCCGGACCACGUGGAUGUACUCUAUGCCGUAGAAGUUGGUUUCCCAUUUGCGAAUUUCUUUGCAGUAGAGAUCCAUCUUCUCGUGGGUUGCGUCCCACUCCUUGUUGAGCUGGUUGAUGACCAAAGCGGAGUCGCCAUAAACAUAGAGGCGCUUGACUCCCAGCUCUACGGCUAGUCUUAUGCCAUGCAAGCAUGCUUCGUAUUCGGCGACGUUGUUUGACGCCGGAAAAAGGAUCCGAAGGACGUAACGCAGUUUGUCCUUGUUGGGUGAUACGAACAGUAUCCCAGCGCCGGCACCGUUGAUGUUCAAGGACCCGUCAAAGAACAUUGACCAGUGGUCUGAGGCAUCGGGAACGGAAGGCUCGUUGAGAUCCGUCCAUUCAGCAAUGAAAUCGACCAGGGCCUGAGACUUGACAGUGGUGCGACUCUGGAACUCCAGGGAAAAUGGACAUAAUUCCAUUGCCCAUUUCACGAUUCUGCCAUUGGCGUCUUUAUUGCGCAGGAUGUCCCCGAGAGGGAAACUGGUUGUCACCAGGACUCGAUGGCCGUCGAAGUAGUGCUUCAGCUUUCUUGACGUUAUUAGAAUGGCGUAUAUGAGCUUCUGUAUUUGAGGAUACCUGGCCUUGGACUCGUUUAAGACUUCACUUAUGAAGUAAACCGGUCUCUGGACCUUGUAGGCGUGACCUGGUUCACCUCGCUCGACCACUAUUGCCGUGGAGACAACCCUGUCGGUUGCAGCAAUGUAAAGGAGUAGGUCUUCAUUGGGCUGAGGCGCUGUAAGGACAGGUGGUGAAGUGAGGAAGGUCUUAAGCUGGUUGAAUGCGGUGUCGGCUUCUUCUGUCCAAGAAAACUUUUCCGACGCUUUUAACAGUUUGAAGAAAGGGAGGCCUUUUUCUCCUAGCCUUGAGAUGAAGCGACUGAGGGCGGCCAUACAUCCUGUUAGCUUUUGGAUAUCCUUUACGUUCUUUGGUGGUCGCAUGUCAAGUACCGCCUUUACUUUUGAAGGGUUUGGUCGUAUGCCGUCGCGACUAACAACGUUGCCGAGCAGUAGACCAGAAGGAACACCGAAAAUGCAUUUUUUGGGGUUGAGCUUCCACUUGUACCUAUUAAGUGCCUUGAAGGUUCGGUCUAAGUUGUCGAUUAGGGUGCUCGCGUCCCUUGUUUUUACGACCACAUCGUCCACAUAGGCCUCGACGAGGUCAUCACGAAUCUCGUCGUGGAGGCAUUGCUGGAUGGCCCUUUGAUAAGUGGCUCCGGCGUUUUUGAGUCCGAAAGACAUGGUCGUGUAGCAGUAUGCGCCGAAGGGUGUGAUAAAGGAUGUUUUGAUCUGAUCUUCUUCCUUUAGCGAGAUCUGGUGAUAACCAGAGUAGCAGUCUAGAAAGGAGAGGAGUUCGCAUCCGGCCGUUGAGUCGACCACCUCGUCGAUGCGAGGGAGACCAAAAGGAUCUUUAGGACAGUGUUUGUUGAGAUCAGUGUAAUCAACGCACAUUCUCCAUUCAUUAUUCUUUUUGCGUACAAGAACCGGAUUGGCGAGCCAAUCGGGGUGAUACACUUCUUUUAUGAAUCCGGCUGCUAGAAGCCGUGUUAUUUCUGUCCUAAUAGCCUCCUUUUUGUCGCGAGCGAACCGUCGCAGUUUUUGCUUGAUUGGUCUUGCGGUCUUCGAGACAUUUAAGGAGUGCUCGAUCAGGUUUCGUGGGACACCGGGCAUGUCUGCGGGUUUCCAUGCGAAAACGCUCACGUUGUCCCUUAGAAACCUGACGAGCGUGUCUUCCUAUUUUGGAUCCAGGUUGGCCCCGAUGAGGGCUGUCUUCUCGGGGUUGCCUUCGACCAGCUGCACUUCUUUGUACUCCUUGGAUUUCGAGUUCUUCCUGGCUGUCGUCUGUUCGGGUAAUCGGAGCUGGUCGGGAGGCAGCUGUGCGGCUUGGUUUGCUGUUUCCGCCAUGCGGAUUGAGAUGUCAAUUGCCUCGGUGAUCUUGAAGCUUUCUUCUUCGCAGGUGUACGCAGUGUAGACGUUGCCUUUGACGGUUAGGACACCCUUCUCCGUGGGCAUCUUAAGGACUAGGUAUGAGUAGUGCGGGACUGCCAUGAACUUUGUCAGCGAUGGGCGGCCCAGUAUGGCGUGAUAGGUCCCGUCGAAAUCCGCGACUACGAAGUUGAUGAACUCCGUCCGGAAGUGGUCGGGUGUGCCGAAUUGGACAGGCAAUGUUAUCUGUCCGAGAGGCACGGAACUUUGACCUGGCAAAACCCCCCAGAAUUGGGCGUCGUAAGGUUUUAGUUGUGCCGGGGAUAUCUUGAGGGCGGGCAGGCUGUUGCGGAAGAGGAUGUCGAUGGAGCUUCCCCCGUCCACGAGCACGCGCUCGAAUCUGAUGCUGUUGAUGCAGGGGUCAAGAAUCAGGGGGAAACGACCCGGCUCUGGGAUAGCGGCCCACUGGUCCUUCCUGCUGAAAGAGAUCUCCCUGUGGGACCACGUGGGAAAUUUUGGGUCUGCGAUCAGCCCGUCCGUGCUGUCUAUGUUGAGGCAGGCUCUCUUUAACAGCUUUCUUUCCCGCUUGGACUCGGUGGAGACCUUGCCCCCGAAAAUGGAGUGGACCACGUCAGUGGGGCUGACGUAUUGGUGUCGGGGGUCCCUAUCUUGGUCCUCAUCCUCAUCUUCGUGGUCGUGCCCGUCGCGCUUGUUAUUUUUCUUGGCGGAGUCGUCUUGGGCGGCCCGCCGUGUAUAGAUACUUUUGAGGACGUGGCACUCUUCCAUGGUAUGAUUGGACUUUGGGUGUAGUUGGCAUGGUCCCUUCAACGUUUUGUUGUAGUCUUCUUGGUAAUCCCGUCGUCCAUUGGGACGUUUGACCGUAUUUACUUCGUGGUCGUAGUCACGAGGGCGCUUUCCUCUGAAGUUGUCGCGGCUGUUGCGCCGCCGAUCCCAACCCUCUCGGUGAUCGCGAUUGUCGGAGCGGCGGUGGCUUCUGCUGUCGUAGCGACCACGACCGUCAUCUCGCCGGGGAGGCUGGUCGGGACCUCUCGCAUCGUCUCGGAUUAGUUUUUUUGCGUCAUCGGCAUCGGCGUAAUUUUUGGCCGUGGCGAGGAGCUCUGCUACCGUUGUUGGGCGCUUGCGCAACAGCUUGUUCCUCAGCGCUUCAUGGAAACGCAGGCCCUUGAUGAAGGCUGAGAUGGCCUCGUCAUGGGAAAUCUUCGGGAUUUUGAGGCGCAUAUCCGAGAAUCGUCGGAUGUAAUCGCGCAGAGGUUCGUUCUUCCUGUCCCUUAUCCUUUCAAGAUCAUACUUAUUUCCAGGCUGCUCGCAUGUGGCGAUGAAGUUGUCGAUGAAAGCCUGGCGUAGCUCUUCCCAAGAGUCGAAGGAGUCCUCGGGCAAGCCGAGAAGCCACUGAUGACCAGCCUGGUCGAGGACUACGGGGAAGUAGUUGGCCAUGACGUGCUCAUCCCCUGCCGCUGAUCGGACGGCGAUUUCAUAGAGGGUGAUCCAGUUCUCUGGAUUUUCCUUGCCGUCGUAUUUUUUAAGUUUUUCGAGCUUGAAAUUGCGGGGCCACACGACCUGGCGGAGGUGUGAGGAGAACUGUCUUAGGCCCGGAGGCCCGUGCGUUGCAUCGUACUCGAUGCGGCGCAGGUUUUCGUGGACUGCUCUCUCUGCGGCGCGCCUGUUGAUGCGGUCCCGGGCAUCUUUGGGAGGGAUGUUGUGGCGGAGAUCCCAGUGUUGAUCUUCUUCUUGGCCGCGUACGCGGUUCUGCUUGCGGCGGCCAUCGGCGUCCCGACCACCAUCGUCACGCCGUGAGUCCCCUCGACGGUUGUCGGGGGAGCGGCUGUGGUGACGCCUGCUGGGUGAGGCCCGGCUACGAUUAGUCUGGUCGGAGGCGGCUUCCGUAUAAGAGACGUCCUGGACUCUCUUGAGCAGAGUGGCUGUCUGUCCCAUUGCGGCGAUCAGGUGUGCUCGGAUGCUGGUCCGGACUCCCUGGCAUUCGGGGGUGUCAGGAAGCCGAUCCAGGUUAGCCAUGGCGACAGCCACGUUGGCGCUUGGCGUUUUGUAGACUGGCUGGUCCCCGACCAUAUCAAAGGCAUCGUUGAGAUUAUUUGGUGGCAUUUGUUGUUGCUCGUCCGCACGUCGUCGGGCGCGAUCGGCGUUACGCUGUUCGCGGAGUUGCCUCUGGUCAUCUGUUUCUCCAUCAACGAACGGUUCGUCGGCGCUGACAUUGAACACAAUAUCCCCUCGCCGGGGGGGGAAUAUCGGGAAUCGGUCGAAACCCGGAGGGUGUGAAGGAAAAUCCAGGUCGUAGUCCUCGUCUUCGGUGUUUAUAACCUCGGUGGGGACGGAGCCGGUGCUUGAGUUGGUGCUGGAAACCUGGCCGUCCCGUAGUUCUCGGAUUGUCACCAUGUUGACGUGGUGACGAUUGUUCCUUGUCGGCGACCAACCCGCCUUGCUGAAAACGGAUUGGGUGUGCUGUGAGUAAACAGAGGCCGAGUUGUUCAGGCCGCAAGGAUAGUCUUCCUUCUUGAGCUCGACGGAUCGUCCUGAGGGGGUUGAGGUUAUCGUCAGAGACGUUCCCAGCCGUUCGUGUGUGGCGACACGAGUUGGCCGGCGGGAUUUGAAAAAAUCCGCUGGAGCGGCUUGGUCGGGCCGACGCAGAACUCCAUCUAUUAGUUGGGAAACUUCGAGUAGCUUGGAGUUAGCGCGAUCAAGCGCUUGGAGAAGGUCCGAGCAGUCGAUCUCCCUUCCCUUGUAGAGUGGGAACGGUGGUCGGGCGCUUGGUGCCGUCAUGCGUGUGGUCGGAGACGGCGUGAUCUCAGAUUGGAUCUGGAUCUCUUUCGAAACCGUGGUCGCGAAACCACCGCUGCACGUCGUCCACGUGAUCUGGCCGACGGUGAACGUGAGGCCUUCGGGCACGGUCGCGGAAGCUGGGAUCGUGACCAUCUUGUUCGCCGGAAAAGUUGCACGCACACCCCCUACCUGGCGCGCCACUGUCGACGAAAGCUGGUCGGCAGUCUACCUUGGGGUAUACCCACGGUAGUAGUUUGUCGGUAGACGGUGCGCAAACUACGAACUCGAUGGUGACGCAAGACACGGACAAGCUUUUUAUCGAGGUUCGGCCGCCGAGUUGGCGUAAUACCUACGUCCUGCGUCUGGUUGUAUUGAUUUGUGUUGAGAGAAUAUGAUGUGUCCUAGGGGGGUCCCUUGCCCCUCCUUAUAUAGUCUGGAGGGCAGGGUUACAGAUCGGGAAACUAAUCCUAGUCGGUUACAAUUGCCAUGGAUAAUUCGAUAUCAGAUCCUAUUCUAACCGACUAGAAUCCUGCUCGAUCUCCACAUCUUGUUUCCUUGCGCGAAACUCCAGGUUGUCGGAUCAAGCCUUGAACUCGUCUCGUAAUGGGCCAAGCCUCCUGGCCGAAGUCUAGCCGUAAGGGUAUAGGGGUUUAUACCCCCACAGUUUUCACCCAUUAGUAGGGUGGCCUCUAGUCGGACAGCCAGACCGGGUUGCCUAUGCGCUUGAGCCCAUGAAUCCUGGUAUGGCCGAAUUUGAACCCGGCCAAGCUGACUUUUUGUUGUAUGCUAAACCAAUUCGUUUUCAAAUUGGUAUGUGACGUGAAAACUUGGAAAACACACUUUGGAGUGUUGUUUUUUACUAGAUAAGACCAUUCUUUGUAUGAGAGGAUCAUGUCCAAUUGAGGAUCUCCACUUUUUUCAAUCAUCAAAAAGCACAUCUAUUAUACUCUUUUACCCCCUCCUCUCUCUACCUUGAUGUUCAUCAUGUCUCCCAGCAAGAUUUGACAGCGUUUUAGGUGACCUUGCUGAUCCUAGGACAUCAUGCUCCUCCCUGAAGUAUUUUUUCGAGAGGUGUUUGGGAGUCUACCAAGCGAAUGAUAGGUUCUACAUCAGCCUAACCGGUUUCUAGAUCGGUUUCGUCGGUUUGUCACGCUUCUCGCUGCGUUCAAGGUCAUAUGUCAGCCACGUGUUUGCUAUUCGAUGUCAAUACAUUCCAAUUUGAGGCCUUGUUUAGUUCACCCCAAAAAAACAAAAACUUUUCAAGAUUCCUCGUCACAUCGAAUCUUGCGGCACACGCAUGAAGCACUAAAUAUAGACAAAAAUAAAAGCUAGUUGCACAGUUACUACACAAUUAGACAAAUAUUUAUCAAAUAAAAACAAAAGUGCUACAGUCCCGAAAAUCAAAAAGUUUUUGAAACUAAACAAUGUCUGAAUAAUGUUAUAUAAAUCAGCGAAUCAUUCUGGCUGGGAAUCGUUCUCAGUCGACAACUUUUUAUAGAGAGAAGCUUUUACCCGAACCAUUGGAAAGUACCCGUGGAUUCAAUCGUUUGAGGCAUCACGUGAUGGAACCAGUUCUUGCCAUCGGAGGUAACCAGUUUUUGCCAGGCGCGGCGGCGCGUGAUGAGCAGGAUGAGACCUCGUUGACAACGAGGCGUGCUCGUGUGCUGCUGCUGGGCAAGGGCAAGUCGUGCAUGCAAGGCAACGUACAUGUGUCUGCCCGACAACAGUGGGAUUAUUGAGCUGUAGCGCCGAAACGUUAGCCAUUCGAGGUUUCGUUCUCUCCUACCCAUACACACGUGCAUGUGAACCGAUCUAGUAGUAGAAAUUCCGUGACAGACACUGAGACACCGGCCGAUCGCAAAAACCUACUCCUCCGAAUUGAACUCCGAUCCGUUGGGCCCCAGCAUCAACAUGCACCUGUGUAGCCUAUAGGAGUACAACACGUGCUUAAUUAACUUCAUCCAAGGCCAAGGACACGGGGAAAGAGGGCAAAGCAGAACCAGGAACAGGAAUGAAUGUUCGUCGCAGCAGGCCAGCGGCAGCGGCAAGCAACCGUCGCCGGGUUCGCGCGCCGAGAUCGAUCGAGGCCCCCCCGAACCCGAGCAUCGUGCUCCUCCCGCGCCCGGCACCGUCCCGCGGUACACGCGGUCCGUCCUUCCGUCCUCGCGCCGGGCCGUGCCCGCCGCUAGCUAGCUGCCGUUUUCCAGAUUCCCAGUUCCAAUUCCAAUUCAAGCGCUGCGCCGCGCCUGCGUGCGUGAACCUGCGGACAUGCGUGGCUGCGUGCAUGCGGUGCGAACGAGACGAGAAGACGACACGACACGGGCGCGCCUGUCCCGGCGGGCCUGUCUUUCCGUGCGCGCCCACCUCGUUUCCCGCCGGGUUCGCCUCCACCCGAUCCGGCGGCCGCAAACACACACACACACACGAACUCCCGCGCCGGGAAUUGAACGGUUCACGGACGUAGUACAGUUAGGGCCAGUCUUAAUGCAUACUCCCUCCGUCUAUGAAAGAGUCAAUUUCCAGAGUUGUCCUAAGUCAAAUUUUUUAAACUUUGACCAAAUUUCUAGAAAAAAAAUGCUAAGAUUUAUGGUAUCAAAUUAGUAUCAUUAGAUUCACCAUAGAAUAUAUUUUUAUAUGAUGUGCAUUUUAUAUCAUAGAUGUUGUCACUCUUUUCUAUAAAGUUAGUCAAACUUUAACAUAGUUAUCAAGACUAUAAACUAGGAGGGAGUAGUUUCAUAACAUAGUUAUCAAGACUAUAAACUAGGUAACCGAGCCACAAAAGUUUCAUAGAGAUGAAACUCCUCUCUCAUCUGAUGAAACUCCUUCAUUUAAUGACUCUGCUAAGAAAGCAAUUUUACUUAUGUGGCAUCCUAUUUAAUAUGCAUGACACUCUCAUAAAACAUGCAUUGAGCCCGCGUAUACGUUGACUCCAUCAGGCAUUCAGGCACGUGCGUCAUCAUUCACUAGUGUACUUGCAUGCAUGCUCUGGUUUGUAGGCUAAAAGCUCGCUCUGGAGUCUGGAGUGCGUGGGUAGUACACCAGCUUAGUGCCGAUCCAUUAUGGAACGACACAUGCGUGGUGGUGGCGCUUGAUUCUAGCGGUUGGCCGGGCUUUGCCAACGCGGACUCCAUGUGGCGCGGGCGCGGCACCGAUCGGUCGCCAUCCGCCGCGCGCAACCGCCGCCCAUCGCCUGCCCGCGCGAAAAAACUACGCACGCGGCGCGCUUCUCUCUGUCGUCGUACUACCUACAGUGCUUGCCCCCCGGAAAGACUUCGCACGAUCAGAAAACCAACUUUUUGGACUCCUAACAUGUGAAUGUGAUUAAGAUUAAGAAACUAGACACAUAUUUGUGGUAUAUAUGGGGAAAAAAACCUAUAACGCUUAGUAUUUGGUUUGGCGGAUAAUGGAUAUUCUCUCACGCCCCAAAAACCAAACACGUUGUAUGGAUUAUAUAUGCAAAUAUCAUAAUAUGUACUCCCUCCAUUUUAAAGUAUAAGUCACUUCAGUUUUUUUUUUCUUACAUAAAAGUUGUUGUGUAUCUAGAGAUAUGUUGUAGCUAGAUACAUACAUAGCAAGAAAACAUAGCGAUUUAUAAUUUGGAUUAGAGAAAGUAGUAACAUAUGUAUUUGUAGCUUUGGUUAAUAAUGAUUGAUAUUCCUUCCAUUUGUAUAACUUCCAAACAACGUGUGUAUUGACACUAUAGUAAAGUAAAUUUUGUUACUAAUACUAUUACUAAGGCUCUGUUUGGACACAUUAGCUUAUUAACUGAUUUGGUCAAAGUAGUGAAAUAAUUGUUAGUUUAGUAUUAGCUACAUUUGUUUAGAUCCAAAGAAGCUAAUUAUAGCAGCUAAUUAUUAACUCCAUCGAUCCAAACAGGCCUAUAGAUUGGAUGCACUAGCUGCUAAUAACUAAUUACUCGUAGCUAGUUGCUAUUAGCUUGGUAAAACUAGUACUAGUUGUUAGCUAGCUACUAGAUCUAUUAAUCCAAGCAGGGGCUAAGCAUUAUGGUAAUAAUUCUUGAACCAAAAUAAGUAGAGGGUGCAAAGUUGCUGCUGCCGAGUUUUAAUUUCUUGUGGUUUGUGACCGUAAGAAACCAAAGGCCAACGUGAGAGCUUAGCGUGACUUACACGACAUAAAUGAAGUGGAAAUGUGGGCUCUUGCAGGGAUUGCUUGCUGGUACUCCUGAUUUUUGACAAAGAUUUGUUCAUGUCUUUAACCGAAAAAGUUAGAAAUUGACAUGUACACACCUGGCAUGACGAAGAGCCGUGAAUAUGUACACAACACGAUAGGUUUUUUUUUUCAUAUAUAUACUAUAAUCUUCUAUUAGUAUUCUCGAAAAAACAUAAUCUUCUUGUAGCUUUCUACAUAAUGAUAUCGUUCCGCAGCAAAAUGAAUUACCUAGAAAAAUAGGUCUCGCCAGCGUCUCAGAACAAAGGUUGCACCAUUUUUUAAAAAAUAAAAUGUAGGAAAAGUUGGUACACUUUCCGUGUGUUUUAUUUUUUUUUUCUUUUUAAUGUAAACAAGGGGGAAAAUAUAUAUCAUGUUUAUAUCCUAUUUUAAUGUAAACAAGGAAAAAUUAUAUAUUUACAUGUGCAUCUUGGUUUGCAGAAUCUCAAGAUCAUGUUUAUAGCUAUAGGAACAUAUUAUUUAUAUGUCAGAUGUCGACCAAAUGACGGACAUGGUUGAGACGCAAAACACCUGGAGAUUCUAAAAACAGUUGCGUAUCAGCUAGCGUCGUUGCAGUACAGCCGUUGUUGAUCUUAAUUCAACGAGAUAAACGGUCAGGUCCGGGCGUUCCCAACCAACUCACAAAUUUUCAAACCCCUUUAUAUCAUCAUUAAUUACUCAUUAGCAGGUCAAGACAAUCAUGAAUCGCCAUGACAAAUCACCCCACACCGAGAUGAUAAGUAGGUUAGAGGAGGAAGACAACUUGUUCUUCAUGGUCAUGGCCGAUCGUCAUCAGUCAUCACCGUCACCUGCGUACACAAAAUCCGCUGAGAUGCCACGUCAGACUGCUGACAUGGUCAAGUGCAUGCAGGAAGGUGCCCUGUUCCCAGCAACAAGCAAGCUCAACUGCCCAAGCCCACAUCGUUGACUCCUCUAUCCCUUGGUGGGGCCCAGUAGUGCCGCCGGCCGCCCCUGCCGCUGCUGCUUGCUAUAUAAACGGCCUCCGCUUCCCGCCCUCUUCACCGGCUCACUUCCAAACAGAAUCGCUUUGCUCUGCUCUAGUAACCAGGACACGCACCGGCCGCGGAAACAGGCGCCGUGUUUCCUUGGUGUCCCUCUCGACACAGGCACAGGCAGGGGAAGGGAAGGCCGGCGAUGGAGAUGGAGGCGGAGCUGGCGUCGGGACGGUGGUGGACGUGGAACGCCGCGGCGGGGGCGUGUCUGCUGCUGCUCCUCAUGCACGUGGCGGCGCGGGUGGCGGACGCGCUCUGGUGGCGCCCGCGCCGGCUGGAGGCGCACUUCGCGCGGCAGGGCGUGCGCGGGCCGCCGUACCGCUUCCUCCUGGGCUGCGUCACGGAGAUGGUCGCGCUCAUGGCGGAGGCCGCCGCGAAGCCCAUGUCGCCGCCGGACUCGCACGACGCGCUCCCGCGGGUGCUCGCGUUCUACCACUACUGGAGGAAGAUCUACGGUACGCAUACGCAAACGCAUGCGCUACGUUCUUGUCGAGAUCGUCGUCGUUGGUUCUUCGCUUGUUGUCCGGCUCUGGAGCUGAGUGACAUAUAUUAAUGGCGGCUCCGGCGGCUCGUGGUGGCGCAUGCAGGACCCAUGUUCUUGAUAUGGUUCGGGCCGACGCCGCGGCUCACGGUGGCGGACCCGGAGCUGGUCCGCGAGGUCCUCCUGACACACGCCGACGCGUUCGACCGCUACGAGGCGCACCCCGUCGUCCGGAAGCUGGAGGGACAUGGCCUCAUCAGCCUCCACGACGACAAGUGGGCGCUCCACCGCCGCGUCCUCACCCCGGCCUUCUACCCCGACAACCUCAACGUACGCGCACACCGCUCUGUUUCUCUCUCUCUCUCUCUCUCGGUUGCUUUAAUCUGAUGAUCGCUGUCGGCAAUCAAUUCAAUGGUGGCGCGACACUGACACGUGCCCUGUCCCUUCCCGCGCGCAGCGGCUGGCACCGCACGUCGCCAGGUCGGUGGCGGCGCUGGCGGAGCGGUGGCGGGCCAUGGCCUCCGCCGCCCCCGGAGGCGAGGUGGAGCUGGACGUGGCGGAGUGGUACCAGGCCGUCGCCGAGGAGACCAUCGCGCGCGCCACGUUCGGCCGCAGCUACGACUCCGGCCGCGUCGUGUUCCGCAUGCAGGCGCGCCUCAUGGUCUUCGCGUCCGAGGCCUUCCGCAAGGUCUUCGUCCCCGGGUACAGGUUCUUGCCGACCAAGAAGAACCGGAUGCAGUGGAGCCUGGACAGGGAGAUCAGGCGGGGACUCGUGGCACUCAUCGGCAACCGCAGCAUGGAGGCCGCGCGUCAAGACGAAGACGAGGACGACGCCGAACUCAACGACAAGGGAAGCAACGGCGGCUUCCGGGACCUGGUAGGGUUCAUGAUCAAUGCCAACGACAAGAAGACGAAGAAGUCGGCGCCGGCGAUCCCCGUGGAGGACAUGCUGGAGGAGUGCAAGACGUUCUUCUUCGCCGGCAAGCAGACGACCACCAACCUGCUGACCUGGGCCACCGUGCUCCUCGCCAUGCACCCGGACUGGCAGGAGCGUGCUCGCCAGGAGGUCCUCGCCGUGUGCGGCGGCGCCGACGAGCUCCCGUCCAAGGAGCACCUCCCCAAGCUCAAAACGGUACGCCAGCUCCAGCUCCCCGUUGCACGUUUCUUUACAUUUGCAGUCCCUUUCCCAGUGGGGGCAUUUCGGUAACUCCGCAACGACAAAAAGUCUCACUUUGUUUGUUCCUCCCUCUCCCCUCGUUGUCUCUCUCUCUGACACACACAGCUGGGGAUGAUCCUGAACGAGACGCUCCGCCUGUACCCGCCGGCGGUGGCCACGAUCCGGCGCGCGAUGCGCGACGUGACGCUCGGCGGCGUGUCCAUUCCCCAGGACACCGAGCUGCUGAUCCCGAUCAUGGCGAUGCACCACGACGCCGCGCUCUGGGGCCCCGACGCCGCGCAGUUCAACCCGGCCCGGUUCGCCGCCGGCGGCGCGGCCAAGGCGGCGUCGCACCCGCUGGCGUUCAUCCCGUUCGGGCUCGGCCCGCGGAUGUGCAUCGGGCAGAACCUGGCGCUCCUGGAGGCGAAGCUCACGCUGGCGGUGGUGCUCCAGCGGUUCCACCUCGCGCGGUCGCCCAGCUACGUGCACGCGCCCACCGUUCUCAUGCUGCUCUACCCGCAGUACGGCGCGCCGGUGAUCUUCCGGCCGGUGACGACGACGGAGACGACGGGACCACCACCGUCCUGAUGUGAACCAUGUCCAUACGACGUACUACUAAGCUACCACUAGUGAAUAGUAGUGUGAUAGUAGGGAACAGAAGAGCCAAGGAAACCACUAACAAAAAAAAAGAAGCUUGUCCUGUCGUGGCAUGGCAUGGCCGGUGGCGGGACGCCCGGACCCGGACCCGGACCGGACCUCCCUGCUUUCUGGGCCGCCGGCCGGUUGGUUAGUUGCCGGAAAUGCCCCCCGUUGGUAGAGUAGAACAAGACCGGAACCGGAGCAGAGAGAGUCUUGGACUUGACGAUGGCGUGGAAGAAGACCAACAAACCAACCCCACAUCUGCUGUCGGGUCGGUUCCAUUUGUUGGCUUCUCCUUCCGUGGAUUCUUUCUCGCGUGUGUGUGACUGUGUGCAGCCGGAUCGGAGCUACCGUCGUCCAGCUAUGCAUAUGUAUGUGUACAGGCUUGUAUUUGUUUGUUUAUUUAUAUAUAUAUAUACCUACACAAAAUUAAAGUUUUGUAAGAUGGGAUUGAUUGGAAGGAGAGAGUCCAAAAAAACAGCGCAAAAGGAAAUGGGGACGGGAUCGAUCGAUAUUUGUUCGCGUUGCGUUGCACGCGGUAUUCCAUUCCGCGCAGGCGGCGCAGUGUUGUGAUCCGCUACUUUUUUUUGUUUUUGCGUGUGGUGUGGGCGGUGCGUGUCGGGUGCCCGCGACAACGCAAUUCGAUGGAGAAUCCGCUGGGUGCUACAGGACCGCGCCGGCCCUUUGCGCUGUCUCGCUCUCAGCUGCCAGGUACAUUAGAUAGAUGCUAACUGAAAUCUCCUGUAGCUGGUGUAUCCGUACUACUAGUAGUAUAGUACACACACCAUCGCGUGGCGUCGGGUGCCUCGUCGCCAGCAUGCAUCAUCUCUGACGCUGAUAAGCACUCCCAGCAAAGGCCCCUCUCCUCCAGCGAGCUCUCAACGCCUCUACCAUGCAUAGCUGAAUCUAUCACUGUCGAGAGUGUCGACCGCCAGCAUGCGCAUUCUCUGAUAUACCAUCGUUUUCACACAUCUAGUAGCUCGCUUAAGGCCGUUUUCGUGAAGUGAUUCAUAACAUUAUUUUUAAAAAGCUAGAUUAAAAAAAUAUUAUUCUUUCUUAUAUAUAUAUAUAUAUAUAUAUAUAUAUAUAUAUAUAUAUAUAUAUAUAUAUAUAUAUAUAUAUAUAUAUAUAUAUAUAUAUAUAUAUAUAUAUAUAUAUAUAUAUAUAUAUAUAAUUUCAUGACUUAUCUAGAUCUGAAAACCGAAUCAAUUUCUACUUUGCUGCCUUACCAAUCUUUCUAUGUUAGUCCGGGAGCAAACUCCUGACAGCAACAUGAUGUUGCCUUGUAGCCUCUAAAACAUGCGAGCCGUUUUGGCCUAAAAUAAAUAGUUUUCUAGGUGGGGAUCGCCUCCCCCGUUGACCCUAAAAAAAACCGAAUCAAGAGUGUUUUAUCUUGCUUCUUUUCUCUCUUCGUAAAAACUUGUCAUUUCAUAAAAAAAUACUUAUGUCACAACCUAUUAUAUAUAGAUAGAACUUUCAUUGCGACUGGUCUAAUUACCUCUCGCUAGCCACCAUUAUCUCCUAGCAAUGUUGCCACCACAGUGCAGGUGCUUCUUUUGCCCGGUAGACUUUUGUUACAUAUCCUUCCACACCACCCUAAAAUUUAAUCUCACAGAGACAUUGCCUAACGCGAGGAAGAAGAGAGGGCCAACAAGAAACAUAAACCACACCAAAGGAUUGAAAAACACAACAUAUAUGGAACAAAACUAGUCAUUCGUCCCCAGCACAAAACCCUGAGU